AUGCAGUCGAGUGACAAGAACUUCUGUGCGUUUGAGAUGACGACAUCGAUCUCAGGGAUUUAAAACUAGAAUGAUAAAGAAGGAGAAGGAAAUAAGAGAUUCAGAUCUGAUCGUAACUAUGAGAAAGAUGAAAUAAGAUAUUCAGAUCGACGAUAACACUGAAAUUAGAGGAGGAUAACCACAAGAGAAUUUGACGGAAUCGACUGCGAACUUGAACCACGAGUUUAGCAAACAAAAGAAAGUACGAAAAAUUUUGGUGUCUUUUUUUUGACAAAACAAAUCGAAUUACUUUAUUGGUAGAAGAUUUGAAAUAUUACAAUAUUGUGCAGGUUGAAAUUGGGAGGUGCUUCCACAUAAUGGAUAGCAAAAGAAAAACAUGUAAUGUACAGUUUACAUCCUUCGCAUCCUUAAAUUUCUCAAAACCAUGUAUUAAACAUUUGUGAUCGACUCGAUUAGGUCCUCUAUUAACAGACAUGAUGUACCUACUACCAAAAAAAUGAACGAAAACACCUAAGCUAGACUCAAGACUUUACAGCAACUGGCCAAUUGCAACCUGAACGAAAACAAUCAAAGGAAACAAACGAACUAAGACACGAGUAUGACAGGGCCAGGGGUAGCCGACGAGUUUGAAACAUUGAUGAAGCCGUCCGAAACUCCAUCUGUUGCCGAAGUAUUACAUGGCAGGGCGGGUCGCUCUUGGUUUGGUGGAAUGUGGGUGCUUUGAUGGUGUUGUGCUUCAACAUUGAAGCCAAGCUCAAGCAAUCCUACGAUGAGGAUGAAGAUGUCUGACCGAUAAGUCGGCGGAAUCCUAAAAAUGGGAGGAGGAGCAAACCCUAGCGGGGAGCAGCAGGCAUCUCACUGUUAAUCUAAUGAAAGAUGUUGGUGUUAAUACUGAAUACUUAAAAUUAUAUUUCUGUGAAACGAAAUACGAAGGUAGAGUGCAUUAUUCAUUUAUUUGCUCGUUGUCACGAUAACAACCUCUUAUUUACGACACAUCAAAGUUGUUAAGUUAAACAUGUUUAUUGCGGAUUUAAAUACUUCUGAAAUUUUUGAUUUUAAUUUUGUACCGUUACAAUACCAUAUUCGUGCUCUGAAUUCAUUAGUUUAACACAAAAUCAGCAAACCAGAUCUCAAAAUAUUUCGACAGGUUGGUUGUUGGAUGGCCAAGAAAAAGAUGGCAGAAACAAGAAAAAUCAAGCAACUUUUAUUAGUGGGGUAAGAAAAAUCAAGAAUAUUAGGCUCACCUUCCUCCUCCAAUCCAAACCCAGAAAGGAAAAUCAAAACUGUGGUUGGUGGUGAAAGCAAGACCCGCCCCAAGUACUAGUGAUUAUCCCUCUUUGGUCUCAAGUUAGCACAAGUAUAUGUCUGUAUUAGAGUGCUUGAGAGCACAUUCGAGUGUAACGGAACUUAAGAUCAUUUGAGGCCACUGUAGAACCUUUACGGAGGCGCUCUAUGCGUCAGAAACAGACCAUGAAUUAGUACUAUCGUCUGCGAAUUACGAUGAUGAAUAAAGCCUUCUCAUGGAGGUCCCAGUGAACAAAAAACACCAAUCAAGCAAUGUGCUCUCUACUGGUUGUAGUUGGGAAUUAUUAUUUGAUUCCAGAAACAGGCAAAAUUAACAGAGACAUAUAAAACUCUGUAACAGGGGGAAUCAGACAUAUGUCGGAUCUAACAACCAGAACUUGAUGAUCAUACGUUGAAUUUAAGUACCAACCUUCUUAAUAAUGAGAUUCCUACCUACAACAACAAACCGCAGUUUUUUCGGUUCGGUUAUUUUUUUUCGAAAUCGUAAUGGUGCAGUGAUUUCCACCGGAGUCUACGAUAGAAACUUCGAUGGUUAUGGUGAUUCGAUAUUAUACAACUUUUAUAUAUAUUUUAUAUGCAGCUUAGUAUAUUUUAAAUGAUAUAUACAGUUUGAUUCAUUACAUUGUUUUAUUUGAAAUCUAUGGUUGAGCCAAGGAACAAAACACCCAUUUGACUACCUUUCCCCUACCAACUCCAGUGCAAAUAAUGGGGUUGGUUGGUAUGUUAAAUUUCGUAGGAAAACAACAAAUUGAACAUCUCAAUGACAAUAAAAUUAGAGCAAGCUAGAAGGUAAGCAUAGAAAUAGUGGUAGUGGAAAGUGAUGGUGGAAAGUGAAAGUAGGAAAGUAAAAUGAUGUUACGUGACAUUGUGAUAUGUGAAAAUAUGAACAUAAUAGUGACACAACAACGAUUUAAUAUGUUUAUAUAAUAAUUAUAUUUAUGUGAUUUUUUUUUCAUUUUUUUGUUCCGAACCUACCCCAUUCAAGUUAAUUUGUUUGAUUUAAUUUCCAACCGUCACAAUAUGUCGGAUCUGCUCUCGGAGCCGCGUUGGUGGAUCUGACUAUGCACUCAAUUUGUUAGGUAAGAGUAACAUUUUCUUUUAAUAUUUUGGUUGGGUGUGUGUAUUGUUUUCGAAUGACUGUUGGGUGUUAUUUUUAUUUAUUAGUGUUGAAGUACGUCUUCAUUGUCAAUCACAUGAGUAGAAGUAUUUAAUGAAGCAAUGUUAUACGCACCUAAUAGUAUCUCGUGCUUUUUUUAUAAAUAUGAAGAAAUUUAAUUUUACACAUUUUUUUAUCAGCUCUUCGAAACUGCAUGCGUAACCAUAAUAGAAUAUCGGCGAUAAUGCUAUUAAUAUUCGUCCUUCUCUUUACAUAAUACGCCAAUUACACAUCAAAAGUCGAGUUCAACCUGUAGACUUUACGACCCCUCCUCCAAACCAUAUUAAGACUUACGAUAACAACAACCCUCAACUAUAUCUAGAUGAUUGAAUACAUCAAUACAACCAAUUUGAUCAUGUCUUUACCAAGCACUUCCCUUUCCUAACAAGUUGCAAACAAUAUGGAUGAAUUGUUCAACACAUUUGUUGUUAGCUAAAUGGAUAAGAAAACUCAUACAAAAAGAGGACUAAUGGAUAAAGAAGUAGUACCCAAUGGUAUUGUUUGCUAUAUAGACCAUGUUGGUGUGAUUUAUUUUUGGAUUCUUUUUCGAAAGGCUUCAUAUUAUUAAUAUGGCAGAAUUGAGGCCGGAUAAAUUCAAGCCACCACCCUAAGUCUCUCACUAGUCAAUCUCUCUGAAUUCAUAUGUACAACUAGCAAGCUUUCGAAUCUUGCCUAGUGUGUCACCGAAUCUCGCCUAUAGUGUAUCUCCAAACUAACUCAUUGUUGAACCAUUAUUUAAAAUCUAGUCAUUAUAUAUGGCUAUUUUAAUAAGAGAGAGUCCUAGUUCUGGUCUCGAGUACUAAAAUAUAUGUAUGUAAAGUUUUGAUGAUUUCGUAAGUAGGCUAAUGAUAUUUAAAGUUCUAGUCUUCUACUUAUUUUAUUAGACUAAAUAAUCAAUCAAAGUAAAACUUAUAACCAACCUAUUAAUAAAUAAUACUCAUAAAUUUAGCUAAAACACUAAAUGUAUGGAAAAAAUCACCGACAACACAUACAAUUUUAUUUUAACUAAAAACAGUACAAUUGCGUUUAGAAAAUAUAUUAGUUGCUAGCAAUUGAAAGAAAGCAAAUGUAUUCGCGAACGACCUAUCUAAUACACAUUUGAUUUUUUUUUUGAAUUGUUAAUAAAAACGUUGACACAGUUGAUUUUUAAACUUAAAAUUCCGUCCAGUUUGUUUUAUCAUCCUGGUCCCGCCAUCGAGUAUGUAUAAGUGAACUGUUUGAAGUUAAAGUAAAUUCGGGUCUAUCGUCAUGGUACUUGUAUCGUUCUUAUGCAAUGCAUCUCCAUGUCUGCUACCAUUUGUUAAUUAAGACCAAACUCAAAAGCAUUAUUUAUUCAUGUAAGUCCAGCCUGGUGGUUCACAGAUCGGAUCAUCAUCCUCUCGUUGUUGUGCCGGCGACUAUCUCACCAAACACUUGAUUAGUACAUAUAAUAUAUGUAUUACAUAAAUAAAACCAAACCUAAAAUAUCAACGCAACACGACACAAACCCAAAAGCAAAAUUAUUCUCACCAACCCCCAUCCAUCAUCUCCAGCCAUCCACUUCCUCCCUCUCAUUGGCUCUUUCUUCCCCUAUUCAUAUAUUUUUAUAAUGGUGGAUCCCACCCAAGACACCAUGUCAAGGCCGUCGUUGGUUGGUGGAGUCACUAGUACACCGAGAUUUUGAGUUCGCAUCCUAAUUUCUAACGGUGAAAAAGAGGAUGUUUAAUUCAGGAUUAACGGUAAUGGGUUUUGAUAAGAGGACGACAAGCGUACGUCAUGCUCGAACUACUGUAUUAUAGAUUCUGAUGACUUAAGUUCUAAUGUCGAGUAACUCGUCCAAAACACAAGAGUUCGGUAGGCCCUGAACGGAUUUUUUCAACAUGUUGAUAUGCUUGGCUAACGAGUUGUCUUUGUCAACUUUAUCGGUUUCAAUAGAAGCGGAGGGUUGAUCACCGCAUUAUAAUAUGUCGAUCAUCAAAAUAUAGUAGAAAAACUUGUUGUUUGGACCGAAAUAUGGGUAUUAGACUACUACGUAUUAGGAGAAGUCGAAUAUUUUAUCUUAUAAUAAUAUAACUAUAACAACAUCUUCAUCCCAAUUUUUUAGCAAUUGUCACAUGAGGGGAGAGUGAACGAGGUUGUGACACUCCACUUAAAACCUAUUAAGGACAUAAAGGAGCUAGUUUUUUUCUUGAUGAAGUGGCAUAUCCAUAAUUUCACCAAAUCUUUAACGAAGCACACAUACAACGUAUUGGUGGUAAACCGGGAAGUGCAACCCAAUGGGUUACAAAGGACGUUGCAAUGAUACGAGAUCAUAUGCACCACGUCCAAAUUAUGCUCAAUACCAAAGUCAAACACUCUAAACUCAUAUGGCAACUACUAACUGUGAUUGAAGGGCAAAAUAAUAAACGCCUACCCUGUAGAUCACGAUUCUACACCAAAAGAAAACGAGUGCUCAAAAUAUGAUACAAACCAAACAAGACAGAUUUUUUUAUUUAAAAAGAAAUUAUUAUUUUUAUUAACAGUACCACAUGAAUACAAUGUACCCAUUUUAUAAAAAAAACAUUUAUGCUAGGAAGGUCAUGUAAAUACAUUAGACUUAUUUUCUAAAAAAUUUACCUUUUCUUUUUUUGAAAUGAUUCUCCCUAGAAUAAAGUCCUCAAAAUAUGCAUAUUGUAUCCCUACAUCAAUACAAAUCACCAAUAGUCUAAAGUAAAAUAAAAUAUUAAUGUAAUUGUCAUAUCUUAUUAGAAAUUACUAAACAAUUUUUCGAAAUAAAAAUCAGCUAACAACGAGAGCGGACCUCUACCACAUGUUGACCUACUUCCACGUGGCAUCAAACCCAGCCGUCCAAUAUAACCAGGAUCCAACGACUGUGAUCACUUCUCAACUAACCCAUUCUUGCCUAACCCCACCAACACCCAACCUUCAUCUCCCCCUCUAUUUAAAGCUCCCAAAUUUGGUUCAACAAACCUCAGGAAUCAUUUCUGGGUUACCUAACAGAAAAGUUUCCUUUGCAAAAUUAACAUUUACUCAAUUACCCAUUUCCAAAAACCAAAAACACAAAACAAACAAUGGAGCUCUGCAGCAACAACGAGAACAACAACAAUGGCGGUGGGUUUUCCCUCGCUGAUCCGUUGAACUGGGGAAUGGCCGCAGAGUCAAUGAAAGGGAGCCACUUGGAGGAGGUGAAGCGUAUGGUUGCAGAGUCGAGAUCCCCUGUCGUGAAGCUUGCCGGGCAGACUCUGUCCAUUGCCCAAGUCGUCGCAAUUUCCCGCUCUGACGCGGCUGCCGAGCUGGACGAGGAGGCCCGGCCGAGGGUGAAGGCCAGCAGCGACUGGGUCAUGGAGAGCAUGAACAAAGGCACGGACAGUUACGGUGUCACGACUGGGUUCGGAGCCACGUCUCAUCGUAGGACUAAGCAGGGUGGAGCCCUUCAGAGGGAGCUGAUCAGGUACCGAUUUCGAGAAUUUUUCAUAAAUUUUUUUACGAGAUCUUAAACAAUAGUCUAAGUUGGUCAACUCAUAAUUCGGCUAAUUGUUUACAAUACAGUUUAACUUAAGGGUGUAGGUUCAUGAUUAGUGUCUAAAUUAAUUAGGUGAAUGGUUUGAAAUUUAGUUGCUCGUUAACCAGAAUCAAUAUUUUUCUUUGUUUCUAAAUUUAAUUCGAGCAUUCAUUGGUGUUAUUUUAUUUCAUUUAAAAUUUGUUAUUUACGUAAAAUUAUUUUUAAAACUCGUUGUAUAUGAUCGAGUUUGUGACAAUAACUCAACGCAUCCAAUCCAGUUCAGUCUACAUCGAGUGAUUAGAUCCAUCUCCUAGAUCUUGUGUAUCUAUGACACUCUAUUGUGUUGCAUUAUUUUUGAGAAAUUUAUCUUGUUAAACAAAUUAAUACAUUAUAUUAAAUUAUUAAGCACUAUAUAGUUUUUUAAAUUGAAUAUGAAAAUGUCUGUAUAAAAAGUGAAGUGAACUUUCUUCUGCUGAAAAGUUGGUGGAAUAAGUUUAAUUAAGGCUGAGGUGACUUUGAAGAUUAUGAAUAAGUUGGUGAACAAUUAUUCCUUAUGAUGACUACGACAAGUUUCCAACUAACUAGUUAAACAGUGGUUGAAACAAAGUAGAUACAUAGUUAGACAGUGGUUGAAACGUGUUGAGAUUCGUUGAAUUGUGUGCUAAUCGUGGAUCUUUGGAUACGCACCAGGUUCUUGAACGCUGGCAUAUUCGGCAACGGUACGGAGUCAACCCACACGCUGCCAUACUCCGCAACCAGGGCAGCCAUGCUGGUCAGGAUCAACACCUUGCUCCAGGGCUAUUCAGGAAUCCGGUUCGAAAUUCUCGAAGCCAUCACCAAGCUCCUCAAUAACAAUGUCACCCCAUGUCUACCUCUCAGGGGCACCAUCACCGCCUCUGGUGACUUGGUCCCUCUAUCCUACAUUGCAGGCCUCUUAACCGGCCGCCCCAACUCCAAAGCAGUCGGCCCCAAAGGCGAGUCCCUGAACGCGACACAAGCCUUUGAAGCUGCUGGGAUCACCGGUGGAUUCUUCGAGUUGCAGCCAAAGGAAGGUCUGGCAAUGGUGAACGGUACUGCAGUUGGUUCGGGCAUGGCCUCGAUGGUCCUUUUCGACGCCAACAUUUUGGCGGUGAUGUCCGAGGUUUUGUCAGCGAUUUUCGCUGAAGUCAUGCAAGGGAAACCCGAGUUCACAGACCACUUGACGCAUAAGCUGAAGCAUCAUCCGGGCCAGAUUGAAGCUGCAGCAAUCAUGGAACAUAUCCUGAAGGGCAGCUCUUACGUCAAGGAAGCUGAGAAAUUGCACGAAAUUGAUCCGUUACAGAAGCCGAAACAGGACAGGUACGCUCUCAGGACAUCUCCUCAAUGGCUCGGCCCCCUGAUCGAAGUGAUCAGGUCAUCGACCAAAAUGAUUGAAAGGGAGAUCAACUCGGUCAACGACAACCCGUUGAUCGAUGUCUCGAGAGGGAAGGCAAUCCACGGAGGGAACUUCCAGGGAACACCGAUCGGUGUCUCGAUGGACAACACUCGUUUGGCAGUUGCUUCAAUUGGGAAGCUCAUGUUUGCGCAGUUCUCCGAACUUGUCAACGACUUUUACAACAACGGUCUGCCAUCGAACUUAACAGGUGGACGAAACCCCAGCUUGGACUACGGGUUCAAGGGGGCUGAAAUCGCAAUGGCAUCCUACUGCUCCGAGCUUCAGUUCCUGGCAAAUCCAGUUACAAACCACGUACAGAGCGCUGAACAACACAACCAAGAUGUCAACUCAUUGGGACUGAUUUCGGCUAGGAAGACUGCCGAAGCUGUGGACAUAUUAAAGCUGAUGUCGACAACUUACUUGGUCGCUCUAUGCCAAGCGGUCGACUUAAGGUAUAUCGAGGAGAAUCUGAAGCAGACAGUUAAGAACACGAUCAGCCAAGUAGCGAAGAAAGUACUCCUAACCAACGGGGAGGUGCUCCACCCAUCGAGAUUCUGCGAGAAGGAGCUGUUGAAUGUCGCGGAGAGGGAGUACUUGUUUGCAUAUGCUGACGAUCCUUGCAGCGCAACCUACCCUCUGAUGCAGAAGCUGAGAGGGGUGCUGGUGGAGCACGCGUUGCUGAACGGUGAGAGCGAGAAGGACUCGAGCACUUCCAUCUUCCACAAGAUUGCAGCUUUUGAGGCGGAGCUGAAGGCUAUCCUGCCGAAAGAAGUCGAGAAUGCGAGGAGCGAGCUAGAGAAUGGGAACCCGGCUAUUCCGAACAGGAUUAAAGAGUGCAGGUCGUAUCCGUUGUACAAGUUUGUGAGGGAGGAAGUUGGUACCGGUUUGCUGACGGGUGAGAAGGUUAAGUCACCUGGUGAGGAAUUUGACAAGGUGUUCACUGCUAUGUGUGAAGGGAAGUUGAUUGAUCCUUUGUUGGAGUGCCUCAAAGAAUGGAAUGGUGCUCCUCUUCCUAUCUGCUAGAACAAGACUUAUAAGCAUGCAUUGCUCUGAUGUAAUCUUUUGUAUUUUCCUGCAAACAAACUAUUAUUAUCUGAUGUAAAAGUGAAGUGGUUUUUGGUUCUUGUUUCCUUUCUUUACCCAUUAAUGUGUAAGCUAUCAAUCAGUGUAUCUUCUCUAAUUUUUAUUGGGAAUCCUUUUCUGUGUACUGGUUUCAAGACAAACGGAUGAAAUCUGUAUACGGAAGGAAAUAAUUAAUUCUCCUUGUUGCUUGAGUCAGAUUGAAGUUUCUGAGCAUGUACUGUAGAUUGAUGAACUGGAGCUCAGAAUUGCAGCUGGAAAACAUUAAGUAACCAGCUCGAUUCUGAGAGGAGGCCUUGAAUAUUCUAUAUAGAGCGGUUAAUUGAAAUCUGAGUGCGAUCGGAGAACAGAGAAGGGACGAACCCUAAUUCCCAAUUUUAAUUAUCGAUGUUUAAUCAAACAUGGGUAUCACCGUAUCAGUACAACAAAGGAAAACGACACCGGAUUGUUAUCUGUAUCAGGAAAGUUGUCGCCGACAAAUUUUGUAAGGUUAAAUGCAUAACGGUUACUUAAAUUUAGGGCAGAUAACAUUUUGAUCAUUGAAAUUUCUUGACUCUAAAUUUGUGGAUGGCGGGAAAAAUGAGACGUGAAUGACGGAUUUAAUAAACUAAUCAUUUCACAUCGCAAUUCAAUUUUCAGAUAUUUGAUUAACCGAUGAUCCAAUUUGUUUUUUGCUUAGAUAGCUCUCUGUAAGGAGAUUUGUGAUAGGCCUGCAAAUAAUGAGCCGAACUCAAGACCUCGUCGAUCAGACUUUUACGUACGACGGACCAAUCUUCGUUUCGCAUGACAAGUAGGAAUCGGCCCAAGAUGCUUGCAGUAGAAUAGGUUUGAAUUUGUUGAAUUGGUCAAUUAGUGUUACAGGUUAUAUCUCCUGAGUUGCAGGUUAUAUCUCCUUGAACAAAGGAACUCCCACCUUAUGUGGAAGUAAGUAGCGAGUAAUGGGAAGUAGUUUGGAUACAGAAUCUCAGUAGUUGUAUUUAAGCUUUCGGUCAAUGGAAUAAUAGCAGGCAAUCUUUUAUCAAAUAACUCUCUGAUAGUUUUUGUCAAGAAAUUAGAACACGAUGUUUUUCUACCAAAAAAACAAAUAUUGAUUUCAAUUUUAUUAAUAUGAAGAUAGAAAGUAGUAAAACUUAAGCAUCAACUUAUGAAAUGAGGACUAACACUCAACCGCCAAUUCAAGUGAACAAACUGAAACAAGCCGAACCACGUCUUACCUCUUUCCCAACCCAAAAUCCACCGCUCCGCCAUCAACACUAUCGAACUCUCUGUUUAUGAUCCCCGAUGAGUUUUGAAACAUCGAGAUACAUUCCGAGCAUAUUGAAAAGUCAGUCUACUAGGCCGAACAAACUCCCUAUCGUUUUUUCAUAUAUUGAAUCAUAUUGUUCUAUCGGAAUCAACGGACAUGAUUAAUAGUUUAUUUGGAUAGGUUCGUUCAUGGGAAUGGAGAGCAGUUUGAAAUCUAGGCAAAAAUGUUCCAGUAUUUCUCAUCAUAGGGGUAUUUUCGGUAUUUUCAAAAUAUUUUUUUUAUUUUUUACUUUCAAAUUUUCAACAUUUUCAUAAUGUUUAAUAACCUAAAUGUAAAAUUCAAAAUUUAAAAUUUAAAAUUUAAAAUUUAAAACCCAAUACUUUAGACUCUAAAUUUAAAAAUCUAAAUUCAAAAUCUAAAAUCCAAAAUUGAAAACAUAAUACUUUAGAUAACCUAAAAUCCAAUCCUAAAAUUCAAAACUAAAAUUUAAAAUUUUAAAACUCUUUUUCGUCGGAUUCCAAACCGUCUUUAGUUGUCGAGUUUUGACUGCUGCGCCAACAGUAGCAAUAGCAAUUUUCGGUUUGAUCCAAGGCUUAGCCAAGCGGAGUUGGUGACUAAAGCGACAUACUAACCACACCAAACUCCAAACUUUUAUUUCCCACACUAACCCCAUCAUCACCACAAGGUUGGUAGCUCCGGAGGUACCUUAUGUUUUCCCUAUGUACAAAUUCAGCACUCUUCCUUCAGAAAAUAAUGUCCGGCCCGGUACCAUUCUUUUGCUCAAAAUGAAAAUUCCACUUAUUCUUACGGUUAAUUCAAUCGUAUAAAUUAUUCUUUUCAUAUCACUUAAACUUGAAUCAACAUUUUCAGUGUUUAAGUUUUAGAUAAUCUUCUCUCAAAAUAGAAAAAAUCGAACGAUCAUCAUUUUUCUCUUUACAAUAUUUCUAAAUCACUUUUCAACUUCGUAACCCUUUAUACUAUUUCAAUCUUUAUAAAUCCUUAUUGUUCGAAGAUUUCAAGCAAAAGUAAUUAUACACUUCAUUCUUACAUCUUUUACAUAGUAACAAUCUAGAAUCCGACAACCUUUUCUUUAUCGUUCUUUUAACAACUUUAUAAACCCUUCAAAAAUUUCAAAAACAACAUUUAAAACGUCCACCUAAACUCCAAUAAUAUAGAAAGGGCUUCUUAGGGUGGCGAUGACAUGUAGUGAUGAGGUAAGGGAAAAAGAUAGAUGUAUUUGUUUUGUAAUGAAUAAAUACAUGUAUUUUAAUUUUGAACAUAUCCUUAAAAAUAUAUCAUAUACCAAAAAUAGCUUUUUAAAAAAGAGUGUACUUGAAAGACAACUAGUUCUCCUAAAAACCCUUGAGCUGAAAAUGCCGUCGCUGUUAUAGUUGCCGCCGCUAUUCUAUAGUCUAUAUCAUUAUCGCUACUGUUUUAGUUGUUGCUUUCCUAUGAAAGUUUGUUGUACUCUUUCAGAGAGUUUUGUUCCAAAAAUUUUAGCCGUUACUCAUCUUUCAUCAAUCCGUCAAUCAUGAAUUAUCAUUAAGGAUUACGAUCUGAACCUGCAAUAUCACCGAUGGCUCCUUGCGAAUUUUCAUCACAAGCGGAAAUCACCACCUCGAAAUCGGAUACUACCCCUUUAAAAAAAGAGUAUGCUUAUUUGGUCAUGGGAUAAAUAUUAGGUACCCAACACCACCGCCACCCACCAACCAAAGGUUAAAAAUGGAAAAGAAAAUAUCGCAAAUGAGUAAUUUAGCCAUUUAAUGAUUUGAUUAAGGAAAAAUUAGGACUUCCACGUAAAUUGAUAAAAUACCCAAUUACCUACUGCUACCACUGACUCGCUACGCCUAUAUAACUCUCUUAACCAACCCUCACCUGUUUUCCGCUUCCUCACUUGCUUCCAUACUCUGCUGCAGCUCCCUGUUCUUCAUCAGCUCCAUCGCAUUUGGAUCUCAUCAACACUCUAGAUUUACAAAAUGGCGUCCGAAGGUAUCUUGUUGGGCAUGGGAAACCCGCUCCUCGACAUCUCUGCUGUUGUCGACGACGGCUUCUUGUCCAAGUAUGUCAUCCUAAUCGAUAUCUGAUUCCAUCUCUCUUUCACACUUCUCCGCUGAUCAUUAUGCUGAGAAGUCAGAUCUAGGAAAUGGGUCCGAAUCAUAAUUGAUGUAUUAUGGGAUGUAUUGUACUGUUGUUCGUUUUAUGGUACUGGAUCUGUGUUCCUUUUUGAAGCGUUUUUAAGUGAUGGGGUUUUUUCUUGAUUUAGGAGAGAUUGGAUCUCAUCUUUGUGUCCCUUAAGCUGAUUUACGACUAAUGGAUUUGAAUUGACGAAUCCAUGUUCUCUUCGGAUUGGGGAUUUGCACUUUCUAUUUCGAAUCUGGGGAAUGAUCAGCUUUCACUGUCUGUCUAAUUGCGGAAAAUUUGUUAUGAUGUUUAGUUUUUUUGGGUGAACUAAUGUGGUGGAACUUAGCUAAGAUUGACCUGAUGCUUUCACUGUUUGAUCUCGAGCUAACUCUGAGCUGAUUCAUUACAUAGGUAUGGCGUCACGCUGAACAAUGCUAUUCUUGCCGAGGACAAGCACUUGCCCAUGUAAGUUUCUUAUUUCUGUGUUCAAGACUAUCCUUUUUUCUUGACCUUUGUACAAUCUUGAACUGAUUCAGCUUGUGAAGUUAUAUGACUUGAUUUACGCUUGGAUUUUGAAGGUAUGAUGAAAUGAGCAGCAAAUAUUCUGUCGAGUACAUCGCUGGAGGUAACAUUGAGAUCCUGCAAGUACUUUCAUGACAAAGCACUUGUUCUUUCGAAAAGGUUCUGCAUAUUAAUCCUUUUAUUCGCUCAUUAAAAUUAUAGGUGCCACUCAGAACUCCAUCAGAGUUGCUCAGGUAUGAUGAAUGUCACAUGGCAGUUUUUUAUGUCUUCCAGGAUAGCACCUAUGUUUGUACUGUUGCUGAUUUUCUUUCGACGAUUUUCUGUAUAUUUUGCAGUGGAUGCUCCAAAAACCUGGUGUAACUAGCUACAUGGGUUGCAUUGGGAAAGACAAGUAUGGUGAGGAGAUGAAGAAAAACGCCACGGACGCUGGCUUGAAUGUAUGUAACGCUUAAUCUCCAGUUUACUCUCUGGCUGGUUUCUCUUCAUCUCACUGUUGAAAUCAUUUUUCAUUUGCCAUGAUAAGGUCCAUUAUUAUGAAGAUGAAGCUGCUCCUACUGGGACAUGUGCUGUCUGUGUUGUUGGUGGUGAGAGGUUAGUUGGUUUCGAUCUUAAGGCUGUCUAAUAUGUAACUUGCAUUUCAAAUACAUUGGUGAAUCCUUGUACUCAUUUUUGCCUAUAAUGUUGCAAAAUUAACUACUCUUAGGUUUCAUGUGAUUCCUAUUGUUCCGAAACAAUAAUCAACUUUGAUAUCGUUGACUGAUGGUCUUCUGAUUAUUCUAAUCGAUACAUCCAACUAUCCAAGUGAUUCUGGAGAGUGAUAAAUCAUGAUGCAGUAGACAUCAUCGGUUUUAAAUGUUUCCUCAGAUUUAUUUCAGGGAAUUGCUUUCAUCUAUGUGUUUGCAUCAGUUAUACGAUUUAGCUGUAAGAAUUUCUAUUAUAUAUAAAGUAGAACAAUGAACUCCUUGUUAAUAAUUCUACAGGUCACUUAUUGCAAAUUUGUCUGCUGCAAACUGUUACAAAAUUGACCAUUUGAAGCAAGCUGAGAACUGGUCUUUAGGUAUGUCUUGCACUUCAGACCUCUAAUGUUCUACUUUGUUCUUGAAUGCAUUGUCGUAUCCCUUAUUGUGUUUGGUUUUUUAUUUUGGUUGUAGUUGAGAAGGCCAAAUACUACUACAUUGCCGGAUUUUUCUUGACCGUAUCUCCCGAAUCUAUCCUUCUUGUGGCUGAGCAUGCAGCUGCCAAGAACAAGGUAUGCAUUAUCAGGUGGUACGUUGUAGUUAUUGCUUUUAAUGUUCAUAAUCUAAGUCUAUUGCUGUUCGCAGAUCUUCUCAACCAACCUUUCUGCUCCAUUUAUCUGCGAGUUCUUCAAGGACGCCCAAAUGAAAGUUCUACCGUAAGCGUUUACACCAAAAUUUGCGUUCAUAGCAUCAAGUUCUUUUCAUGCUCUAGCUUAGGCUCUGACAUAAUCUUGUUUUUUAGUUAUGCGGACUACGUGUUUGGCAAUGAGACUGAAGCUAGAACAUUCUCUAAGGUCCAUGGAUGGGAGGUAAUUGCUUAUCGACAUUGCUGGAUUGCCAACUUUGUCUGUUUUUAACACUAAAACUUGCACUGAAAUCCGAAACCUUUGUAAACACUUUUUUUUUUCUUUCUCAGACUGAGAAUGUAGAGGAGAUUGCUGUUAAGAUCUCCGAGUUGCCCAAGGCUUCAGAUGCACGCAAGAGGAUUACUGUUAUCACCCAGGGAGCUGACCCAGUUGUCGUUGCACAAGACGGGAAGGUGAAGACUUUCCCAGUCACCUUGUUGCCUAAGGAAAAGCUCGUGGACACCAAUGGAGCUGGUAAGUACCCUUUCAAAUACAACUUUCUGGUUCAUUGAGGAUCUGGGUAGACCUUAUAACGCCAUCGCCUAUUCUCCAUGACCAGGGGACGCCUUUGUCGGAGGGUUCUUGUCGCAGCUGGUGCAGGAGAAGCCAAUUGAAGACUGUGUUAGAGCUGGAAUCUACGCGGCCAAUGUGAUCAUCCAGAGGUCAGGAUGCACAUACCCAGAGAAGCCAGAGUUUAACUAGAUCCAGAUCAUCAAUGGAAGCCCUCCACAAGCACAGCAAUUAUAGUAAUGAAUUUUACGUCAAGUUCUCUAUUCCGCUGAAACAUUGAUCUGAUUGUUGCGGCAUUUAAAUUAUAUUAUUGAAAACUCCAGGAAACUAGAGGUUUUUGUUUUCGUAUGCUGUGCCAUUGAUAUAUUGGAGUUAGUUGGUAUUGCAGUUUGUGCUUACCUGGAAGGUUUGGGGAUGGUUUAAGGUAUGCGAUGGGAAAAAUAAGAUGGAAGUGUGCUGGGUUAAGUCAAGAAAUAGAGUUGUUUCGGUUGAGUUGAGUUUUACCCAAUUUGAGCUCGGCUAUUUGCAAGGCUUAGCGAUCUUGAGCCCGGCUGGUUGCAAGUUUCAAUGAACUCGAGCUCGAACCGUUCACAAGGCUAACGAGCUUGAACUUGAGGGUCACUCAUUCCCAAGAAUAGUAGAAUUAAGGCAUCACAUUUUCAUACUAUUCUUAAAUUGACUCGACCACUAAAAUUUUAUCAAGUAAUUAGUUGUUGAGAAAUAUUUAUUCAUCAUGAAAUUCUUGAUUUUUCUAGAUGGAUCUUGAGCCUAUUCACGAGUUUAUAAUCAAACCAGUAAUCGAGUCGUUUGUAAGCUUUCAAUUCCCCAGCUUGCCAACUACAUAAAUCGAGUCAUCACGCGAAUUAUAAGCGAGCUGGCUCACAAACUUAGUCCGCGAGAUAGACAAGACAAGUCGGGAUUAACUAUUGUUUACCUUGUUUAUUGAGCCAAAUCGUUUCACACCAAACCGAACUCCGAAAUGCUGGCUUCGUCAACAACCCUAGUCAAGAAAUAAGGUGGUUUCGAAUUUCGAUAUCCUAGUCGCAUCAGUACCAUAUUACCAUAUUACCCCUCCCACCAGUGUGAUAUUCAUAUUACCCAUCCAGCUGCCAUGUGUCAAUCCAUAGUCCGACCACCCCUGCAAAAAGCUCCCACCGACUUCCUUGACAUUGUUGCCAAAUAUCAGAUUCCCCCCCCACUACUUAUCCCACCAUCCCAUCCUCCCCCGUAUUUUCUCCAAAAGCCAACAACUUUCGAUUCCCAUUUUCCUCAUCCAGAAACCCCGACACUCUUUCACUUCACUGUAUCACCAAUGGCCGCUGCAGCACCACCGCCGCCACCGUCCCCGACUCCCAACCCACCAACGGGAUUACCAAACUCCGAUACCAACGCCCCAGUCGGCUACCCACUCUUCUCCCGCAUCCGCCUCGCCACCCCAACCGACGUCCCCCACAUCCACAAGCUAAUCCACCAAAUGGCCGUCUUCGAGAAGCUCACCCAUCUUUUCUCCGCCACCGAAUCAAACCUCUCCUCCUCCCUCUUCACCUCCCCUCCUUUCCAAUCAUUCACCGUCUUCCUCUUAGAAAUCUCCCGCUCCCCUUUUCCCAACGCCCCAACUCCUUCGCCUGUUUCCACCACCCACCGCAUCGUUAACCUCGACCUUCCCGUCAUCGACCCGGAGGCUGAGACCUUCAAGACCGGCGAUGAUGUUGUGGUUGCUGGAUUCGUGCUGUUCUUCCCCAAUUACUCCAGCUUCUUGGCCAAGCCUGGGUUUUAUGUUGAAGAUCUGUUCGUGAGAGAGUGUUAUAGGAGGAAAGGGUUUGGCAAGAUGCUGCUUUCGGCUGUGGCGAGUCAGGCUGUGAAGAUGGGGUAUGGGAGGGUUGAGUGGGUUGUGCUUGAUUGGAAUGUGAAUGCCAUCAAUUUUUAUGAAGGGAUGGGUGCGAAAGUGUUGCCUGAGUGGCGCAUUUGCAGGCUGACUGGCUCUGAACUUGAAGCCUAUGGCGAUUCUGCUCCUGCUCUGUAGAAGGCUGCUAUUUAGUUAGUGCUGAGUGGUUCUUACUUUCUAGGGAUCUUUGAUCGCCUUGUAUGGGUUUUUAUGCAAACUAUGUGCUGCUAAUUAUUGAAAUGAAACUUUCUGAUGCUUUUCGAGUUCUUAUUCUCUGUAUAUUGGAUGCUUUAUGAAAUUCAGUUCUGCUGCAUUUUAGCAUAUUUUCAAAUGGAGUGAAUGAUUGAACUGUCGUUAGUUGGUUUUUCAAAUUCCUCUUUCACUUGUUACUUAUAUGACAAUGUACCAGGGAAAACAAGUUAUAAAAACCUGCUGUUAAGUUAUGAAGUUACUGUUCUGCUGCAGUUUAGCUUAUUUUUGCAAAUGGAGUGAAUAAUGAAGCCUUCAUUCGUUUGAUACUUCAAUUUAUUCUUUCACCCGUUAUUUAUGUGACAAUGUACCAGGGCAAACAAGUUACAAGUUACAAAAACCUGUUAUUUAGUUGGAUACAUACUAAUACUGAUAAGCUGGUAUUCUGAUGUGUGUAUAUCAGAGUUCUUUUGCUAGCUCCAACUAGUAUGGAGCUGUGGUCCAUGGCCUUAUUGGGUUUCUAGUGAACCCGAAGAGAAGGUACAUAAAACAGUAGAGUUCAGCUCUCUUUUACUGUGAUAAAGGAGGCUGCAAGUGGUUGCCGGUACAAAGAUCAUGAUGUUUGUCUGUGACUGAGGUUCUAGCAAAUGAUAUGAUCAGACAUGGUUCUUAAUGGCCUUACUGUAUCCACUUUGCUCAUCAUAGUACUUUGACCACAACAUGACGCCACCGUACUUCUUAGAUUUCUUGAUUGUAGGCAAUACCUUGUUGAUCGGAUCAUGAGCAGGGAUAAAACCACUGCCUGCUGCACCUUCUGCAGCAGGGAGCCCCAAGAAGACCUUUUUAGUGGGAAUGGAGGAAGUCCAUCGAUGCCAAGCAUCUUCGAGUCCAUCGAUGCUCCCAUCGGAGUAUUGGCAAGGAGGGUUGUUGUACAAUUGCACCCAAAGGUAGUCGAAAAGGCCUGUGGUGAGUGCGCUUCCAACCCAUGCAUCAGGGAAUAUACACUGGGGAGCUGCAGUUACAUACACUUGCUUAUUCCCCCCAUUGUUGUGAUGUUUCAGGAACCUUGCGAGAUCGCUCCAGUGCUCGGGAGUCCCUCCUUCAAUGUCAAAAUCAAUCCCGUCCAGAACUGCCUCACCGAGUGGCCUUGAUGAGGAAUGCCCUCCCAGAAAGUUGUCCCACAGGUAAGUUGCGACUUUUCUUGCGUCGUCUGUACUUGUGAGAUAGUAACUGCCAACUCCACCUCCAAUGGAGAGCAAGACCUUAACACCUUUCUCUUGACACGACUUUAUCUCGGAGCUUAGUCCUUCACAGCCUCCGGAUGUCAGAUUGCAAUGCCCGGCGAGGUUGAUCGUCGGCGUUUGGCUGUUGCCAAAUGUUGGCAGGAAAGCUAUUAUCACAUAUCUGUAGUCUCCAGUUGCACAAGUCUCUUCCAGGCUCGCUUCAUUUCCGUUUUGUCCCCAGUAGAUCGCUAUGCUUCCAGCUUCUAAACUCUUGAGCAUUGACAAUAAGCGCCACAUUAGUGAGGUUGCUGCCCUGGAAAAAGCUGACAUCUUGCUCGAAAGAAAUGCUCGCUUUCUAUUGUAUGAUUUCUAUCUCUCUCCUUUAUAUGUACUGUUGCCUGUUGCUGAGACAUUCCUUUUAUACCGUAGUUUUUACUGCAACUUAGGAGUGGGACGAUUUAAUGAUCAAAGUUGCAUUCUUUUCAUAUAUAAAACUAUAUUCUAGAGGAUGAAAGGUUGUGGGAACUUGUUUUGAUCUUUUGUCGCAGGUCUAAUUAUUCUGUUGCAUGUGAUGUCCAUAAGGAAUGAUAGAGUCAGAAGAAACACGUGUGUGAAUCAGAGUUGAUAAAACUUCCUUGGUAAAGUCGACCAAUUUGUUCCUUCUGGUUUUAUUUGUGUGUCCAUUUAGAUGAAAAAAUCUAAUCCUUGGAGUCUUUCCUUUGAAAUGAGUCUUAAGAGUGUUGUUAUUGCCAACUUCUUACGCUUCUUUGGUGAUUAAUUUAUGUCACUUGGUUGAAACCAUACGACUCAAAAGCUGAGAUUUUUUGUCGUUAAAUAUAGUUCUGUUCAUCAGCAAGUCUCUUUUGCAGGUUUUGAUUUGUGGUUUGAUACUUCAGUUGUAAUCUGAUUGGAUAUCGGUAUGGAAAUUAGGCAGAGCAAGGGAUCAUCAUAUAACAGUAAAAGAGCUUUUUUGUACAUAAGGUGCAUUCAGGCAAGUGCAUUCUCACAAACGAUUCACAUACAAAUAUAGAAAAGGGAGUGCAUAUUUGUGGCCUGAUGCCACAUAAUUUUAGACCGAGUUCUUGAUGGCUUUGCUGUAUCCAGUUUCGUCAUCGUAAAACUUCGACCACAGCAUAACACCACCGUAUUUAUCACUGUCCUUGAUUGCAGGGAGGAUCUCAGAUUCAAGAUCAGACGCAGGGAUGAAACCGCUCCCAGCUGCAUUCGGUGCAGCAGGCAGCCCGAGGAAGAUCUUCUUAGCUGGAAUUCCAUUCCAUUGCUUCCACGCAUCUUCGAGGUUGCUGAUGCUUCCGGAAGAGUACUGGCAAGGAGGAUUGUUGUAGAACUGAACCCAAACAUAGUCAAAGAGUCCCGUCUGAAGCGCAUUCCCUAUCCAUGCAUCGGGAAACGGGCACUGAGGAGCCGCACUCAGUAAAAUCUUCUCGCCGCGAGAUUUUAGAGACCUGGCUAGAUCGUCCCAGUACAUGUUCGUUCCUCCUUCGAUGUCGAAGUCAAUCCCGUCAAGCACAGCAGGACCGAGUGGCCUCGACGAAGAGUGUCCGCCCAAGAAGUUGUCCCAAAGGUAAGUUGCAACGUUUUCCGCGUCUUGGGUGGAUGCAAGAUCGUAGCCUCCAGCUCCUCCACCGAUCGAAAGCAGCACCUUGAUCCCCUUAGCUUGACACGCCUUGAUGUCGGAGCUCAGACCGGCACAACCGCUGUUAGUUGGAUCACAGUGGCCUGCUAGGUUGAUUUGUGGCGGCUGUCCAUUGCCAAAUGAUGACAGGAAAGCUAUGUUCACAUAGUGAUAGUUCCUUGUGGCGCAAGUUUCGGCUAGGGUGCCUUCUUGCCCGUUCUGUCCCCAGUAGAUUGAUAUUCCGCCAGCUUCAGAACCAGCCAUCAGCGCUGCCAGAAGGAUUGAUGACACGAGGAUUGACAUUGCCAUGGCUGCCCUGAAUGCCAUUCUAGUCACUUUGUUUUCCUGAGGUUUUUUGCCUUUUGUUUGGGGAUGCUUCUGGGUUGCAAGGUUCGUUUCUGUGUUCCUUUUUAUAGGCAGCAGAGCUUGAAAGCUCCCUUGUGAGUUCAUCUGUUGGAUGAUUCUCAUUACUGCGUGGAGUAGCAGUAACUUUGUUUAUAGAUGGAUGAAUGAAUGAAUGAAUGGAAUUGAAUCAACGUUGCUGCUGUUGCUGCUAACUAAUAAGAUAAGGGUCAUGGAUGAGCUCAAAGAAUUUCAACGAAAGGGAACAGAUAAAAAUUGAGAUGAUAACUUUACUGGUUUCGCAUUAUGAUCUCAAAUACUUUUUUAUGUAACAAUUUGGUGAUUGUGAAAUAUAUCUUCUCAGUUCUCACAGCUUGGUUUGUUUUUUAGACGAAUAGGCAAUAGCUUCAUUAAUCUUAUCAAUGCUGCAAAAAAGUAUCACAUGGUUCAAUAUUAACUGGAUUUAUACCUGACUUUUGAUUUGUUUACUUUUAACUAUUUUGAUUAACACACAAUGAUUUAAAUUGAUAUUAUCAAUUUUCAAUUUACAAAAGAAUAAAUAUUAAUUAUUUAUAAAAGUCAAUUUAAAAAUGAUCCCAAAGAUUAUAAUUUUAAAAAUAAUAUUAAAGUAAAAAUACUAAAAUCUAAAAGGAGAUGCAGAAAUAGAUACAGAAAAAAAAAGAGUUAGAUGUGGAAGAGAAGGCUUAAUAUGAAGAGUACUUUUAUUAGGGUUCUUGCUCCCAUUUCAUCCAUCUACAUCGUGCAUAAAUACACCCCUUCCUUUACGAAAUCAAAAAUAUUAACCGAACAAUAACGAUAACUGAAAUAAUAGCCGAAAUAAUAAAAAAAUCUAACCGAAAUGAUAAUAGCUAACCAAAAUAAUAAUAAUAGUAAAAGUGAAAUAAUAAUACCAAAACACCCAUAAUUAACCCAAAUGUAUUGACGCGGCCCGGCCCGUCACACAACCAUUCGAGUGGCGGUCAAAUGUGAAGUUAAAAAUGCAAUUUCCGUAUGACGGUUUAUUGGGUAUUAAUGGUUUUUUAUUUAAAUUGAUUGAUUUUUAAUAUGUGUUGGUAAUGGAUAGAAAUUCAAGUUGCAUUAUGUCAANNNNNNNNNNNNNNNNNNNNNNNNNNNNNNNNNNNNNNNNNNNNNNNNNNNNNNNNNNNNNNNNNNNNNNNNNNNNNNNNNNNNNNNNNNNNNNNNNNNNNNNNNNNNNNNNNNNNNNNNNNNNNNNNNNNNNNNNNNNNNNNNNNNNNNNNNNNNNNNNNNNNNNNNNNNNNNNNNNNNNNNNNNNNNNNNNNNNNNNNNNNNNNNNNNNNNNNNNNNNNNNNNNNNNNNNNNNNNNNNNNNNNNNNNNNNNNNNNNNNNNNNNNNNNNNNNNNNNNNNNNNNNNNNNNNNNNNNNNNNNUUUUAUAUACAAGUUUGGAAAGGUUUUUGUAAAACAUAAUGGUUGGUUUUUACGGUCAAUGAGAUAGAAAAAAUAAUGUAACGUGGCCAUGGGAUCUCUAUUGAUGAAUGAUGAUGCUGAUGUUGAUGAUGGCAUGAUUUAUGAAGAUGAAGAUGGUGCUAAAGAAUUGAAACUUAAGAAACAUAAAAAUAACAAUAAUUAAUGAUUUGGUUCAUUUUUUUAUAAACUUUAAACCCUUAACUAAAAUCUUAAAUAAUAAUUUAAACAAAUUCAACCAUUAAAUAAAUAAUAAAAAAUUUCGGUAUUUCUGACUUAUUGAUAUUUCCGAUAAAAUAAAAUUUAUCAUAAACAGGUAUUAAAGUAACCAGUUGUUAAGAAUAAAUCUCGAUCGUUCCUUCUUUAUUUUAAAAAUUAUAUUAAUUCAAAAAAUAAUUAACUUAAUGAUUACUUAACUUAAUUAUAAUAAUUAUUAAACCUAUAUAUAUAUGUUUUUAUCUUCCCGUGUUGGUAUGGCGUCCAAUCGCUCAUCCCCAUGAGCUAAAAUAAUAUGAUAUACAUCUUUUUACAUAAUUAUUUUAAUUUCGAAAAAAAUUGCACCGACGAACCCUGACUGUUGAUCACUUCCAAAACCUCCUCCGUCGUCACCUCCUCCGUCGUCAUAGGUCAUUCUCUUCCUUCUCCUUGUCGAUUAGGCUGGGUUGGCUCGGGUGUGGUGGAUUAAAGCAGAACUAACUAUAUAUAAUUGGAGAUUGGAAAUUGAUUGGUGUGUGAAGAUACAAUGGCCAGCUUCCCUUUCUUCUUCUCUAAUAUUGAUGUCGACCACCGGCUCCUCACACGCCGACCAUUCCUCGUCCCUCCCAUGUUAGCUUUCGUUGAUCUUGGAAAAUCUCAUUAUCCUAGCUCCCAUGUUGUAUGGACCUUGCAAGAUCUCUCUCAUGUGGUAUGUGGCAACUCGAACUUUGGCAGUGCCAUGGAUGGUGUAUGGUAACCAGUAAGCACUUCUCAAACUGUUUUUACACAAAGAUUAUUCCCACCCUAAGAAGCUUUGACACGGCUGAAUCGAUUCAACAAAAUGAAAGAUUGCGGAGAAGAAGAAAUCACUUGGGAGGAGGAGCUACAGCCGGCUCGUAGCUGUCGCCGGACGGCGGGGGAUGAACCAGAAAAGAUGGGAGACUGAAAGAAAAUCGCUAAUGGCAAAAGGUUAAAAAAUAUUUGAACUGCUUGCAACAGAUAUAAUUUUGACAAAUUCCCCAUACAAACGCUUAGAAAACUGGAAAUAGUUCAUUCAUUCAUUGGGCCAAACCCGGUUAGUGUGGAUACCGAAGAGUCUCAAGCUUCGCAUGGAAACAAACAAUGCCCUCUGGAUGGAGUGUCCCGGCUGACUUUAGCAUUACUCUUGUCGACCAACAUGGUGGCACUUGUUCCGUGAAAAAGUGUAACUAUCCCACUGGAAACUCGGGUCUUUUUCCAGCUACUCAUCGAUUCUUCUGUUGUAUAGUUAUGUGAGUAGACUGUUGUUCCUGCAUGUACCAUGCACAAUUUCCAUGCGAACGAGGGUGAUUGGGGGUUUAUCUCGUUUGUUCCCAUCGAUCUUGCUCAGAAACACUACAUUGUCGAUGAUUCCCUUGUUGUUGAAGCUGAAAUUUCUACCGUUAAAUAACUCUUUUAGGAUUUGUGUAAUGGUCCUUUUUUUGCUGAUCACCUCUCAAAUGUUGACAAUGUCUUGUUUAAUUGCAGGAUGCAAUAGUAUCAAGCUGCUACUGCUGAUGAACCUAAAGUAGUUGAGGAUGAUCAAUCUCACCAGUCUACCGAAGAAUCAUUGUCCCAGCCCCUUCAACCAGAGCUGCAGUCAAUCAACUCUCUUAGCUAAUUAGAAUUCACCUGCUCACGUUUGACCAUUUCGUUUCUUGUCUGCGAGCUCUUUAGCUUGUUCAGGUUGAUAAUCCUGUUAAGGCAAAUGAAAACUCCAGCAGUUCUUUCUCACCAUCAACUGUGUAGUCAACCACUCAGCAAAUUGAUUUCGGAACUUUCAACCAUGACUAGCAGUCACAACUUAUCACCUGACUCGAAUCAAGGCCAUGGUUCGGACUUGCAGCAACAGAAAAACGAUAAACAUUGGCUUGUUCGAUAUGUCACUUGAGUCCCUCUGCCAAACCAAAUCUCUUGAAGAAGUAGAGAACGUUGCUCACGAGAUUCUUGUGCUGGCAGCUGAUCGCUCUCGCCAGAAGGCUGUUCUGGAAGACCUUAUCUCGCACCUGGCAGAGUUUAAGGAGACUGCUCCUCUCUGUCUGUCAACUCUCGAAACUUGCCUUGUUAUCGAAACUUCUAAAGGCAAAUAUGAGCAAGGAUUUGGAGGGGAGGCUGGCUUACAGGAAAGGGAAACUGUCAACUUUGCAGGCAGAGGUUUCUAAACUUGUGGAAGAAGGCUUGAAGCUGGAUGUCGAAAUUCAACAAUUAACUGCUCGGAGGGCCAAAAUUCUUGAACCCGUGAAUUCUACUUCGGUGGAACUGGAGAAGGCUAACCAAGAGGCUUCCAAGGAACUGGAUGAACUGAAGAAGGAAAGUAACGAGAUUAAUCAAGCAGGCAAAAAGCGGAUGAGAGCCAUGGAGGACCUUGCUCAGGCUAAUGCAAGUUGGAAACUUUUCAAGAAUUUAGGAUGGAAAUAGUAUUAGUAGUAGGUUUAAGUCUUUGAUGGGUCCAUCGUUGAAGUUGUAACUAACUUCUGAACUCUCUGCGAUCAGAGUUUAUGGUAUGAGCUUUUGGAUACAGCAAUAGCAGAAUGGAAUAUCUGCGUUUAUUUCUGCUGACAGGCUUCGCACUAAGGCUGAACCCAAAAGUUUUAAGCUUUUCCUCUUCGAUCGAGCUCCGACUUAUACAAUACAUCUGGCUUACACCGCAGUUCAAACGUCUCUCUAGUUCCCUACCCACAGUUACUGAAACCGAACAGCCGAAGCUGCAAAAUAUUAACAUACUUUUGUUACAUGCUAACAUGUUCCAAUCCCAACUGAUAGCUCACUCAUGCAGAAGAGACUACUAAUUAACUUAAACUAAUGGCCUUCACGGAGAUUCCUUUUCAGAUCCUUAUUCUCCUCAUUGAGAUGAUCGAUCCUCGACUGGAGAAUGUUGGCCAUGGCAUUAGCCCUCAUCAGUUCCAGCUUCAGAGUCUCUCUAUCGACAGAGACUUUGUGGACCUCGCUCUGCAGGUCAUUGAUGAGCUUCAUGCACCCAGAAGGGACCAGAGACUCGAGGCUAGCGGAACUACUAGAUGUGGGUUUCUUCGGGGAAGGCGUACGUUCCUUAGGCUCCAUCAGAGAGAACUCCAGCAGUGCAGAGAUGGCUGUGGUUGGGGGAGGCGGGGGGGGGGGGCGACGGUGCGAUCGUGUCUGUUGUGGUUGUGGUGGAUGAGCAGAGGUCCUGGGGUGUCCGUGUUGUUGACUUCUCAGAGCCGUUGGAAUCGUAAUCAUGGCCGUGCUUUCUUCUUUUGUAUUGGAUCAGCGGGAAUUGAGCUUCUGUGUUGAGAACGCACAUCGGAGCAUCCAGCUCCUCCAUCUCUUCCACGGUUUCGUUCUUGCACAGGGAUAAGAGAUCUCGGGUCACCUUCGGAACUUCGUUCACGUCGAAUGGUUCUUUGCUAAUUGAAAGCUUGUCCUGCACAGCAAAACCCAAUCAUUCUUUGAUAGCCAACUUAGAAAAAGAUCAGUUCUUUUUCCAAUUGCCACUUACCAGUCUUAACAAAUUCUCCAUUGCACUCGAAACAAAAUAAGAAGAUUCAUUCAUCAUGCCUACAGAUUUAUCAUAAAAGCAAGAAGUUUGACGAACCUGCUCAACUCGGUUCAUCUCAGCAUAAGCUUCACUGCAAGCUACACGUUCAUCUGCCACAUCUUCUCCAGGGACAAGGACUGGCUUAUUAUCAUCAUCCCACUCUUCCUCCAUAAAAGGAGCAUAUCGGUUUCCAUUUGGGGGUCCGAUAUUGUUCUUGUGAAACACUCUACAUAGCACAAAUGAAUCUCCCUACACCCACAGCCACAACAAAAGAUUCGAUCUUGUCAAAAAAUGGCCAAAAUGAAACCCACGUUUUGGAUUGCUAAGCACUUCUCAAAAUCUCACCUGAAGAUUGCCGAUUCUCUCCAACUCCUCGUCAACUAAGCGGUACUCAUGCAUGACCCAAUUGGUACGAUGGCCCCCGGGGGCUCGUCCAUUGUGGAACACAAGGGUCUUCUUCAUUGCAAUGAGUUGGUUGUCUCGACGAAUUCCCCGGUCUUUCCCGGUGGCUUUCCAGUAGCCAGUGCCAGUGGCUCUGUUCAUUCUUCCACCAUUUCCGUACUUCCUAUCCAAUGCACCAUAGAAGUACCACUCUUGGUCUCUGGUUUUCAACCUUGACUUGUCUGAAACUCCGCACAAGAUUCAACCCAGAGUUACAAACAGUAAGCAAAAGCAUACACAGAAUCAAGCAAUCCAGACACAUUUUAACCAAAACAAUGAACAUAAUUUGGAAAAACAUAGAAAUCCACAUCAAGAUUGGAACUUGAGAGCACGUAAUUGCGUACCCAAAUCAAAUUAUCCAAACAAUAAAAAUCCAAGACAAACUAACUACCAAGAGAAAUGAAAAAAAAACGGACCGGCGAGUUCCCAGGGCUCGUUUCGGUAGAUAUCAACUUCAGCGAUGGCGUUGAAGCGGACGGGCUUGCUCCCAACCUUACGCCUCAAGUAAUAGCUAACCAGCUCUUCAUCAGUUGGAUGGAAUCGGAAACCAGGGGCCAAAGCAGUAGUACUGGAAGCCGCUGGCUGCGUCUUACGAGGCGGCGCAGCCGGAGCUAACGCAAAAGUGGCAGUGCUAGCCGCCGCCGCCGCCGGAGGUAACGGGAGCGCGUUGGGGAUUUCUGAUUGUGGAGCCAUGGAGGGGAUAAGUGACGGCGAAGGAAAGGGAUUCAUUUAGGGUUUGGAAGUGGCGUGGGCGAGAGGGGUAAAUGGAGGGAGGAUUGGAUUGGGGAGGAAGAUUAGGUACCUUCGAUUGCAAGCAAUUAAUUCGGUUUGCUUCGCUGGGUUUGGAAUAGUCGAAGUGGGAGGAGAAAAGGAAAGGGAAAGUUGCGACUGUGAGAGUGUUGUUGUUGUUUACAGUCAUCAACGACACGGAGUCAGAGACGAUAAUCUACUAAGUAUUCAUUUAUUUAUUUAUUUUCUCUCAUUUCAGUUUUGGGCCUUCUGGGCCUUAUGGGCUUUUGGGUUGAUUAUUUCUCAUUUUGGUUUGCUUUUACAUGCACAAUAGGUACAAAAUAACUCCUCUUCCAUGAAGGUAAUCAACAGGAUUGUCUUCACGAUCAUGGCAGCAACCGCUUAUUUCAAUUUCUCUUCUUUAUCUCCUCCAUCAACUCCUUCUUCCAGAGGCCCCACCUCCCACAAUUACUCCUUCAAGAUUCUCAUGGUCGGAGAUCCGCCGUCGGCGCAGGAGCAGUAUUCUCCUCAGAUUCAUUUCCGAUUCCGAUCACCACCCUUCCCCCACUAUCGGUAUCAUAUUAUCACUCCUCUUUCCCAUUCAAUAUCUGCUUUCUGAUUUGGAAACAUUUUUUGUCCUGAAUUUGGAUUUGAAUCUCGUAGAUCACAUUCGUGCAUGCCGAUUGUUUGAUGAAUUUCCUCACUGGACAAUGACAGAAAGUAUAUUGGCAAAGUUAAAUAGCAUUGCUUGCAUGUAGUUGGUUUCAAACUGUCCGACUCUUUCUUUCCGAUUAAUGCAGGUGUGGACUUUAAGAUGAAGACAGUCAUGGUCAAUGACAAAAGAUUGAAGCUUACGAUUUGGGAUACAGGUAAUUAAUUCAUUCUGUGCUACUUGUUCAUCUUUAAAUCACAAACUACUUCGAGUAUAGUUUAAUUACGAAUUCUCUGCAUAUAUACUCAUUGACCCCCUUUUGUUAACAAACUUGUUUUGUGAUUGUAGCUGGACAGGAGAGGUUUGGAGCGUUAACAACAUCUUAUUACAGAGGACCACAUGGCAUCAUACUAGGUAACCCAUUACUAUCGUGGAGCACUUGCUUUUUUAGUUGUCUGUUACUUUCAGUUAUCUACCAAUGCGACGUUUUGCCUAUCUAAUGUAGUUUGCUUAAGGAUUUUUUUCAUGGUUUUUGCAUUAAACUUGAGGGAAAUAGUAGGAAACUCAUUAAUGGUAGGGAUUUUUAGUAGCUUCGUCGGUGGACUACCUGCUUUUAUUGUUCUCUUCCCGGAAUAUCAGUCUAGCAACAUAUAUGCAUUCAUUGUCUGUACUUUACGGUAUCAAGGAUAACAUAACUAGAGAUUUUGCAUAUCAUGUUUUGUUUUCAGUUAUAUGAGAAGUUGGAUGUGAACUAAAUGAGUGAUCAGACUGUUCUUUUGAUUCUCAUCUCAGUCUACGACUUUACAAAGAGAGAGACAUUCACCAGUUUGUCAGAAUUAUGGGCAAGAGAUGUGGAGCUUUAUUCUACCAAUCAUGACUGUGCCAAGCUUAGGAGAUAAUUGCACCGUCAGGCCUUAACAUGUAUCAUCAUCGACUUAGGAGAUAAUUGCAGUACAAACAUUCUUCGAUAAUCUUGAAUUAAUUAUGUAAAACUUUCAGGUAAGUGAACGUGCUGUAAGCAGAGAAGACGGUAUGGCUCUAGCAGAGAAGAUCACGCCUAAACUAUGAUUUCAGUAGAAAAAAAUUGGGAAAAUUCGGUACUAGCAAACCUUGCUUCAGUUUCUUGUUCCAUUUGAUGCUAGUGCAGCAACAAUGAAAUCAUUAGUCUGCUAGUUUAGCAAAAUGACAUACUUCGUUGAAGACUAAUAAUUCGUGGUAAUUCGACAGAUAUAUGAAGUACCUACUCUACUGGAAAAGGGUUCCGGAGUCGUCAAGGCACCAACCAUCCGGGCAGACAGACAAGCGUCCCAGCAAGCCGGCAGAAAUCGUUGCUCUUGACGACAGCAUCCUUCGUGGAAACUGGAAACAUACAUGCACGGUAGAAUCAUCCAGCAGUAGUUUCACCCUGACAGGUGCUAAGUGAAAAGAAGAAGAGAAACAACUCCAUUGUACAUUCUUGAUGCACCAAAUUGAAGUCUUCAUGGUUUUACAUAUCCAACAAAAAACAGAAAAUUGCAGCCUCAAAAGUCUCAAAAAGUCCGACUGCAUUAUUCUAAGGCCACUAAUGAUCAGCCACAAGAUCGGAACAUGGGGGAUCAGGCGGAAUCGCAGAUGUUAGUUGUUGCCAUAGUUUACAAAGGAAGGCACUGUUGCACGCCAUAGCUUCAUGUGAAUCUCUACAAUUAAAGUGAUGAUGUUGUUUCUAAACUCUGUCUGUUCAUGAAGUGUAUUGCUAUGAGAUUCAUUCUGAUUUCACUUUUCUCGAAAUGUCGGAUCAAAUUCUACUGGUAGAGUAACACCUUUUACUCGCUCUCAGGAUUCCCCUGUUACAGAAAGUGAUUAUAACCUGACAACCUGUAAUCCGUACUGUUUCUGGAAAUCCCAGGGAAACUAAUACUACUUGAUUACUGAAGAAUGAUCGAAGGGAUACACAAGCAUAAAAAAAUCACAAAGUUCAAACAAUCCCUAGCGAAUCCCUCUAAUUUCUCAAGUCCUUCUGAUACUUUGUCGCCGCACCGCCGAAAGGGUUACCACUUCUCCGAUACCUCUUCACCCGGCGGCGGAUGCCGUUGCUGCAACCAGCAGAGCCACAGGGCGAAGUAUCGAAAUCAGCGAAGUGAUGGGGGAAGAAGUCGAGUUGCGGGAACAGAUUAGGGAAAUCGCACUCGGUGGCGUCCGACGAAGGCUGCAGGGGAGGAGGGAGGGAGAUGUUGCCGCGGAAGUUCUGGUAGAAGCCGACUAAGUAGAAGCCGGUGCAUAGGGCGGCGGUGAGGAUGAGUCGAAAAAGACUGCGAGUGGCGAUCGCCAUCGUCUUAACUGUAGAAAAAUGUCGGGAGAGUAAUUAAGACGGAGAGGAGAAGAGACUUAGGAAAAUAAUGGAAUGAAAUAGGUGGAGUGAGAGAAGGAAAACGCCAUGGCCGAUCCGUGAAGUUCGAUGGAGGAGGUGGGGAAUAACAGUUGGCCGGAGAAGGUGACAGGAAUUCAAAAUUGGAGGGUCUCUCGAUUUCUCCGAUGGGGGGAAUUUGGAAAGGAAAUUGAAAUUGUCGUCCAAGACGAAGUUGGGGGGUUCAACGUCAAUUGUAACCUGCAGGCUGAUCUUAAUAUCCACGGGGUAAUUAAUGGUGAUGGAUGGAAAUUAAUCCGCCUAAUUAAAGUGAAUUCAUGGCAAUUACUUAAUCUGUGAAUUAAUGGUGAUUAGUCAAAUUUAUAUUCUGCUUGAGUUUACUGUUUGACCAAAAUGUUGACUCUACAGAUGUCAUCAUCCUACACUGCUAUUGAUCAUCGCCAUUUUCUCAUUUAACCUUGUUCCUUCUGUCAACAGACAAUCAUCCAACGUUGUUGAUUCCUAGUUAAAUAUUAGAAACUAACAACAGCAUAAUGAUGAUUAACAAGAAACACAAAGACAAAAAAAACUGACAAAUUAAAAGCUUGCCAUGAACGAUCAUCUGUCAGCAGCAUAUCCCUUCUUUCUGAGUCACCAAUGCGAGUAAUGGAACUCUGAAACAACUGUUGAAAGCACCUGCCAAAUUUCUCCUCUCGUCUUUCUUCCUAUAUAGGGUUUCUCAGUAUUUGGCAGUCUGGGUCGAUUUGGAUGAUUAUGAUAACAGUCAUUAGUCACUAAUUACCAAUUCAAAUUGUAUCAGCAGAGACAGUGGGAAAUGGUGUUCUCUGGAGCUGCUGCUCUUCUUCUUCUCCUGAUCAGUACGGCGCUGAUAAUCGUCAAUGGCGAGGAGAUCUUCCUCGAAUGGCACUUGGCGCUCGACUCGAGCAUCAGACCUGCCUCCGUCGACCAACCCGUGAGUAAAACUCGAUACGAGUCAAACCCACUAAUUAAACAGUUUCACACACUACAAGAAACUUACAGUCUAACAACUAUUCUCAACAUUCUUAAAAAAAUUCCUCUGUUUUGGACCCUGUCUCUAAAUUAAAGCUUGUUGGUUUAAAACAGGUCAUUACAAUCAACGGUAAAUUCCCAGGACCGCUGAUCAACGCCACCACCAACGACAACAUCCACGUCAAUGUGUUCAACAUCAUCGACGAGCCUGUCCUCUUCACCUGGUAUAUACGAAUUUCGAAACUUUUCGAAAUUCAACUUCUUAGGAAAUUGACGUUGGAUUUUUCUCAGGAAUGGGAUUCAGCAGAGGCUGAACUCGUGGCAGGACGGAGUGUCAGGAACAAACUGUGGGAUCCAGUCGGGGAAGAACUGGACAUUUGUGUUUCAGGUGAAGGACCAGAUCGGAUCCUUCUUCUACUUCCCGUCCUUGAACUUCCAGAAGGCUGCCGGAGGGUUUGGUCCGAUUCGUGUCAACAAUCGAGUUGUUAUCGCUGUUCCUUUUCCUCAACCUGACGAUGAUUUCGACCUUCUCAUCGGUGACUGGUAUACUUCCAGCUACAAGGUAACGUAAUGUUAAGAAAUCUUUUGUAUUAUAAACAAAUUCUGAACUUCUCUGAUGUCAGUAUAUCACGUUUGGGUCGAAUUUUGUUUCGAAACAUAGGAGGUCAGGAGGAUGCUUACCAACGGCACAACGGAAUCACAUCAAAAUAUGGCAAUGCUUAUGAAUGGGAAAGGUUCAUAUCUGAAUUCGUCUACACAAGCAUAUGAAUCUUUCACCGUCGCUAAAGGUAAAAAAACCUUAUGCUUAUUAGUGGUGGAAUUCAAGCCCAACUUGGCUCGAACUCCACCGCUAGGAACUCAAUCUUAGAGUGACGACACUAAUUUUGUAGUUUUCUUUGCACGCAGGGAAGACUUACAGGUUCAGGGUGUCAAACGUGGGGAUGUCAAGUAGUUUCAACUUCAGAAUCCAAAAUCACAGGAUGGUAGUGGUCGAAACAGAAGGAUCUUACACAGAUCAGACAUCGGUGGACUCUUUAGAUGUGCAUGUAGGACAAUCUUACUCCGUUCUCGUCACAGCGGAUCAAGCAGUGGCCGAUUAUUACAUCGUGGCUUCCCCUAAGUUGGCCGCCGAAACUGGACUUAUGGGCGUCGGAGUCCUGCAUUACGACGGAUCAUCAACUAAUGCUACAGGACCGAUCCCCGGUGGCCCUGACCCUUUCGAUCUUCAGUUCUCUGUUGAUCAGGCCAAAUCUAUCAAGUACAUUACGACCAUUAAUCUUCACGAUGUAGUCAAAAUCCCGAUUUAGAUUUUACAAUCUUACGGUUUGAUUUUUUCUGAAGGUGGAAUUUAACAGCAGGGGCAGCGAGGCCGAACCCACAAGGGAGCUUCAACGUCUCAAAUGUGACAAUAUCACAGACAUUUAUGCUUAGGGGAUCUAAGUCGUCGUCACAAGAAACGAAAAACGGUGUCGUUUACUACACAGUUAACGAUGUCUCCUACACAACUCCGGACACUCCAUUGAAACUCGCCGAUCUCUACAGUAAUGGCUCCGGCGUAUACACCCUCGACCAGUUCUCGACCAACUCUUCUUCUGACGGCAGCAGUGAUUUCCAACGGGGAGUAUUUGUCGCCUCCGGGGAACACAGAGGGUGGCUAGAGCUAGUGCUCAUCAAUACCUUUGUCGGUAUAGAUUCCUGGCACUUGGAUGGCUAUGGCUUCUUUGUUGUUGGGUAAGCAUUUCAACAUGUUAGGUAAUAGGCAACAAAACUAUUAACUCGAGUUGUUGGAAGAGAGUUCAAUACUGAUUUUAUACCGUUCAUCAGUAUGCGAUCUUUUAAAUGAAAAAAAGUUCAUGAAAGAGUCUAGAGUACUCUCUGAAGCUGACAAGAAAUCUGACAUUUAUGUGAAUCAAAGACUAUAAUUAUAAUGUAUGAAUCAUUCUGCCACAAUAAUUCGAGUUAUUGGGAAAAAGUUCAUUAACUGAUUUUCGAACUAUUUUCUGCUAAUUAUAGGUACGGAUUCGGGAACUGGACUCCAUCGUCUCGUGCAUCUUAUAACAUUUAUGAUCCGGUUGUUCGAUCAACCGUUCAGGUACAUGUAUUUUAAAUUCUUAAUCAUGCUAGAGUUUACUAAUUUGGCUGUUAAUUAAACGACAAAGAUCUGGGUUUUUUUAAUGAUGAUCAGGUGUACCCAAAAGGAUGGACAGCAGUGUAUGCAUACUUGGACAACCCAGGAAUGUGGAACCUAAGAUCUCAGAAACUAAGGAAUUGGUACUUGGGACAAGAGCUCUAUCUAAGAGUCUAUGAUCCAGAUCCCAACCCUGCCAAAGAAUUUCCUCAACCAUCCAACCUUCUUCUUUGUGGUAUACAUGAUUUAAACCUAAUAUUUUUUACAGUCGAACAUACCUUAUUUGUUCUCACUGUGAGAAUACAUUUUGACUGCGUCAAAUAACAGUUAGAACUUAUUCUCACGGUGAUCGGAACAAAUAAGGUUAGGAUUAUUAUCAAUAUCUUGAUAUAAUUGUGUAUAUUGUUAAUUAACUGCAGGAAUUUACAGCAAUUCAACUGCACCACCACCUCCUAGUUCCCCUAACUCAGCUCCUCCCCCAUCUCCUUCUCAUGCAUCUUUUCAUCACUUCCCAUGGUAAGUUACUGUUUACUACUUUUACUUUCACUAACUUCCAAUUCAGUCAAAUAAUUUAAAACCCUUCUGUUUGUUUUGUUUUAUUUUAAGGUUCCAAAGCUGUAUGGUGACCAUGAUGGCAACCUUGUACAUGAUCUACCAAUGGCAAUACUAAUGUGGAGAUCACUUUGACUUAAUUAUCAUAUGCAUACAAGUCCAAGUUACUCUCAAUUUCUUCCAUUGAUUUUUUUUUAUAUAUACACAAUUGGGACCAAAUAAUCGAAAUUGUUGUAGAGGAUUCAAUACUAAAUUUUAAUAAUUCAUUAACAUAUAACAUAUGCAUGUUAGUAUGUGUGACACUUAAUGCAUAUACACUUUUAUUGCAUUGUAAUACCUUAGAUUAAUACACUAUUUGACUCGCAUAUUUUAUCGAUUUAGGAUGCUUGUGAUUAAUUAUAUAUAACAAUUUUAACUUUUUGAAUGAAUCAUGUAUUAGGUCCGUUGAUGGUGUCAAUGAGCUAUAUAUGAUUGAAUGUGCUUUGUAAAUUUAUUAAAGUACAGAUAUAGCCCGUGUUUUGCCGCAGAUCAUCACACAAAUUACAAAAUUUAUGAGACCAGUUUAACAUGAAGGGCAAAGAAUGAAGCAAAGAGAUUGAUGUUUGGCAUGCACUCAGACUAUCUAUGUUGUAAUUUUUUCAUAUACGAACACUUGGCUUAUAUUAAGACAACAAAUAUUUAACAAUGGUCGUGAGGUUUUGUUAUCUACGGUUUGUGUAUGCAUCUCUUGCGGAACCUCAUCUGAUGCCGUUUCCAGUGUCAAAUCAGAUUCGAAUAGUGUCCCGUCUACAUCAAAUCCACCCUUCUCAAAUCCAGAAAAAAAACUGAAAAUCUGAUAGCACUGGCAAUGCUUGUAGACUCCUCCUCACUCCUGCACCAUUUUCAUAUUGCAAGAAAUUGGAAGAAGCAAACUUAAAAAUUGGAAAGAGAGAAAGUGUCCAUGCUACUGAUUCAUUUAGUGGCUAAAAUAAGAGAAACCAAGAUCAUUAAACCUGCUUACUUUACUUGUCUGUCUCCAAUAGGUAGUCGUACAGUUCAGCCUUUCUGGAUGCAACUUGAUGGAUUUUCUCAGGAAAAUGAUUCAUCUCUCCUUGAGGCUGGAUAUGUUUGCCCCACACAAAAGAAAACAGUUACUUUAGGCUUGCCAAGUCUCAGUCAAAAUCCCUUCAGCCCCAGGAAAUGAAACAACAGGUUGCAGUAACUUGGCAUGUUGGCUACCUCCCUUUGUCAAGAACAAGAGAAGAGUUGUGUUAAAAUCAAGAGAUGGAGCCAACAUUCGAUUAACUUAAUACAAAGGAAAGGCAUUAGUUAUAAUCAAAUUAGUAAAUUGUUGGUUAAUUAGUAAAUUGAAAUACUAGAAUCCUUUGAAUACUAAAUUGAUAAGUUGGUUUAAAAUUUAUAAAGUUAGUGAAUUAUAUGACCCCAUGCUUAGAGCGGGGGAGGAAUCUAGUAAUCAGAAAUCCUUGAAAAAAUCACAGAAUAUACAUGAUAAUAAUAUCACACAAGCAAGAAAGCUUGGUGCUUAAAUUCAUUGAAGAAUGAUAAUCAGAAAUCCUUGAAAACCUUUAGGAGCUUGAUGUCGAUGAAUGCAUAAAGCAAGUCAAUAGCAGCAGCUGCAACCAAAUGAGAUGCGGCGGCAUACCCAUGUCUUCAAUUUGGCGAUGGAGACAGAAAAUUGGGGAAAAGGCCGUGUGUAUUGGAGAGAAUACGACUGCAGAAAAGCACAGACCUCUUGAAGAGAAUUUUGACCGCCAAACAUUUAAGGGGAGAGUAUGAACAACGGUAGGUGUGUGGGUGAGGUAACUUUGUUGUGGAGAUGGCGUAAAGCAAAGGGGUUAGAUAUUGAGUUGGUUUUGGAGGCAUGGGGUGACUGACAGAAGAGAAGGAGCAGUACAGAGAGAGAGAGAGAGAGAGAGAGAGAGAGAGAGAGAGAGAGAGAGAGAGAGAGAGAGAGAGAGAGAGAGAGAGAGAGAGAGAGAGAGAGAGAGAGAGAGAGAGAGAGAGAGAGAGAGAGAGAGAGAGAGAGAGAGAGAGAGAGAGAGAGAGAGAGAGAGAGAGAGAGAGAGAGAGAGAGAGAGAGAGAGAGAGAGAGAGAGAGAGAGAGAGAGAGAGAGAGAGAGAGAGAGAGAGAGAGAGAGAGAGAGAGAGAGAGAGAGAGAGAGAGAGAGAGAGAGAGAGAGAGAGAGAGAGAGAGAGAGAGAGAGAGAGAGAGAGAGAGAGAGAGAGAGAGAGAGAGAGAGAGAGAGAGAGAGAGAGAGAGAGAGAGAGAGAGAGAGAGAGAGAGAGAGAGAGAGAGAGAGAGAGAGAGAGAGAGAGAGAGAGAGAGAGAGAGAGAGAGAGAGAGAGAGAGAGAGAGAGAGAGAGAGAGAGAGAGGGUAACAGUGGACUGAUCUGAUGCCACCAUUCACAAUUGGAGACAUGGGUAUAUAUGCUGCCGGACUGAACCCAUCCCACAUCAGAUACAUCAAAUCCCUCCGCAAUGAAGCUUGGCAUGCAGGCUUACCAUAAGCUCAGGUAGAGGAAAUUCCUACCCCUGGAUGCAAUAGUAAAGAAUUUGUUAUAUUUUUAUAAUAAAUUUUAUAAGGAUUUGAGAUUUUGAAUGAACUUUAUAUUAGGUUUUUAUGUUGUCCCCUAAUAAUAUAAUUGAAUAUGUUUGAAAAAGUUUAGUGUGUUGUGUAUGUAUAAGUAUUGUUUAUCGAUUUAGUUAAUUAAAGAAGACGGUAGUUUAUAUGAAGAUGAAAUAAAGAAGACAAAUACAUUUGUAUAUUUCUCCGAAUCACACAUACAAUGGUUACACUAUAUAUAUUCUGGGUGACAAAAACCAAAGACAACGAAAGAUCAAACAAAAAGUUUAAUAAAAACCAGUAUACCAAUUUAAUAUAUGUGUGUUUGAUGAGCGAUCAAAAAUUAAAGAAGCAACUGUAUGUGCAUGAAACUUAACAAUGAAUCCACAUUAAAACUACAAGAAAAACGAACCCUUCAAAAGAAUUUCAACUCCACAAUAUCAGUAAUGGCAACCCACCAAAGCUUGACUGGGAAACACCGUUGUUGGUUUGUUGUUCGCCGGCGGUAAGUUUGUGAUCGGCUGCUUUUCCUCCGGUGCCGGAAGCUGGUUGAGAUCCAAGUCCAACGACGUUGUCCUCAGGCUCCUCCCUCUCUUCCCCAAUACUAGUCUCUCCUCGCCAGAAGUUCCCCCAACUUUAUUAUUAUUAGCGGCCGUAUUUUUGUAGCUACUGAGACCGCCGUUGUUACUUGUUAACAACGACAGGUUUGUUGCGAUGGUUGUCGGAGGAGCUCGGUGCCUCCUCAUGUGGCCUCUCAAUGCUUGCCCUGAGUUGAAUUCCGCCCCGCAUUGUCCGCACUCGUGCACCCGAUUGUAGUUACUAUUGUUCCCCUUGUGAUUACUAGCGGUGAGGCCUCCGCCACUGUUCAGUUGGAGGAAGUUGGUUUCCUCAUUGUACGAAGGGGCUGUCGCUAACAAUGUAUUAUUAGUGACCAGGAGGUUCUUGGGCUUCUUGUGGCUCGCACGAUGUCCACCUAAUGCUUGAAACGAAGGGAAUGUCCUGUUGCAUGUCCUGCACUCGUAUACAUAGUACCCUACUUUCCCUCCGCCCUCGACUCCGCUGCCUGUCUCCAUGAAUUUCCUGCUCGUGAAUUUUCCGCUGGCGAUAUUGUUGUUGUUAACGGCUGAGGAAAUUGCGGCAUUAACGUGAUUAUUUGUGACGAAGGAAGAACUCCCCUGCGCAAGUAGGAUCAAACAAUUUGCCAUGUCCUCUUCUUCCUCGGUGCUCCCACCGAGGAGAACAGUAAGCACCACUGGUGGUGGCAGCACAGGCAACGGCUUUGCCAUGAUCACCCCGUCUUCUUCCUCAUCAUCGUCUUCGCCGUUGUAAUUGUAAUCAGCAUCAUCAUGAUCAUCUCUUCCACCGUCGUCGACAUCUUCAUCGCCAUUAGAGAAAUUGCUACUAGCAGCAGGGGCCACAAAACUAUUAAGAACAGGAGGAUGAACCCGUUGCCUUUUGGUUCUCUUCCCUUUAGGGAUCUUAACAAUUGGGACGGUCAGAGUUGUGUCAUUGUUGGCAUCGUCGCCUUUAUUACGAGCCGCCUCCUCAUUCUCCUCCUCCUCCUCCUCCUCCUUCUCCUCCUUUGCUAGUGUCUUCUUCGUAACCACCUCCUCAUUCUCCUCCUCUUCUCCUGGUGUGUUAUUCUUCUUCGUCUCCAUCUCCACCUCCACUUUCAUUGGGAGUUCCUCCAUUACAGCGGUUGUGAGAAGUACAUCCUCGACGCCUGUCGCCUCCAUUUCUUUGUCCUUCGAACAAAUAUUUCGCAAAUUAUUAAAAGAAAAAAUUACCUUUCUUUAUGUUUCUCUCUGUUUUCCUCGUGAAGAAAGUCUGUUUCUUUUUUGUUCCUGUGUUUUCUUUUCUCUCUUGUUUUACUUGUGGCUAAUUAGAAUAAACUUGUGAUGAGUAUAUAAGGUAGUAAUGUGUUGCACUAAAUUGUAACAAAAAAUGUGUCUUAAAUUGGUAAACUUGCUACAGCCUCUCCCCCUAUAUCUUCUGAGCGUGUGAUAAAUACGAUGUGCAAAAUCUAACGUUAUACGAUGCUAACAUUAGGAGGAAAAACACUUAGACGCAGCACCACUAACUUCGUUGAUCAUUUUUGUCGUGUGUUUAACCCGUCUGACACUCCCUUUUUCACACUUUGUGAUAUCACCCGAUCGAUUAAUUAAACUUUGACCGUUGUUUAAUUAGUUUUUUUCGCUUAUUAGUGUUAGCUGCUUGCAAUUCGCUUCUCCUCUAGAUUUCGGGUUUAGCUCCACAGACAGAGUUUGUUAAUAAUGGCUUCAUCUUUGGAUUUGACCCAAUUCAAUCUGCUUCCUGAAUUGCAAAUUGUAUUCCUAGUAUAUAGGAAACCCAAACUGAAUUCUAUUCCUAGUAUAUAGCAAAUGUGCUUCAAUUUUAUUUCGAAAAUUUAAAUAAUUAUCGGCCGGACGGUGACUCAUUUCUUUUUUGGUGACCGUUAAAUUCAUGUAUGUAUUUCAAAUUCGGCUUAAUACUAUACGAUUUUGGCUCAGCCAACUUAGUAAUCAGUACAUUUUGGCUCAGUCAAUUCACAAAUACCCCAUAAAUCAAAGGAAUUAGAUAGAACAUGAACUGUAAUUGUCUCUACCAUGAAGAAAGAUUGACACUACAAUGGAAGACACAUUUCCGACCGAACACACGGAUCUAAGCAGGCAGCGAUGGAUCCAGGAUGUCUCCGCUGAACAGAACCGUUCCCGUGGUGUCUUCUUUAAUGAAGAAGAGGACCGGAUGAUCCGCUACAAAGUAGUGUUUAUAAAUUUCCCCAUAUCCACCCAGACUCGACAUAUCCAUCAUAGUAACAGAAGCAGCUCCAGCUUCCGUACCUUCUCCGUUCACUUCCACAGAAGAUUUGUGGAAUACCUCGGAGAAAGUCACAUCGUCGGAAGAUUCCUCCACCAUCUCUGUAAAGUCUGCUUCGUUAGAGAAAGGCAAGACCAACCCCAAUUCCUUCGUUAAGGAAACAUACUGGUCCUCUUCGCUGGUCAUAAACGGUACACGGACCGAUCCAUCAUUCAGUAGGUGAAAAUCAUAGCGUUUAGUUGCCGAUGCAUCGAAAUUCUGGUUCCAAACUCCUUCGAAGAAGAGCGCAUUAGCGUAAAUUAGCGGUGUUAAGUUGUUAACUGCCCCUCGAGGAACAAUUUCCUCUACGAUUCCGUUCGUCCGUCUAUUGGCCCAAUCAUUCACUUCAACAACUACUUCAGCUGCCUGUAUAAAAAUGAAUCUACCUGAAUAACUUACGAGUAGAAAAGAAAAAGUAGCAUAUAAGCCUAAUUACAGUGUGAAAUACCUUGGAUUGGAAAUCGACUUUACGAGAAGCAGCCAGGCAGGAUCCGUUCGAGCUUGGCCGUUUAAGUUCGAGACGAGAUUCAAUCGAACUUUUUUCGAGCCGAAUACCUGCAUGUAUAUGUUUCUUUGUUUCUCUGCAUCUAUUAAUGAACGUUGGCACAGACCUUACCUUGGGCUUUUUGUCCAUCAUUCACAAUAUUGGGCUGUGUUAUCCUUGGGCCUACUUUCGUUGCUGGUUAGGCCCAAAUGAUGGUCCAUGCAAGUUGUUCUUUUUUAAAAGGAAAUUGAUGUGUAUGAAGUAUGAACGUGGUAGUAGUAGAACUGUAGUAGCAUACAAAAAUUGAAAAAUACUUUCUGCAACCCUUUCCGCAAAGAAUCACCAAGUCAUAAAGGCAAAACAAAAUCUAAGUAUUUGGCGUAAUUAUUUUCCACGUAUUUAAUAUUUUUGUGAUUGUUGUACCAGAAUAAUUGAGUUCCAAGAUACUACUAAUAAGGCUUAGCUCAGUUCUUCUUCUUUGCCUCUUCCCAUGGAGAUAUGGAUUAUCCCUUUCACAGCCAUAAUUAUUAUGCACAAAAUUCCUCUUCCAUUCUCUUUAUUCUUCCUUUCUUCUCCUUCAAAUAAACCCUAAUUUUCCCAUCCUUCCAUUUCUACGUAUAAUUCAUUAUCCUAAUCUUUCUUCAUCUUUUUGUUUUUUCAUAGAUUUAUAUAUAAAGUAAUAAAACCAACCAGCCAGCCAACCAUCAUAGUCAUAUUCAUAUUCUCCCCCAAAUUCAGCAGAGCAGAGAGCUCUGUUUUUUCCCUCCCUUCAUUUCCAUGGCUGCUGCUUCUUCAAGAAUGCUUCCUAUUAGCUUCUGCAUUCUCUUCCUCUCUUCUAUCCUCAACUCAGUUGCCGAUUCUAAGUUCAUCAACCUCACUCUCCCUCACCAGCACCCUUACCCAGAUGAUGUUGCUAACGAUGUUCACAGGUAACCUCUCCGUUUCUUCUUUUCAUGGCGCAUUGCUCACUUCUCCUGUACGUUGCCGAAACUCCGGUUUGAAUUUCACUCCAAACUAGAGUUUUAAUGGGUUUAGAAAACAGCCGAAAAGUUUGCUCUUCAAAAUCAGUUCCUUCAAAUUUCGUUCAACUUCUCCAACGGCCAAACUAAGCUGCAUUCUAUCCAAUUUCUAGGGAUUCAGUUAUCAAAAAAUGAAAAUAUUCCCUCCAAUUCCCAAAUUCCCGUCUGGGUUCUGCUCAGCCGCUCCUUAACUCACAUGGGUCCAUCUCCUUUUUCAUAUGAUUUCCCCAAAACUUGGACUUUUUAGUUUCAGAUUUUUCUCAGCAGCCAAAACUGUCCAUUUUCUCACCAUAUAUAGCUGUUUCCCACCUUCAAAAAAAACUGCAACUUGCACACUCUUUGCUUAGUUCUUGCUGAUUGGGCCGUAAAUUGAUUGGGUUAUCGGUCGAUUUAACGAUGCAAAAUCAAUAUAGUUUGAAGUUUUAUAGACUUUUAGGUUGUAUAAAUUAUCGAGUUGCAUAAAAACCGAGCCGGAACGGAUCAGUUUGCUCUAAUUGAGUAAAUUGCAACUUGCAAACUUACCCUUUGAGAUUCUUACUUUCCUUGUUUGCAUCCCUACAAAAAUCCUUUAUACGUCUCCCUCAUGCAAUUUUCUCCCUUUUUCAUAUUUAUUUAUUUAAUCAAUUAUUUUCGGUUGGUUAACUUUGCAGACGGGUCAACCAGUCCCUAUCCCGAAGGCUACUUCAGGCGGGGUCCACUUGCCAAACGGGCAACCCGAUCGACGACUGCUGGCGGUGCGACCCCAACUGGCUCAACAACCGCCAACACCUCGCCGAUUGCUCCAUCGGAUUCGGCCACGGUGCGUUGGGCGGACGCGGCGGUCAAAUCUACGUCGUCACUGACUCCUCCGACCACGACCCGUCAUCCCCGACACCGGGAACCCUCCGCUACGGCGUGAUCCAAGACGUCCCGCUCUGGAUCAUCUUUGCCGCCGACAUGACCAUCUCCUUAAAACACGAGCUCAUCUUCAACAGCUACAAGACCGUCGACGGCCGAGGAGCCAAUGUCCACAUCACGGGGAACGGAUGCCUGACUUUACAGUACGGAUGCCUCACUUUACAGUACGUCAACCAUGUGAUCAUCCACAACGUCAGAAUCUAUGACUGCAAGCCGUCCGGGAACACCAACGUCGCCUCGUCGCCUACCCACGUCGGAUUCAGGGGAAGAUCCGACGGCGACGGGAUCUCCCUAUUCGGAGCCCACAAUGUGUGGAUUGACCAUUGUACCCUUUCGUCAUGUACGGAUGGAUUGAUCGAUGCGAUUAUGGGGUCAACCGGGAUUACGAUUUCGAACAAUUUCUUCUCCCGGCAUAACGAAGUUAUGCUGAUGGGACACGACGAUCGGUUCGUAUUGGAUCGAGGGAUGCAGGUCAGUGACCGGGGAGCCUCCCUCGAGCUUGUGAUAUUGCAUAAUUUUUUUUAUAUUUAAGAUAAAUUAGUUUUUUUCGGAUGCGGAGUAUAUUUCAUAUUUAUACAUUUCUAUAUAAUGCACUCAAUCAUUUUGAAAUCGUCGCUAAUGCAGGUGACGAUUGCGUUCAAUAGGUUCGGGGAAGAGCUAGUGCAGAGGAUGCCGAGGUGUAGGCAUGGCUAUAUACAUGUGGUGAACAAUGAUUUCACUUACUGGAAAAUGUAUGCCAUCGGCGGUAGCGCUAGUCCGACAAUUAAUAGCCAGGGGAAUCGGUAUGUUGCCCCGGUCGAUCCCGAUGCUAAAGAGGUAUGUAUUUUUACAAAACUUGUUUGUGAUUCGGCCCUAUAGUAAACAACACGAGUUUGAGCUUGUUGAGUCGACUACUAAUUUAUGGUUCGUCAAUCAACUUGAUGAGUGACCGAUGAGCCUACAGGAUUCGAUUAUGAGCUCUAAUACCAUAGUAGCGUAUUUACUAGAAGCUUGUUUUAAUCGGAGUUCAAACUCAAACCCUAGUCAAACAAGUUAGUCUUUUUUCAUUUUGAGCUUGAGCUAGCCAAGCUGAUUACAAUGGUUAUUGAGUUGACCUCGUUAAGCUAGUAAAUAAAUGGUAAUUUUGAGUAGCGUAUAUUAAGGUACAUAUUUUCUAUAAGAUUUCGUUUAAAUUUGAUUCGAUAUAUCUUUCCAUUCUAAUUAGGUGACGAAAAGGGUAGAGACAGACGAAAAAGAGUGGGAGAGGUGGAAUUGGAGGACGGACGGGGACAUAAUGGUAAAUGGGGCAUUUUUCGUACCGUCGGGAGCCGGGGUGAGUGCCAUGUAUGAAAGGGCAACCAGCUUGAAUGCCAUGUCAGCCGCUCUUGUCGAACAGCUCACCUCGAACGCCGGCGUCCUAGGUGGCACCAGGUACACUUUUACGGUUUUACCCCUGCCCUCCUUAUAUCUUAAUUACAACUUGGUAGCUAAGUAUAAACCUAGUUUUCUCAAUACGACAGAUUGAUUAAUGAGAAAUAGAAAAGGAAUUCUGAGGUGAGCUCAGCUAAGCCAAACCAGUGGUUAGCAAGUAGUUAUCCUAGCAAGCUUUAGUGGGGUAGUAUCGUCAUCAUCCCUUUUUUUGUCCCAAAUUUGCAUGUGGAUUAUGUGGGCACCUUGUCAUAGUUGAGUACUUUGUGACUUAAAUCAUGGAAAGUUUAAGAUAAGGUUCCAAAAGUCACGACGGAAAAAGAAAGGAAUGGAACUGUACAUGCAAAACAGUUUCAUACUCUCCCUAACUCUUCUUGGUAUUUGGUUAAACACUUGAUUAGAAGUUGACAUUGAUGUCUAUAACCCUAAUUUAAACCUUUAAUGUUUCGAGAUAGUGAAUUUGUUUCAAUUUUUUAGCAUGUCAACUUCCAUCUUAGAUCAAACCAAAUACGAAAGCAUUAGUCACAAAUCACAAUAAUAAAAGAAGUAUUCUCACACGAAAACUUAUUACGAAUAAUACUUGAAUUUGAGGUCAUUAUAAAAAUCUUAGCUUUCCUUUAGUUGAAUUAAGAACCAAAAGAGAGCAGGGAAAAGACCCCACACCAUCAUCCAUAUAGGUUUUCUUUGUGGCAUGUUGGGAAGCUGACUCAUCUCAUGAUAUUCCUUCACCAAUUAAAGUUCAUGUGGGGGGUUGAUGGGCGUUGAUUUCUGAAUUCAAACCACACUAUCAUCAUCUUCAUCAUCAUUUCUUAAACUUGUAGCAAGAUGUUUAAAAAAAGAUGAAACCUUUUCAUGUCUGCAUUUCUGGUUUAGUUUUGAUUCCAUAUCCUCCUUUCCAAUGAAACCUUUUAUCAGUUUUAAUCCGUUUCCGCAAAAGAUUAGGAUCAAUCUAAUAACUUAUUUAUUUAUAGUUGGUUCCUUAUUGCAAUCUAUAUCAUCACAAUCCACAUACAUAGUAGUCGAUAUUAAUGUCUUGGCACAAUCCAGUUAUAAAGAGGAAUUGGGUUGAUUCUCGACAUUAGUUCCGAAUCUUUGCAAUUGAAAAGGUUUAAUCUUUACUCGAUUCUCUCCAAUCUGAACUCGAGUUGUCUGGAGACCCUUUAGUUACGGAGUGAAACUAGCUUGAUUGGAGAUUUGAUUUUGGGAGAGUAUCCCUUUGUUUUUUUAAUUCGUCUAUAGCAUUCAUCAUUUUCACAAUCAUCGCAGCAUGAAACAAUGGCUAAUAAAUCAACUCUGUUUUGUCCCUUUCUUAGAUAUUAUUAUUAUAUAUAAUUAGUUUUUAACAAAUUAAGUCGAUGGUGAUGUGGGAAUAAUUACAGGGACACAGGGGGGAUGCCAUCGAACCCUGGAUUCAACGGAGGUGGGGCCGGCGGGACGACCUACACCGGCAGCUAUGGGUCCCCCGGUGGUGACGGCAGCAGCGGCGGGGACGGUAAUGUGUUUGGGAUGAUAUUUGGGAGCGGGGCGGCGGAUGCGGCGGCGGUGCCCACAUCGUCGGUGGUUUUGUCCCUUUCAAUUGUUAUUAUUAUGAUUUUGUAUUGUAAUACCAUUAACGAUGAUGGGACUUCGUUGUUCUUGUUCCCAUUGUGUUUAGUAUUGUUAUACAGUGGGAAAUUGAAUACUGGGCAAACAAUUAAUAUACAAAUGUAAGUAAGAAAAGAAAAAUACAAAAAGAAAAGAUGAAUAUUAAAGAAGAAAGAAGACGGAUUAUUCAUCACGGUGAGAGUUGAGGUGUCUUUUCAAAAUUGUCGUUAUCAUCUUUUUGCUGGAGAUGUAGAGCAGUUAAACAGACGGGUUGCGAGAAUUUAAUAGAUUGCUGUGUUGGUGGGUUCAUUAGAGAUGGUUGUGGAGUGGGUUUCGGAUUGGUUUGUCGAUCCAUUCGAGUAUGGAUAUGACUUAUGAGGAUGGAGAUGAUGCACUUAAACCAAUCCCUAACACAUGUUUAUACGUUUCUUUGCGGAUAUUCGUCGCAUUGGUUUCAUAAACUCGAUAUAUAUGAAUGUUCCACACAUUGACCAAACCUUGAGAAUCAGACAUCCAUAAAUACCGAUUUGGUUAUCGAGUUUUGAAGUGGACCGGACGAGUUCAAUGAUCUGGAUCAAAUUUUUGGCAAAAUAAAUGGACAUUUGACAGGGUGGGAGAUAGUGUUGGCAUGAGUGGGGCUCUGAAAGGCCUAUUAUGCUAAGGGGAGCAAGCAAACCCACGUUAGUCUCGGCCGGAUUCAGAAUUAUGCGAGGAUAGAUUGAAUUUGGGUGGAUUAGGGUUUUGGAUUGUACUUUUUCUACCUUUCUUUUUCAACUCAAGUUAUUGUAUAUACUGAAAUACCAAGUUUGUGACAGCAGAACUAGUUAUAAGUUUCAUUAGUAGAUAUCUCCGGCAAUAAGCACCUGGAUAGUUCAAAGAGAUAGGGCAAGCAGCUUACAUUACCCAGAGCUUGUUCCGAGAUAGCGAGGGACAAAGUCCAUCUCCUUGUUGUAUCAACCCGGGGUAAACAGAGCUAAACGUUGCUUGACAAACCUACUCACCUGCAAACGUUGCUUCACUUCAUACAUGACGAGCAUCAACAACAAACAAGAAUGAACAGGAAAAAUAUCACAUUCAAGGGAAACAAAAUCUCUGAUCAGUCAUACCUUACACAUCCUGAAUGAAGCAUAUUUAACUAACACAAGUUAUAAAAAUUCAACAAAAGGAAUGAAAUUGACAACAAUUUAUCUGCAACAGAUGUUCCAAAUUAAGCAACAGAUGAUGAUCCACUGACGCCUUGGAGUCUCUCUCUCUCUCUCACUAGUCAUUUCUCCACCCUGCAUCCUCCUCACUACCUAAUAGUAACAAACUUAUUGGUACCAUGCUUAGCCCAGUGAGUCCUCAAAUCAAUCGGGUUACUGAAGUUAUACCCUUCAGCUGCAAGUUUCUCCAGCACCUUCUUGAACGCACCCUGGCUCAUCUUCCUUCCCGCUAUCCUCGCACCUCGCCUCUUGGUGCUCAUCGGCAAAGGAUACAUUGAUACAUUGGUAGUACAACAAGCAGACUGCCAUCCACCACACCCCCAUCGAUAACACUGCUGAGGAGUUCCCGUGCAAGAGCAGACCGGGAUAGGGAUUCCCGAUAUGUCCAUAUCAAUCCCAUUUAUCACCAUCUCCAUACUCUUCUUUGGCGGCUUUGCUGCUCGCUGGACCGGAUUGCUGUUCGGGUCCUUUGGCUUCCUCGGUUUCUUCGCCUUGGGUGCUUUCGCCACACCACUUCCCUGCCUUUUUUUCGUUGGUUGAUGUUCCGGUUCUUUAUCAAACACUUGCUCUUCGACUUUACACAUUUUUCCAUCAUCUCUCGAUCCUCCAACCAUGGAAGUAUCGAGAGCAGGCAACACCUGCAGAGGGUGAGCUCCUGAUGUUUCCGGGAAAACAUGAGCGUAGUUAUGAUUCGGAGCCAACAGAUUCGGAUACUUAUUGCUAUCCCUCUGGUUGAUCCAACUGUCCCUCAUGUAGUUGAUGGGGACAUGCGAUUCGGAGAGCAUGAAAUCGCGAGGAUGGAAUCCUCCACCACCGGCAUUGACAUCAAGCAUAAUGUUAUUCGCAUUUCGGCCCGGCAGAAAAUGCUUGGUGUCUCGAUCCGUCAUGUUCGAAGUCAGCUGCAGACUUAGAUGCCCUCUGAAUGACGGCUCAUAGUACCCUCCCCAAUUGCGCAUAUUCAACGCAUCAUCGUCCAUUAUUCAGAGAUUCUGCCACCCACACAGUUGCCAAGCACAAAUCAGAAAGACAGUAACUGUAAAAAUCCGCAAAAUCUGCAAAAUUUCAAAGAUACAGAACAUCCAAUAUUCCAAUCCAACCCACAUUACGCACAAUUCAAGGACAGAUCUCGUCGAUUCAAGCAUAUCAGAAGCAGCAUCACGAAAUGCGAAAUCACAAACUACCCAGAUGCUAGAUCCAUUUAUAAACAUCCAGCAUUCCCACCCCGAAACCCUAAUCAACCAGAUCUACAUCAGAUGGGCACAAAAUCUACGCAUUCAAGAGAUCUAGAUCUAGAUCUAGGAGGGGAAGAAAAGGGAAAUUCGAGGGUUCCCAUUGGAAUCAGAUGACAAGCAACAAACGAACGACAACAGAAGGUGCGGAGUAUAAAAGGAAGGUGGUUUCAAUAGUAGUACACACAGCACAGGACCCUCCAUAAUAUUCAAAUUUAAGAAAACAGAAAGAGAAAGACGGAAAGAGAAAGAGGGUGAGGGAGAGAGAAAACUUACUUGGAUGGGUGCAAAUUGAAAAAGGGCUCUUUAGGGUUUUUUUUUUUCGCUUUCUGGAGAGAGAAGGAGGAGAGAGGAGAGAGGGGAUGAAGCUCUCUGCGGAGAAGGGAAAAAAAUAAGAGAGAGAGAGAUAGAGAUAGCGGAAAGAGAAAGGAUAGAGACGGCCGGCCCUGUAUCUCUGUGUGUAUCCAUUACAGGGGCGGAAAAAGUGUUUAUAUAUAUUCUUUUUUAAACGGUUUUAUUAUUUAUUUUUUAAAUUUUGGUCUAUUAAUAAUCGGUUUGAAACUUUUCGAAAAGAGUUAAUUAUGGAAACCGAAUCUAAGGAGAAGCUCAGAAACGGCAAACAUUACACGGAAUGGGUUCCCUAAUUUUGGACUCUGUUACCACACUUUUAAAUGUCACGUACCCAUUUUGAAAUUUAUUAUAAUUUUAGAAUCUAGUCGUACUCCACAAUAAAUAUUCAUAUAAUAUUUAAUUAUGAGUGAAUCUUUAGUAAUUGUGUUGUUUUGGGGUCUUCCAUAUUAGCCUUUAUGUUUGUUAUUUUGUAUUUCUCAUAUAGCCUUGUCUCGAUCAACAUGGUUCAUUAUAGCCAUGUUUGUUCUCCAAAAUAUUUAUUUGAAGCUUUCAGUGAGGAUUUGAUGGGUGGAUAUUGAAGAGAUGAGAAGUUGAUGCUUUACAGGCUACUAUGAACACCCAAUACAUGUUAGGUAGCACACGUUAUCGUUGAAGUCUUGGAUAUUCUAGCGGCUUGUCUUAGUUUGCAUUUGUUGAUAAUAGAUGUUCAUUAAGUAACGGGAAAUGCUCUUUUAUAUCGCAUAGACCGUGUUGAGACCGAUUUUUCGAUUUCUCCAAUUAUAAAAAUAGUAAGAAAAAUAAAGGUGCAACUAAACAUGCAAACGACUCAACCAUAGGAGGGUGGCAUCAGACAUCGAAAUUCUUCAGAGGUCACCAAUUUUAGUGAAACAAUCAAAUCAAAUGGUUGAUAUUCAGCCGUCAAUGUACUUAAGCAUAUAUAUAUUAUUGAUAAUAAUAAUUAAUCCUCUACAAAUAUUCAUAUAAAAUAAUAAAUAAUUAAUCAUAAAAAUAUACUCCAUUUUUAUUAAUAAUGAUCAAUCUAUUAACCUUAUAGGUAAAGAAUAAAGUGAGCAAUCAAACAAUAACGUUAAUAUUAAAAUAAAUAAAUAUAUAUAUAUAGUAUAAUUAAAAUAUUUAUUAUGGACAAUAAUAACCGAUCCUUUCACAGCGAGUGCCCACGCAAUAUUCAGCAAUGUAUGUUUCUUUAUUUCACUUCCUCUGCAUCUAUUAUUUAUUAAUCAACGUUGGCGCAGGCCUAACAUUGGGCUGUUUGCCCAUCAUUUAUAAUAUUGGGCUGGGCUGUUUGUCCGUAUUUUCCAUUGGACCCAGGUAGCCCAUUUGUCACAAAUUCUUUGAAACAUACAUUGCUGAAUAUUGACUAGUAAGACUUGACUGGAGAGCAUCUGGGCAGUAGUUUACUUUGAUAUCGCAUGGAGGAUUCCUUCCAGGUUAUCAAUAGAAAGCACAAGUACAAUCUACAGCUACAUUUCGAUGCAUGAAAUCUUUCCUCACUUUCCAAUUUGAGCAGUGCAGCAAUUCUAGCAGAUGGGUACGAAAAUGGUAUAUGAUGGGUGCAUCCUACCCAGUAUGUCAUUUGCAUCUACGCCUAAGUACUGUUGUCAAAUGUCAUCCUGCAUAUGCGACCUUGGCAUUAUUACCAUAAAUGCUUCAGUAGCCUUCCUGUGUGAAGGUGAAGAUGAUAGAUAUCUCCUCAUCAUUGUCAUUCUUGCUAGGCAUAAGCUUUGUCAUCCCACUCCUGUACUGGUAUAGAAAAAAGGCUCGUACAUACCUCAAACCAGCAAUCUUUACAGACCAAUUAUGUACUGAAUGAUAACACAUAAUAUAACAGCUGAAUAUUUUAAUUAGUGGCUAUAUGUUGAUUUGGAUAAUGUAUUCAUUUAUCAGCAGAAAACACCAAAUAUAUAAUUUUGGUUGAAUAUAAAAAUUCAGAAGAUAUUUCAUCAUUUUCUCCUCUCUUUUUGAAAAGAUGGGAUCUCUUCUUGAAUAUCCCAGAAGAUUCCUUAAAUGUCAUUCUCUGCCUACGUAAGUAAACCUUUUCCCCCAUUUCAUUUUCCUUUGUUUAUAUUUGACAACAACAUUCUCAGAGGAUCGAAGGGUAUUUUCGUCCUUAAAUUUUAGCAAUUAUUAAAAUAAGGUGGAGAGUGAUGUGUCAUUUUUUUAGUAUAUUUUCUAAAUUAGUAAUUUUGAUAAUUUAGAAAGUCAAUCACACGUUGANNNNNNNNNNNNNNNNNNNNNNNNNNNNNNNNNNNNNNNNNNNNNNNNNNNNNNNNNNNNNNNNNNNNNNNNNNNNNNNNNNNNNNNNNNNNNNNNNNNNNNNNNNNNNNNNNNNNNNNNNNNNNNNNNNNNNNNNNNNNNNNNNNNNNNNNNNNNNNNNNNNNNNNNNNNNNNNNNNNNNNNNNNNNNNNNNNNNNNNNNNNNNNNNNNNNNNNNNNNNNNNNNNNNNNNNNNNNNNNNNNNNNNNNNNNNNNNNNNNNNNNNNNNNNNNNNNNNNNNNNNNNNNNNNNNNNNNNNNNNNNNNNNNNNNNNNNNNNNNNNNNNNNNNNNNNNNNNNNNNNNNNNNNNNNNNNNNNNNNNNNNNNNNNNNNNNNNNNNNNNNNNNNNNNNNNNNNNNNNNNNNNNNNNNNNNNNNNNNNNNNNNNNNNNNNNNNNNNNNNNNNNNNNNNNNNNNNNNNNNNNNNNNNNNNNNNNNNNNNNNNNNNNNNNNNNNNNNNNNNNNNNNNNNNNNNNNNNNNNNNNNNNNNNNNNNNNNNNNNNNNNNNNNNNNNNNNNNNNNNNNNNNNNNNNNNNNNNNNNNNNNNNNNNNNNNNNNNNNNNNNNNNNNNNNNNNNNNNNNNNNNNNNNNNNNNNNNNNNNNNNNNNNNNNNNNNNNNNNNNNNNNNNNNNNNNNNNNNNNNNNNNNNNNNNNNNNNNNNNNNNNNNNNNNNNNNNNNNNNNNNNNNNNNNNNNNNNNNNNNNNNNNNNNNNNNNNNNNNNNNNNNNNNNNNNNNNNNNNNNNNNNNNNNNNNNNNNNNNNNNNNNNNNNNNNNNNNNNNNNNNNNNNNNNNNNNNNNNNNNNNNNNNNNNNNNNNNNNNNNNNNNNNNNNNNNNNNNNNNNNNNNNNNNNNNNNNNNNNNNNNNNNNNNNNNNNNNNNNNNNNNNNNNNNNNNNNNNNNNNNNNNNNNNNNNNNNNNNNNNNNNNNNNNNNNNNNNNNNNNNNNNNNNNNNNNNNNNNNNNNNNNNNNNNNNNNNNNNNNNNNNNNNNNNNNNNNNNNNNNNNNNNNNNNNNNNNNNNNNNNNNNNNNNNNNNNNNNNNNNNNNNNNNNNNNNNNNNNNNNNNNNNNNNNNNNNNNNNNNNNNNNNNNNNNNNNNNNNNNNNNNNNNNNNNNNNNNNNNNNNNNNNNNNNNNNNNNNNNNNNNNNNNNNNNNNNNNNNNNNNNNNNNNNNNNNACUAAAGACGUUAUUUAGUGAGGUAAAAAAUUGAUUAACUGGCCACUAAAAUUUAAAAAGAUGGCAGAUUUUGUCUUUUAACGAUGCUUUGCUUCGUAGUUCAUUUUUUAUUUUUAUUUUUUGUCAUUAAUGUGGAAUAAAAAAAAUAACGGCACGAACUAGGACAAGUGUACGGUUGUGAGAGACUACGAAAAUAAAAUAAUUUAAAUUCUAGAAUGAUAGAAGGUAGGACCGUCUCCACUCUCCAUGUGAAGAAAAUAACGUGGAAACCGGUGUGUUUGAUUUUUUUUGUUAAACGGGAUUCAAAUUCGAGAUAAUCGAAGAAGAGUUGAAUAUGAUAUUAAUAAUAUCCAUCCUGAAUUAAUCGUCAAUGUAAAAUUGUUUUAGUAGUAUAGUCUGUGUCCGGUUACCUGAAANNNNNNNNNNNNNNNNNNNNNNNNNNNNNNNNNNNNNNNNNNNNNNNNNNNNNNNNNNNNNNNNNNNNNNNNNNNNNNNNNNNNNNNNNNNNNNNNNNNNNNNNNNNNNNNNNNNNNNNNNNNNNNNNNNNNNNNNNNNNNNNNNNNNAUUUUAACAAGUAAAUAUUAAAACUUGGGUGAAAAAUAAAGGAAAAUUUUGGUACCAUGAUCAUUAAACGUUAAGCUACUAAUAUUAUGAUAACUUAUUAUAAAAAUAACUAUUAUGAUCACCAAUGUCAUUGGUCAACCAAUUGAGUGAUGAUGCAUGUGCAUAUGGAAAUAUUCUCAUAGUGGAACAUGUGUGUAAUUAUUAAUAAAAGNNNNNNNNNNNNNNNNNNNNNNNNNNNNNNNNNNNNNNNNNNNNNNNNNNNNNNNNNNNNNNNNNNNNNNNNNNNNNNNNNNNNNNNNNNNNNNNNNNNNNNNNNNNNNNNNNNNNNNNNNNNNNNNNNNNNNNNNNNNNNNNNNNNNNNNNNNNNNNNNNNNNNNNNNNNNNNNNNNNNNNNNNNNNNNNNNNNNNNNNNNNNNNNNNNNNNNNNNNNNNNNNNNNNNNNNNNNNNNNNNNNNNNNNNNNNNNNNNNNNNNNNNNNNNNNNNNNNNNNNNNNNNNNNNNNNNNNNNNNNNNNNNNNNNNNNNNNNNNNNNNNNNNNNNNNNNNNNNNNNNNNNNNNNNNNNNNNNNNNNNNNNNNNNNNNNNNNNNNNNNNNNNNNNNNNNNNNNNNNNNNNNNNNNNNNNNNNNNNNNNNNNNNNNNNNNNNNNNNNNNNNNNNNNNNNNNNNNNNNNNNNNNNNNNNNNNNNNNNNNNNNNNNNNNNNNNNNNNNNNNNNNNNNNNNNNNNNNNNNNNNNNNNNNNNNNNNNNNNNNNNNNNNNNNNNNNNNNNNNNNNNNNNNNNNNNNNNNNNNNNNNNNNNNNNNNNNNNNNNNNNNNNNNNNNNNNNNNNNNNNNNNNNNNNNNNNNNNNNNNNNNNNNNNNNNNNNNNNNNNNNNNNNNNNNNNNNNNNNNNNNNNNNNNNNNNNNNNNNNNNNNNNNNNNNNNNNNNNNNNNNNNNNNNNNNNNNNNNNNNNNNNNNNNNNNNNNNNNNNNNNNNNNNNNNNNNNNNNNNNNNNNNNNNNNNNNNNNNNNNNNNNNNNNNNNNNNNNNNNNNNNNNNNNNNNNNNNNNNNNNNNNNNNNNNNNNNNNNNNNNNNNNNNNNNNNNNNNNNNNNNNNNNNNNNNNNNNNNNNNNNNNNNNNNNNNNNNNNNNNNNNNNNNNNCCGAGUUCACCGGACUCCAAAAGCAGCCGCCGUGAUGCUCCGCCAUCAUUCCAGCCAUGUCAUACUCAUACCCAAACCCUCCUCCACCGCCGCAGCCGCCGACUGCAUCAGCGGCCGGGGUGAGUAACUGGAGGAUCUCGUUGAGGGAAUCGAGGCGGUGGCCGAGCUCGCCUACCUGAGCCCUGAGUACCGAAUUGUCUGCGUCGAGGGACAGGAAAUGCUGGGUGGUGACGCUGAUGCUGGCGACGAUCUGGCCGUUCUCUUUCCUGAGCUGAUCAACCUGGGCCGUCAGAUCGUCGAGGUGUUUCUGCUUUCUCAUCCUCGACCUCCUCGCCGACUCCCUGUUCGACACCAUCCUCUUCCUCUUCCUCUCGUCCAUCAAAGCCUGGAGGUCCGAGUCCGACCCGGCUGAGUUGUUGCUCACCGGCGACGACGUCGCCGACGAUGUGCCGCUCGAAGACGUCAUUACAGAUUUUUUUUCGAAACCGAACAAAUUUAAAAAAGAGAAGCUAAUUAAUUAAAUAAAAAGUUGAUUACUUUAUAAGGGGAUGGCAAAAGGGAAAUUAAAGGUCGUUAUGAAACAUAGUAGAGGAAGUAAAGGAAGACGACUGAGAAAGAUUGAACGAGAUGAGUCCUUCGCCGGAAAGUGGAAUUUAUCAUACAACGGAGAAGGAACAGUUCACUAAGAAUUGAAGACAUGAAUCUCUAGACUAUGCAUCAAGCUUAGCCGUCCUUUUCAACUCCUUUUUUUUUUCUCACAAUGAAACCCACAGUCAAGAUUCCGUCGAUCGGAGAAAUCGAAACGGAGGAUCUGAAAAACAGAGCAAGGGGAAAGUGAACCCAAAUCGUAGAAAUUGGCUUAAGAAAUGAAGAGGGUUGGUGAUUUAAGAAACGGAGAUGGGAGAAAUCGAAACAGAGAGGGGUGAAAACAGAGGGAAGGGAAGGGGGAGGGGAAGAAGAGGGGGAGAAAUGAAGAGGGGUUGAGGGGUGAAUUUAUAGAAGGGGGAGAUUGCUGGACUGGUUUAAAGAAUUAUUAUGAAGGGAGGAGGAAAAAAUCUGGAAAAGGAAUUGAGAAAGUAAAGUGGUGGGGAGAGAGAAAGGUGAUGGAGACAUGUGGGGUGGUGAAGAAGGAGAGAGAAGAAGAGUCCAGAGAAUACAGCUGGGAACCAACAGUAGAGGGAGGAGGAGGAGGAGGAGGAGGAGGAAGAAGGAAUUGUUUUUUUUUUUUGCAUUGCAUCGCAUCAUUUUGUUUGAUUGUUUUUGUUGUUGUUGGUGGUGGUGGUGGUGGGGGAAGGGUCUUUUGAUGUUGGUGUUGUUGUGUUGUGUGAUGAUUUGCUCACUCAAAAUCUGGUGUUGGUUGUAUUUGGAUGCAAUCAUGGUGGUAUUAUAUGGCUUUUGUUGUUCAUGAUCAUGGGUGAAAGGUACAAGUUGGGGGAUUCUGUUUGUGGUUGAUGGGUUCUUUCAAGAAGGAUGAUCGAGUAGUGUGACUCAUAUGUGUUGUUUUUCGUGUAGUGUAUUAAUAGUUGCUUGUUAAGUUCUAAACUAGCUUUUAUAAUUAGUUGAGCAUAGCAUUGAAACUGAUGGAUAAUUUCAAUAAAGACGAUAGAGUAGUAUGAAUCCUAUGUAUUGUGUUCCGUUCUGAUGUCUCGGUAGUAGUUUGUUAGGUUGUUACUGGUUUUCUAAACUACGUUUGUAAUUCAUCGUCUUGGUCGAGCAUCAUUGCUGUAAUUCGAUUCCUAACAUUGUUAUACAUGGCAUAAUAACCGGCUAAUUCUAGAAGAGAAUCUACAAUUUAACAGCAAGUUGUAUAUUUAUUUACCACAUAUAAUAAAUCUACAAAAGGUACAUAAUCUUGUUUGUUAAUGAAAAAAAUAAAAUCACACAUCGCACUCCUGAAUAUUUUAUAAAUUUUGCACAUCCCCAAAUGUUGCCUAAAAGUUACCAAUGGAAUCAGAAAUUAAUGAACCGAAACAAAUAAAAAUAAUAAUUACAACAGCCAGAAAUGGAGACCCAAUUUGAGCCUGUUGGGCCACCGUGGUCAUCAGUUUAUUGGUUUAUAACUAUCUAGUCAUCAACAUUUAAAAAGUAAUAUACAUACCGCUAACCUAUUUCAAUUAUAAUACGUAAUUAAUCUCGUUAAUGCUCCAUCCGGAAAUUUUGCUAAUCCGACUGACCACCAUGCACUUCACUCUUUGCUAUGCAAACUGUUGUAUCUUUUAGAUCCAAUCUAUUCAAUUUGUUUGAGUUGGAUGAUUUUCAGUGAAUUGAGUUAAAUAUUUAAAUUAGAUUUUAAGUAUGUUCAUAUGUGUUAAGUUAGAUUGUUUGAAUGGAUCGAAUCUAUGAUGAAAUGCGUGAUAUGGUCGUUUUUUAAAUUAUAAAUUAGUGUGGUGAUUUGUCAAUUAAAAACAAUCGGUUAAUUAUAAUAGGUUUCAAUUGUUUGGUGACUACAAUGCAUAUUAUGAAUUUAUGAUUUUCUUGGGGAAAAAAGGUCCACCGACGAUGUACUGACAACACUGAGUUGCUUAGAAUCUUGGAAAUCUAGGGAUGUAGGUCUGUCAUUAUUUUAAUUUUCAUUCAAAUUUAUUUAUUUAUUUUUGGUAUAUAAGCUUCGAGCUGUUGAUGAAACGAAUCGAGCUGAGCAUUUUCCAAUUCGUUCGUUUGAAAUAGCAGUACGGGUUCGGCUAAUUCGUUUGAAAUAGCAGUUCGGGUUCGGCUAAUUUAUUAUCAAGCCGGUUUGCGAGCUAACUCAUUAAAAUCAAAUUGAAUUUCGAUCAAUUUUUUUUCAAAUCGAACGUCAAAUUGCUCGCGAACGACUUGAUUGGUCAACAACUCUAUUAAUGACCUCAUGGAAGUUCAAUGUUUUUCUUAUUACAAAAGGGUCCUCUUUAUUCUUCAUUUGUCUAUGAGAAGUCCCAUUGAUUAGUCCAUGGCCCAUGUUUUGGUACCUUUGGGCGGUUUGGGGGUCACCCCCCACUAUUUGAUGUCUUGUUUGUUAGUCGUACAACCUAACCAUUAUAGUGGUCUACAUUCGAAACUUGAAAUCGAUAGGAUAUUGCUAAUUGUAUAUAUUGUCAUAUUGAUAUGAGUUAUUAGAUCGAAUCAUACCAUCCACAAUUUUUUUACUUACCACUAACCACAAUUUCUAUAAAAUGAGUGUUGUAAACCGAACCUGACUCAAACCUGAUUUAGUCCUUCAAAUAAGUUUUUUCAGUGCCAUAUCUUAUAGAUUUCUCCUACCUUCAAAAUUUAAACUUCAGACUAGAUAAUUUUGACAAAUUAAACAAAACUAAUCAUUAAUAAAAAAAAUUUAGACCAUUUGGUUUAAUUUCAUCACAUAAUUAUUUUCGAAAAAAAUAAUGUUACAACAUCCGGACCAUGAUUAUCAUAUACCAAACCGAAAUUUGUUUCAUCAACGAUAAUAUUACAAAAUCCUAUCCAUGAUAAUGUUUUUCUNNNNNNNNNNNNNNNNNNNNNNNNNNNNNNNNNNNNNNNNNNNNNNNUAAAAUAAUAUUUAAUUUCCUGCACAUCGGGUUUGUUUAAACAAUAAUAGUAUCUUAUACUGAUUCGAAAUUCAUCACCGGUAAAUCCAAUUUAUCAAUUUAACAUGUUUCAUGUACAUAGGAUUUGCAUUCAAAGCAUCUAGCUAUUCAAUUGCCAACAUUUUCCACAAAAAUGUGCGGGGUCCUAUUUCUAAUCCACGAUCCCUUCAUCCCUUGCCCCUUGCCUUUAAGAUUUGAUUCCAAGGCUAAUUAACAGUUGGGUUUAUAAAGAAACAAAAUGAAAGGUGGAUACUUUCUUUUAUUAUUUAAUUAGUGAUCUAUGAUUUUUAAAAAAGGUUAAUUAGUGANNNNNNNNNNNNNNNNNNNNNNNNNNNNNNNNNNNNNNNNNNNNNNNNNNNNNCCAUAAAAUGGACAAAAGCCAUCAUUAGGGAGGCACUUAACAUUGAUAUUUGCAAGACCAUGGUAAUCAAGAGUUCAAUGAAUUAUGGUGCACCUUUAGGCAUGGACCAUCCACAAUAUGGCACUUGUCUUUAUGGAAUCAUGGGAUUUUGUUUUUGUUACAAAAUAAUUAAUAUUUUUUAUUAAAAUGACAAAAAGAUGAAGUAACGAAUCACAAACACAAUACCACAUAUUUUACGUAAUUAUUAAUGAUUAUAAGUUGAUAUUCGAUUGAACCAAAUACAUAAAUAUUGUCUAGCCGUCUUCCAUUACUAUUUAGUAUUUACUAGUAAUUGUAUUUUUCCUUAAACUAUUUUACUAUAUACAAGAUUUAUGACAUUCUCAAGGAAGAUAAUGAGAGAAUUUAUUUGCACUUAUCUUUGUUUUAUUAUAUUUUACAGAAUAAAAUAUCCAUGGAAAAUAAUAAUAGUCGAGCUGGACUUUAAAUUUGAAAUUUUGUCUACNNNNNNNNNNNNNNNNNNNNNNNNNNNNNNNNNNNNNNNNNNNNUCGAAAUGGUCAGAAAUCCUCGAUAAAAUUACAAAUAUGAGCCGAGUUUAAAAAUACUUUGGCGCAAGAUUUGAGAACUCGUCAUAUAUAUAAAUUUCAAUCUUAUUUGNNNNNNNNNNNNNNNNNNNNNNNNNNNNNNNNNNNNNNNNNNNNNNNNNNNNNNNNNNNNNNUUGAUGGAUUUCGAGUUUCAUCAGAACUUUGCUUGAUUAUAAGUAAGGAUACGCUAUAUUCUACCUUGGAAAUUUUUAUAAUAAAUUUACCAUAGUGGUUUCUUCAUUUUCGUUAUAAUAAAAAUAUAAUCAAGCAUUUUUUUAUAUAUGAAAGUAGUCGACAUCUUAAUUUGAAAAGCACGUGUAUGAACGAUGUAAACACCUUAUCUAGCUAGUCAUUUUUGCGACUUUAAUGAAAAAGAUAUUGCAUUGUCGUACAUCAUCGACUACUAACAUAAUUUUCGAAAACUCACCCUCAUAUUGUACAUCGAAUGAUCUUAAGUAUACAUUUGAGAUUCUGUAAUAAGGGAGACCGAACUUGACAAACACCUCCAUAGUUAAAAAAAUUCAAAGAGAACUUUGACUCCAUUUUGGCUACUCCUUUUCUGGUGCAUCCAACUUUUAAUGAUGGCUAAUAGGGUACGAUGAAUUCCAAAAAAAUGUGCUUAAAUCCCAUUUGUUUGAACCCAUUUUGCCUUCACGGCGAAGUAAUUAAAGUGCAUGAUAACAUGGUGGGCACACUAUACACAAGAUUGAGAGGAAAGGAAAAUAUUAAAGGAUGGUAUCGAAAUUCGUUAGCUAAUCGUUUCUUUGACCUAUUGGUUAGGUUAAUAUCAGCCGUUAGUCAAAACACAAUUAUCGGAUCUACUCGACUCCCUUGUAUUUUUAUAGAUUUUUCCAAUUUUUUUUUUUAAAUUGAAUCGAUCAGUUAAUCAAUUUAUAUUCUCGUCAGUUGGAUGGUCGAAGGUUAACAAAUUAUCCAAAUUUAGUUAUUAUCAACCUACCUACCGACUCCAUGAAUCUUUUGUACUUAUUUUCUUUAUUCGUUCUUCUAAAUUUGUAGGGACACAAGAGAUUUGAAUCGACAUUUUUACCACUCCUUUUUAUUUCUGAGUAACUUUUGAUUGUGCAAUUGUUGCCGAUGUUAUGAAAAAAAAUGUACUUUUUUCACAAAGGAUUUUGCUUUAGUGGUGGGUGUGGGGUUUGGAGGCAAAUGUGUGGUUGGGAUUUCUCAUUAUUUUACAGUUACCAUUGAUGUUAAAGUCAAUAAUUUGGUAAAAACAAAGCCCUCUCGUAUCACCUCAAUUUGAUUACACCAAAGCCACCACUUGUAUCCAUAUCUUGAAUUGAGAGUGAUUAGUCGAUGAUAAAGCUGGUCGAACGAAAUUGUGUUGGUUUAAUCAUGUUGUAUAUGAAUUGAUUGAUGGAGAUAUUAUUAUUUGACGCAACAAAUCUGAGCAACAGAAUACGCGUUGUGUUGUUGGUGGGUUGUUGUGGCUGAGAUCCUUACUUUUUGGUGGCGUGCCUGUGUUUGCAUGUGCAAGUGAUCCGAUGUGUCGCCAACGAAGCCACCCAUAAACUGACGAGAUAAGUUGUGUGGAGGCGAACCUCGCGAUUUGAAUUGAUAGUUGUUUUUGGUCAUAGGUAGCUCAAGGAGAGGAGGAACGAGGUGAAGAUCUUUGUAGUUCGUUAGUCUGCAUUUUCUUUCCUUAACACUUUGAUUUCUGCAUUGAUUGAUUCGAUGUGUAUCGCCCUCUUUUCAGGACUUGAGAGAAAGAAUAGAUGUUGUGUCUGAGCCCGUUGUUGAAUCGGGUAAGCUAAUAAUGUUUGUGCAGUUCUUUUCUUCUUCAUGUCUUAUUGGUUUUAUUCUCAGAAGAACAUCUGAACUGAUUCUUGUGAUAUAAAAAAGUAGGCACAGAGGAGAAUCCUCAGAAUGAUAACGUCUUCCUAGAUGAUGUUGAGUCUCUUGUUCCACCAGAGAGCAGUUUUGUCGCUCCUUCAGAAACCAGACAUGAAAGUGAGGGCACAAUGCCUGCAGCAGAAGAGGCAUAUGUUUAUGAUCUAUCGUCCUUGGGCUUCGACGAUUUUGUUCCUUCAGCUACUGCUGCCUCUGAGCUCCCAAUGAACUCAGAACAGACGGGUUAUGAGCAAACAUGUGUUUUGAACGAGGCAGGCAAAAAUUCAAGGGAGGAUGCUCCUGAAGUGGUGAAAAAGGUAAUGUCGUUUGAAAUGUAAGUAAGAUGCUAUACGACGCAUUUGUUACUAUGGUUGUAACCUGUUUCUCUCUCUCUCUCUCUUAUCAGAAUCGAGACAACAAUGAAAAGACUUCUUCAUUAGGCAGUGACGGGAGUGGCGGCAAGCUCUCAAUGCAGUUGAGGAAGCGAUCAGGUGGUCGUCAAGUUCUUAACGAGUCUGAGCCUGUGAGUGGUCAUGAUGAUAGCAGCUUCCUUGUUGAGUACCUGAAGGCCUCGGUACGAAUGGAGAUGAGGAUUAUGAAUAUCGGAUCGAGGAUUCUGAGGAUGAUGGAAAUGUUGAUGCUGGCGGGGAAAGAACUUCCAAGAAAAAGAAAGCUGCUAAAAGGUCAAAGAAAUCAGCUUCGGGUGAAGAGAAGCCUGGUCGAAAGCGCAAGAAAGCCAGUGACACAUCAGAACAGUUGGAGCAGAAGCAGCCAAAGAAGAAACUUUCCCAUUCAACUCGCCGAAGGAAAAGAUAUCGCAAGUUCGAUACUCUCUAUUAAAUAUGUGUCACUGUUUCGAUUCUUGACAAUGAUUUGAUCUUUUUAUACAGGAAAUGACGAGUUGCUUAAGGUGCCCGAAGAUGAAAUAGAAUUCCGGAGCUUGACCAUGCGGGAUAUAAUUGUUCUUGCUGAACACAAAGAACGGUUAGCUGUGAGUUUAUCGGUUGCACUAAAUCAUUGCUUAAGUUACUGCUACCAGGAUUGAUCUCGUUAAUGCUAAUUGUUUGCAAAACGUCUUUUGCAGGCUAAAGAUGCCAAAGCUUCUUUGCAAAUUCCUUCGACUGAUGAAAAGUAAGAAGUCAUUUGUGAUUAGUGGAAGGCUUUCUCUGAACCGUUUAUCUUGUUAAAUUAAUCGUGCUCACCUCAGAACCAUUUGUCUCAUCUUGUUUAAAUGUAUUACCCUGUGCAGCACCGAGGAAGCCAACGAUGAAGAGGAUAACUCUGAGUCCGAGGAACCUGUAGACGUAUACGAAACCCCUUUAUUCAACAGCCAUUCUUUCAUGAAUAGGACGCCCACCAUGAGAUGGUCAAAACCGGAUACUGAUUUAUUUUAUGAGGUAUAAACAUCUCUCUACAAUAAAUCGGUCGCAGAAAUUAUCUUCUGCUUUCUUAAUGCUUUCGAAGCUUCAAUAUUGCUGAUUGGUGGAAUCAAACCCUUGUAUGCGUGAUACAUUGAACUUAAUUAUGGUACAUUAUGCUUGUUCUGGGCUUUCAGGGAAUUCGACAGUUCGGAUCCGCCGACAAAUCAAGAAUAAAUUCAAAACUGAAGAGCGCCGACAUCCAUUCUUACUUUCUGACGCUCUGCAAAACCCCAACGGUGGUAAUGUUCUUUACCAUCACUGUGAAAGCCUUUUCCACGUCAAAUUGCUAGUUGAAUAAUAUAGCAGCAUCCUUGUCUUUUGCAGAUACUACGUAUUUUGAUAAGGUGUAUAAUAAGCUGGCGCAAGCUGCAGCUGAUGAAGGAAGAGAGCCUCUCGAUCUUACCGGAGAAAAAGAAGCAGAUUUGAAUCUGGAAACUAAUGUAUGCUUGCAGCCCGCUUCGAUUCCAAUCAGAAACUAAUUUGCUUCCUUUAUUCUAAUCCAUGUGUAAACGCCUGUAUGGUUGCAGGAGGAACCAGGAAAAAACUCGGAGCAGGACGAGCAGGCAACGGGUCAGGAUCCUGGAGAUAACCCUGAUGAAGCCCAUAGUAAUGAGAAGAUCGAGGACGAGGACGAGGAUGAUUUAUUCAGCUCGUAUAAAUGUGAAUUCUGAAGCAACAAGCUAAACAUAUUGUAGCUGUAUUAUUAUCGAGUCCAACGAUGAAACUAGAUAGCUUGAAACAGUGGUUAGUGAAUGAAAUAGAUAUUAGGUUCCUUCUCUGAUUACUUGCCUCUAUUUGUGCUUUAACACCCUACUUUUAUUUCAGGGUUAACAAAUGGUCCUUCGGGAAAGAUCAACAAUGAUUAUCGAAGAACGAGAGAACGAGAGAACGAGUUUGAAUGGAGCGAUCAUCGAAUUAGAUUUGAGUAUUCAACCUUGGUGUAAAACAUCCAGCUAACAAUCUCAUGUAUCACCAGAUUAGAAGGGGCUAUUAUUGUUCUAUUUGCAUCUCGAAAUCUGGAAGAAAAACGUACAUUUCAAGAAUCUACAAAAACAUUUUGAAUGGUAGUCCUUCCGUUGCUACCUCGAUAGACCGUAAAGAUGCAAAAAUUUGAGCACGAAAACGAAGACCGAAUGGGGGCAUCUUCAAUAUCAACCAUUAAUUGAUGGGUUUACUUGCCUGUCAAGUAACAAACUAGCAACCUUACACAAUCUUGUACAAUGCAGUCUUUCCAUUGCAAAACAUUCAAAACUCUUGUCCAGUUUUCCGGAACAACUCUGGGUCACGUGAUUUUCUGGAGAACGAUGCACCAAUUCGAUUUGUCGAAGAACUGAUCGACUAUGACUGCAUUCUUGAUUCCAGAUGUCAACCUGAAACAACAUAAGGUGAGAACAAAACCUUAUAGCUGAAACGAAUGCAGAAGGCAAAAGCGGUUGAUGAAACCCGACUUGUUACCUUUCGAGCUCUCCUUCGCUAAAGACGUGAUAGUACCGGUUGUAGAUGACUGCACCCUUCUUGUCAUCUUUCCUCGCCAAGCCGGAGGCCACAGCAGAGGCAGAAGCGCCCCCAACUUCAGCUCGAUGAUACGGCAGAUGCCAAGGCACGAAAUACUCGUGCUGACUUCCAUCCUCUCUCGAAACCACUGCAUCACCAGAUUCCGGGAUGCUUUUCAAUGCAACAGACGAAGGGGGACUCCGCCUCUCAUCGUGCAGUAUUUCCUUCCCUUCUGCGGAUUCUGGGAUGCUUUUCAAAGUCACGGACGAAGGGCUCCGGACACGAGGACUCCCCGGUCCAAUCCAUUCCUCGACAUACUUAUCAUUAAGAGGCGUCCACUUCGUAAGCAGCGACCGAUCCUCUUGCUCGGCAGCCCAGACAGUUAUCAACACAAGUCCACCCUUCUUCACAACCCUAACCAACUCCUCCACCGCCUUCUUCCUCCUGACCUCGGUGCUCAAAUGAUGCAGCACCGCAAUCGAAAUCGCAGCAUCGCCAAACCCGUCUCGGUAAGGAAGAUUCACAGCAUCUGCAACCAGAACCUCGCUCCCUCGAUCCGCACAAAUCUUGAUCAGCGGGCUGCUGAUAUCGCACCCGAUGAAAAAGCAAUCCGGAUUCAGCCCUAGAUACUUCCCGUUCCCACAUCCUGCAUCGAGCACGAGCGAUCCUACUGGCAAAUUGUUUAGGAAAGACGCUACCUUUGGCCAUUUAGCGAACCUCGUGGAGCUGAAAUGAGGCGCUAUCGCGUCGUAAACUCGAUGCACAUACUUCUUUUCAAUCUCCGGGGUCGAGCCGAUACAUGAAGCUGCCUGGUGAUCUUCAGCAUUGGAGCAGAAGCUGGCAGCAGAGCCAGUCACCUUGAUUUCCUUCAUCGGUUUUGAGAUCUGAGCAGCUAGUAAACCGUAUGACGAGCUACUUGCCCUAGUGAAUCCUAAUCGCAUCAGCUACCCCCGCCUGAAAUUGUACUCUCCGAUGAAAUGAAAACGAAUAGACCAGCUUUUUUCAGCUUUCUAAACUUAGAAUCGUACGGUUGGAAUCUGAAUACUGCUGAAAUCGAUAACAUGAAGAAAGGAAACUGAAUAGCUUACCGGCUCUGGCAGUUCGGAUCUGCAGCGAUGACGACUGAAUCCCUUAAUCCCUUUCUCCCCUAAUCAGCGGCGAUCUGGGAGGGAGUGGGGUGGGGCGAAAAGGUAGAAUGGAUUGAAAUUAGGGUUUUUGUAAAAUUAAAAAAUUGAUGAUUGGGGGAUAUCUCGGGAACUGGGUGGUAUUAUUAUUGUACAGCUACUGAGCUUAGCCAAUUUUUAAUUAUUAUUUUAUUCGCGGGUGCUAUACGAUCUCUGUAUCCAUACCGUAUACAUACGAGUAUACUUGUGUGAAAUUUGCCAACGUAAUUUGUUUCUCCUUCACACACUCUAUUUUUAUUAAUAUAGUUUGUUUUACUACAUAGUUCCUGAACUUCUCAAAUUUGUCUUUCAUUAUCCAAAUUAUUACGACGUUUUCACUGCCAACUCAUCAUCUCCACAAUUCCCACAAUAUUGCCAUAAUACAUCUUAGUCGAUUACUAAAGUGGCAAUCGAUGUAGAGACAUCAACAAACAAAAGAUAAAUUAGCGACGAAAUGACAUCAUAAUUUAACAAUCUAAUAAAAAAAAUCUACAAACAAAUUAGGCGAUUGAUUUAUUCCGACCUCCGAACAAUAUGUCUUUAUGCCAUUACUUACCAACUAGAUAAGUAAAUGGACCAAAAGCCAAAAAAGAUGAUUGAUUUACAUUCACACUGAAUAAAUAAAUAAAAACCCUAGCUAGGUAGCAUUUGAUUGAUAAUAAAGCUUAAUGAGUUCACUUUUGUUAUGUGGUCAAAUUAAGGGGGACAAUUUGAAUAUCAAAGAUGGCCAGCGAACUAGUAGUCGGUGGAGUGGAAAUAAUGUUAAUUAGUUAAAUUAGAAGCUUCUUUUAAGCAAGUGGCAAAGAUGGAUUCCUCAAUAGGGCACAAAAUUGUUUUUAAUUUUUAUGAGGAUAUAGUAAUUAUUGAUUUAUAGAUAGAAGAUAUAGAAAAGUUAGAUAUGUAUANNNNNNNNNNNNNNNNNNNNNNNNNNNNNNNNNNNNNNNNNNNNNNNNNNNNNNNNNNNNNNNNNNNNNNNNNNNNNNNNNNNNNNNNNNNNNNNNNNNNNNNNNNGUAUGAUCUCAUUUGUGUUGAACGAAUAUUGGCCUGAUUUGACUUGAGUGAAAACUAUAAAUUUAUUAGUCCUUACAACUUGUAAGAUACACGACAAAUAACUUUCUCAAAACGAGUAAUCUUUCAGAUGUUGAUAUGUACAUCACUCAGCAAACAAAUCUAAUUCAAUAUUCAGUACCCACAUUUAACUCUUGACAUAUUAAUCCACCCGAACUUCCAAGAAGAAGAGACAAAACAAUGAAAGAAUUGUUCACAUUUGAAGCUUUUAAUUAUUGAAUUAGAUUUCUUUAGUUUUCUCUAAUAGCAUUCCUUCUAUUUGUUUUCAUUUGUAAGUUUAAAUUAGAAGAAAACAAGUUGUUUAAUUAUUUAAACAAAACAAAAUCUCUUAUUGUUUGGUUGAAAUAGAACAUAAAAGUUUCCACAUGUACAAUCAAUUAAUUAGCUGUAAUUUUGGUGUUAGUGACAGCAAAUUAAUAAACAAUCACUAAGUACCCAACAAUUACACGAACCAAAAUAGGAAAAUGAAAUUCUUCCCAAGUGGCACCACGUCAGCAUUGUACUGAUUUUUUUUUCUAACUUUCUUCUUUGGUGAAGUUAGAACAAAACACAAUUAUCUGUUUGUGAGAGAUUCAUGAUAUCAAAAUACAUAUAUGAAAAUUACAAUGUUGAAUUUAGCGAAAUUGUUUGAAUUUAUUUUUGGCGAUGGGAGUCAAAAUCGUACAAAAUGUUUUUGAAUGUAAUUCGAAAUCUAGUUUUUUUUUAAGGAUUUUAAUUUCAAAAUCAACAUAUAAAAACUAAAAAGACACUAGAACAUAAUAGACUUUCAAACAAGGUAGUGUACACAAUUUUAUAAGAAAGUAAAAGAUUGAAAAUGGUAAAAAUAUUAACCCUAACUCAUCCUUGUGGAUCAAAUUAUCAACGAUACCUUACAACCCAUUAAACAUGUGAUUUUAUAUAUAUGAUAUAACCCAUUUAACCCAAAUAAAACACUCUCAACCCAUUAAAUAUAUAACUUUACGUUACCAACUUAGAACCCGAUCAACCCGACACUCGAAAAUAAUGAACCAGCCAGCCAUACAAUAGUCAACAUUAGCCAGCAGACAUAUCUGUUAAUUUAUUAUUAUUAUUUUAACUACGACCAAAAUUUACCUCGCCACGUGGCACUCUGGUGAAUAAAAAACGUAUGUCGGUGGACCCUACCCGCCACCAAAUUAGGUCUCCUACUAUUAAACCAAAUCUUCCCAACGCUCUCUGUAUUUCCUUCUUCUGCCGUAAUUUAAUUUAUUCAAUCGGCCAGAAGAGAAAUUUGAUGUUUCAGUUCCUCUAAUUUUUAAUUUAUUCCUCCCGAAGAUCAUAAUCUCCAUUUUGUAUCUGUAAAUUUCUGAUUUCCUAUCCUCUUUACCUAAAUUUACGCUGCAAUUUUCGUCUUACCAGAUGCGAUUGUUCUUGAUCGUUCGAUCUUCCUCGUGAUCGGCGCUCCCACCCACACUGAGUUUCUCCUUAUGCAAUCAAUCAUAACCCCAAAUUUCAGAUUCUGAUAAAGUGGUCAAAUUUGAUUUCUCUCUGUUUGGCUGGCUAAGCAUUUUAUUUUUCGAGCUCUGAAAGUGGGGGAGUUGGCGAAGGACACUGUCUCCCACUCGAAUUGUAAAGUUUUCCACUGCUAGGGUUCGUAAGCUUACUGCAUUUGGUCGUUUGAUCUGCUCUCUCGAUCGGUAAUUUUGGUGGUGCGGAGGAAAAACCCCUUUUUCAGACUGUGUGAGUCGUUGAUUUUCGGCGAAAGGAAGGAGCUUUGAAAUGUCUGGUCCGCUCGAUCGGUUCGCUAGGCCUUGUGAGUGCAUUUUUUAAUUGUGAUUUCUGACUUUAUUUAACUUUUUUUUUUCUUGGUUGAGCUAGGGUUUUGAGCUGUUUGUUACAGUGAGUUCAGUUUUUUAGAUCGGAUUUUAGUGCUUUAUAGCAUAAUUAUGAGAAUGCAGGUUCUCUGAAGUGAUUUCUGUUGGAAGAGAAGUGGUAAUUUGUUACUGAAUGUGAUUACUGAUGAUGAAUUGUUGUUAUGUCGCGUAGGUUUUGAGGGUUCAUCAGGGGGAGAUGAAAGGAGGGAGGAGAGGAGGGAGAGGAGAUCUGAUUUUGAGAACUCCGAGGACGAGAGAAGGACGAGGAUUGGGUCGCUGAAGAAGAAGGCAAUUAAUGCUUCUACCAAGUUCAAGCAUUCUCUGAAGAAGAAGAGCAGCACCAGGCGAAAGAGUGAUGGCCGGGUUAGCUCAGUUUCCAUCGAAGACAUACGGGACCUCGAGGAACUGCAGGCUGUCGAUGCAUUUCGCCAGUCGUUGAUCAUGGACGAGUUACUUCCUGAAAGACACGAUGACUACUACAUGAUGUUGAGGUGAACCCCCCUUGAUUAUGUGUUCAGGAUAGAAUGUGAGCUGUUCCUGAACUUGCUAUGAUUAAUUAGGCAUGUUUAUAGUAUACAUAUCGUCCUGUUUUGGGCAUAAUGAUCAAGUCCACUUUCAUUAAUGUAAUCUUCGGUUGCUUGUUUGUGUUACUCUUGCUAACCCUUUUAUGUGUCUCAGGUUCUUGAAAGCUAGGAAAUUCGACCUUGAGAAAGCAAAGCAUAUGUGGGCUGAUAUGCUUCAAUGGAGGAAGGAAUUUGGUACUGAUACUAUCAUGGAGGUAAUUCCGACUUUCAAUGAAUCUGGAGUUGAUAUUAUCAGCUUCCCCUUGUUUAGAACUUCACUUAGUUUCUUUUCUUGUAUCAGGAGUUUGAGUUUCAAGAAUUAGAGGAAGUUUUGAAGUAUUACCCACAUUUCUAUCAUGGCGUGGACAAAGAAGGGAGACCUAUUUACAUUGAAAGAUUGGGGAAAGUUGAUCCUCACAAACUUAUGCAAGUAACAGAUCUCGACCGCUAUGUGAAAUACCAUGUCCGUGAGUUUGAGAAAAGCUUUUUGGUCAAGUUUCCAGCUUGUAGCAUUGCUGCAAGGAAGCAUAUUGACUCUAGCACAACAAUUCUAGAUGUUCAAGGAGUGGUAUGUUGGUUACUUAUUACAAUUUGUUACGCUUAUUUCCAUGAUGUAUUAAAGAACAAUCUCUUCGUUUUGUAUCCCUAGAAAAAAGAAUUCACCUUUUUCAUUUUACUCGCUUACAUUUAGGGAUUAAAAAACUUCACUAAAUCUGCUCGGGAACUUGUCAUGCGGCUGCAGAAGAUUGAUGGUGACAACUACCCCGAGGUAAGAUAAUUUCGCUUGUAUAGCUCUAAACGGUUAUUACUUAUAUAGUUAUAUUUUUAUCCUUUUGUAGAGAAUGCUGACUUGUUUAUACAAUGUGACAUUUGUGUCAAUACUGCAGACUCUACACGAAAUGUACAUUAUCAAUGCUGGGCCUGGAUUUAGGCUUUUGUGGGGUACCAUCAAGACAUUUUUGGAUCCAAGAACCAGCUCCAAGAUUCAUGUAUGAUUGUAAUUAUAAUUGUGUUAUAUUUACUGUAACUAUCCUGCCGAACCAUCCAAUGAACAAAAUUUGUUGUGUGAAUAUGUAGGUGCUUGGAAACAAGUAUCAGAGUAAAUUGCUCGAGGUAAUCGAUGCUAGGUAAGCAUGUUGCACUGGUUUAUAGAAGUGCCGAAUGCUAUUUUACCGGGAUGUUAUGCUAAUUUCUAACUAGUUGCUAACAAUGUGCAGUGAAUUACCCGAAUUCAUGGGUGGUGUCUGUAAGUGUGCUGAUCAGGGAGGUUGUCUUCGCUCUGACAAAGGACCAUGGAGAAAUCCAGAUCUAUUGAAGGUAUGCGGUUUCCAUAAUUUUUUUCCAUGAAAUUUUGUUCUUUUCGGGAAGUAACAAAUCUUACGUUUCUGCAGAUUGUUCUAAGUGGAGGAGCUCGUCGCUCAAGGCAGGUUGUAAAGAUCUUAAACAACGAGGGUAAGGUCAUUACCUAUGCAAAGCCUCCUUGUUACCCGAUGGUAAGACAUCGAUAAUGCUCCCUCGUUUUUGAAGGAUUAUGUGAAGGAGCAGCUUUGCUAAAUUGCCUUGGAAUUCUUGAGACAGGUCAGAAGUGAUUCCUCUGCUGCUGAAUCUGGAUCAGAAGCUGAAGAGAUUUCUUCCCCCAAGGCACUAAGGUCUUACUCGCAUCUGCGCCUGACUCCUGUUCGUGAAGAAGUAAGUUUUGGCUGUUCAUGCAAAAUGGUUUUAGUUUUUGGACUCAAAUUUUCGGUCUUCUGAUAUCCAGUUUGUUCAUUUGGAAUCUUGAAUGUGAAGUCUAAGAUUGUUGGGAAGGUGAAUCACCCUAGCACCUUUUCUGGGUAUGAUGAAUACGUUCCGAUGGUCGAUAAAGCAGUUGACUCUACCUGGAAUGAGCAAGCAGCCAUUCAGAAGCUUGCAAUGUCUAAAGGUUAGAACUUUAGUCGUUCAUUCAUGUUUCCUGCUCUAUUGAUUAUGUUAAAUGAAUAAAACUGAUAUCAGCUUCUACCACAGCAUCUGCAACUGUUCCGGAGACUCCAAAGACGUCAGCUGCUAUCCACGUUAGGCUUUAUUUGGCAGUUCUGGCUUUCUUCAUGACGAUUCUUACUUUCAUCCGUGUGUUGCCAUCGCGGUUGAGCAAAGAGGGUACUUCAGCCGGAUUAACCUUAAACACUCCAGAGAAAGAGCUGACACACCCACCUUCGCCAACUCCAGCUUACUCGGAGACCGACCUGCUCACUACUGUACUGAAAAGGCUGGGUGAACUUGAGGAGAAAGUUGACACGCUUCAAUCAAAGCCAUCGGAGAUGCCGUACGAGAAAGAGGAGUUGCUAAAUGCUGCUGUUUGCCGUGUUGAUGCCUUGGAAGCCGAACUCAUUGCAACUAAAAAGGUAACAUUGGUUUUGUCAAGCAUAGCUUCAUUCCGUUUUGUACUAGGUUUGUAACACAAUCUUAUGUUGUUGCAGGCCCUACACGAAGCACUUAUGAGACAGGAAGAACUGCUUGCUUACAUCGAUAGUCAAGAGGAAGCGAAAAACAGGGUAUAAUUUGUUGAAAAUAUGAAUCUUUUCGGCUUAACGACAUGCUAUGUGAGUACAAGUUGCUGAAAAUCCAACUGCUGGAAUGUUUUUUUGCAGAAGAAGGGUUUUUUCUGCUAUUAAAGACUUCUGCAGUUUGAGAGAGGGAUGAUGCAACCUGGGCGAGUUCUCGGAUGUGAGUGAUGCAUAUGAAAUAUAUUUCGGCUUCUAUUGUAUGUGGAUAAUGAGAUGUAACUACUCUUAUUUGAAACAACAUUGUGAGCAGACUUGCUCUUGUAAGACCUUGUGAAGACGUGUUCUUAACUACACACCUGCUAGACUUAUAAUCAUGAAUGCUGCUGCAGUUUGGUCUCUGUGAUGAUCUCUGCUAUCUUCUUACUUCAUUGUGGAUAUUAUAUAUUUACUUGUGGUAUUUCUGUGUUCUGAAUUUGUCUUCUGCGUCAAUUGUCUAUAGUUCGUAUCCCACCGCUGCCACUUAGUUAACACACUUAGGUUUGCAUAAUUCUCGAUUGAUUGUGGUUAGUAGGGUUAACUGCUGAUCUCGAAACCAGUCGAUUUCUCAGGGAAAGAAGCAUUAAUUUUUAUAUUGGUUUUUGCAUUAACCCCAACAUUACAUUCAGAUUACAAGAAAGUUUGUAACAGUCCAGAUUUUGCUCUGCUUUAUACACGGCUGAAAGCCUGAAGAGAGUAGUACUAUACAGAUAACUAAAUCAAGAAAUGCCAAGUUACAUCAGAUCCUCAAUUGGCCUUUGUCAAGUUGUCAUAAGAUGAACCAUUUCCUCCUUUAGAAUCUGAAGAACUGCAUUCCGAAACAGAGAAACCAGAAAAGUUAGCAGCUUUGAUAUAAACAGUUCCUGAGUUCAUGAUCCGGGCUGGGAAAGAAACAUUUUACCCUCUUCUUCUUCUUGUUCUUCUUGUCCAUGUAAGCCAGGAGUUCUUGCUGUUUCCCUACAGCUUCCACAAGUAACUGGAGCAAAAAAAACGUCGAAAAAAAAGAGGUUAAAGGUUCUUCCUUUAGACACUGCAUUCUGAGUUUGGUUGAUUAUUAGUACUUACAAUCUUUGCAGCAGAGAGCUCCUUCUCGAGGGCUUCAGCGCGGUCGAGUGCGUUCAUCAGCAUUGCCUCCUUCUCAGCCGGCAUCACUUCGGGUUUCGAGCAAAGGGCGUUCAGCUUCUCCUCGAUAUCUGCCAUCCUCAACAUCAUGUUCUUGUAAUCCGAGGAGGAGAUGGACGAUCCCUCCAUCCUUCCAGCUGAAGAAGGAUGGUCGUUGAGCGAUUCGGAGUAGUAAGUCUUGCUCCCGUAGAUUGCUGCCUCGGUCAGCUUUCGAGGCAUUGUCUUGGUCAUCUUGAUCAAGGUCACUACUCCCAUCACAACCGCCAUGAUCCCACCCAUCACCUGCUUCCCGUUUGCUGGCACAAGAGCAUCCUCUUGCAUACCUGUAACGAAAGCAAGUUUUCGACAGGUUUAGGGUUUUUCUUACCAUGUUCUUGUCAUGAACCGUUGCAUCCCAAUAACGAGUUUUUGAUAGAGGGUUCAUAUCGGUUUUAUAGUUCAUUAACAGUUUUGUACGCUUUGCCUUACCCUUUCCUGAAGAAGCUCUCCAGUCAGUGUUGAUGGUCUUCUCCACGACUUGGAUGGACUUCUCGCAGUUUUCAGUGGUGAGCCUGUUCACGGUUAUGAUCGGAAGAUGGUGAAUUACUUCUUCUUCAGGAACGGGAGAAGGUUUCAGGUCCUGAAGUACUUCGUCGUUCAAAACCUUGAUGGUUUCCUUGUCUUCAGGAAUUGGCUUCUCCUCAAUUCCUGACAGGAUUCUCCUGUGGCAUUUACCCUCACCAUUUUCAACCAUCUGCGACAAAAAGAUUGGAUUGAAAGAAGAUUAUCAUCAGAUCGAACGAGAUUGUUCUCGUAAAACCAGUCCUUGGUGCAUUAGGAUUACUCACCUUCAGGAUGUCAGGAUCAUUCCAUGGACCUUUGCUGGAGCGCAUGCAUCCACCCUUGUCAUCACAGUUGCAAGUCCCUCCGAAGAACGAUGGCAGCUCGCUGCAAAAACCGAUCCAAACCCAGAUUUCAGAGCCAAAAUAUCGGUUUGUAAGGGUUAAUUAGGAACAAAAGUCGGUACCUGGCAUCAAUUACUUCAAGCAACUUGCUUUGAUAUUUGGUGCCAAGAACCUGUAGAAAAGGUUGACUCUGGAUUAUAAAGAGCGACUUGGAAAGUAUCAGAAACAGAAUCAACAUUUAGUUCUAAAGCCAUGAAACUGACAUGGAUCUUGGAAGCAGUCUUAGGGUCCAGGAACUGCUUCACAGUGUUCCACAGUAACCUGAAUCCAGCCCCACCAUUGAUGAUGAACAUCCUGUUCAAUGUCUGCAAAUGCGGACGAAAAGAUCGAAACUUUACUCAAUUACUACAUGAAUUCCGUGAAUUAUUCACAUACCUCAGGAUAGUUAUCGCCAUCGAUCUUCUGGAUCCGGCUGAUAAGUUCCCUGGCAGUUUUGGUGAACUGCUUCAGACCCUGAAAACAGAUUUUAUGAUGAUGAGAAAUCGUCGAAACAACUGAAUUUUAGAACUCUAAACAUAUAGACAUUACCACUCCUUGAACAUCAAUGAUGGUGGUGCUCUGGUCGAUGUGCUUCUUAGCAGCAAUGGAGCAAGAUGGGAACUUGUAAGUGAAAGCUUUCUCAAACUCCUGAACAUGGUACUUCACAUAUCGAUCCAACGAUGUGACCUGAACCAGCUUGUUGGCAUCAACUUCGCCGAGCUUCUCGAUGUAGACUGGCCUCCCAUCUUUGUCUACUCCAUGGUACCCUUGUGGAUAGUACUGCAGGACUUCAUCUACUUCCUUGAACUCAAAGUCCUGUUUCAGAAAAAGGAAAAGAAACCCACAACGUUCUUCAGAACUGAAUGAGGGCAAAGUUGACAACUUUUUCCUGAAACCAUAUCAUGAUUGGACUCAUGUAGAGUACUAACCAUUCAGGAUUUUGCCGUAAAUCGUGAUAACAUGACUAAUUAACCGGUCUAACCUGACUAUACUUAGAGUUGGGGAUUCACCAAUUCGGUUUAACAUGACUCAUUUGAUUUUGUUUGUUUUACACACCACUCACGACCUUAAACCCAAGUCGAUAACAUAAUGGAUUGAUAAACAAUCGGUAGUUCUCCUUGCUCGGCUAACACGAAACGGUGAAACAUGUUAGAAACUGAGUUCCAACUUAGUUUGAGUUACUCGAUAAUCAAGGAAAACCAAUGUACUUAUCUUGACAUCGAAUAUCAGGAUUAAACCAAUGAGGGGAAACCAUUCAGAACCUAACGAGUAUCGGUUUAGCCUCAAUUACGAGUCCUUAGGCCUAGUUAAACCGAUCUAAUAACUUGGUCAAUAGGGUCAGAUUCAGUGGUUCGGUUUAGCUGAAUAGAUAGAAAUAUCGAGCUCCAACCAAAAAUCUGUCAACUAACCAACCAAACAAAACCUAUACGACAACCGGUUUCACAAACACUAACAAAUCAACAAAGAAAGAGAAUUCUAUGUAUGUAAUUUUACUUACCUCCAUGAUUAAAUCAGUACCAAACUCCUUUCUCCACUGGAUCAUAUCCCCCCACAUCUGUUUGGCCUUGUCAAUGUCAAACUUCCUGGCCUUGAGGAACCUGAGCAUCAUGUGAUGAUCAUCAUGGUUUGAAGGAAGAAGCUCAUCAAGGAUGAGUGCCUGCCUGAAUGCAUCCACAGCCCUGAGCUCCUCCCCGUUGAUUUCGUCGACUAUCGAGACCGACAUUACCCUGCUGUUCCUGCGGCCUUUCUUUGUCAGGGAGCUCCUGAACUUGUUGGAGGCAUUGAUUGCCUUCUUCUUGAAUGACUGCUUCUUCUUCUCAUCCUCUGAGAACUCUUGAUUCUCAGGUCCUCCUAAUAAAACAGGGUCAAAUAUCUGAUUCAUCCCCGUAACUUUGGACCAUUGGUUCAGUAUGUUCAAUCCGUAUAGAAAAUGCUGAAACAGCAAAAUAAAAAAAAGUUGUAUACCUAGUUUAGGAUUUUUGUCCGGAAGGACUAUAGACAUUGCAUCAGCCAUGAUGAUUGGUUCCUGGCAAUGAGUUUCUUAUCAGAGAUUGGUUGGGAAUGAAAAGGGUAUUGAAAAGUUUGAAACUUUGUUCAGAAUCCAUCUGGGGAAUUGAGCAAUCAACGUUGAUCCAUAUGAUCAUAUGAAUGGCUAAAAAGCCAGAAUCAUCAAAUUUCUUAUCGGAUUAGGAACAAAUGAUAAGUAAGUCUGAAACUUAAACCGAAAUCCGUACGAGAUUUGAUAGUCAGGACAAAUCAUAUAACAACGUUAACGUAUGCCAUCAUUCAUUUCCUCAACAAACACAAGAUGUAAACCAGAUUAUGCAACAAAACUACAUGUUAUCCAUAACUUCAAAAUCCGGGAAGAUGAAGGGAGAUCAAGAGUUACCUAUUGGAACUAAUGUAGGUGUGGGGAAGAAGAUGGACAAUGUUUUUUUGUGUUUGGUUAUAUGUAAUUACAAGAAGAAAGGGAGGACCUUUCUAAAACUAAAUCAAAAGGAAGAACCCAAUUUAAAACUAUAUACAUAGUCUUGUGUUUGAUUACUUAGAGAGAGAAGUGGGGAGGAGAGAGAUUUGAAUCAAACAAUAAUAAGAAUAUAUCAUACACACAAAUAACAAACUAAUUAAAAUGGCUAAUACAAGUUAAUCCAUUCAAUGGUUGACCUUCCUUAACCAAUCAUUUUUCCAAAAUCUUUUGGCUAAUUUUAUGCUAUUUAGUUAUAUGACUUAUAUAAAGUCAUAUCAAAAAUAAUUUAUUAUCUGCCGUUGAAUAUGUUGAAACCGGUCAUAGAUCAUUUGUAAUCUAUUAUGAGUGUUUUAUUAAUCUAACAUUUUUUUAUAAAUGUUCACACUUGUUUGAAUUAAGUAACAACUAGCUGGUGUCAGUUUUACAUUAUACGAUAAUUUUUUUUGGAAAUUAUCAACACAAUGUGGUUACUUUUGUACAAACUUCUUGUGACAUUAAAAAGCUUAUUGGAGUGUGAAACAAGCUCUACUUGGCUAUUUUCAAUUAAAAUUUCGAGACUAAUAUCAUAAAAUUAGGCUCGACACAAUAAUGUGCAUUAUGUGUGAAAAAAUUAAAAAGUGACACAAUAAAAAUAUACCAAUACAUUAAGUUAUAAAGGUUCAGUGACCAAUCCAUUACUUAACUUUAAAUUCAGUGAGCAUCGAGUAACUAGUCCAUCAUUUCUGUUCCUCUGACCCCUUUCAUAAUAGUCUCCAAUCAAGCACAAGCUUUCAACCUUCAACCCUAGCGCUUAUGCUCUAAAAUGGCGUCUUGUACCCACUUCUCCCAGCCGUUAGCUUCAUCAAGAACCCUAACUCAAUCCCGCGCUCGAAACCUAUAUUCAAAAGCCUUUUCUUUAUCCACUCCAAAUUACUCUUCCAGACAAUCCUUAGCUCUUCGUGCAGUUCUCUCGCAAAACCCUACCAAAACCUCUCCUCCACCGAAACUCGACAACCAAUUCGAGCAUUGUUUCUCCAAAUUAUCCGAUGGAUUUCUCUACUGCGAGAGCGUCAAGGUCCAGGAUGUCAUGGACACUGUUGAGAGGCGGCCGUUCUACCUGUACAGCAAGCCUCAGAUCACUAGGAAUGUUGAGGCCUACAAGGAUGCUUUGGAAGGAUUGAAUUCAGUAAUUGGAUAUGCUAUCAAGGCUAAUAAUAACUUGAAGAUUUUGGAGCAUUUGAGGAAGUUGGGAUGUGGGGCUGUUCUGGUCAGUGGGAAUGAGCUCAGAUUGGCUCUCAAGGCUGGGUUUGAUCCCACAAAGUAGGUUCCUUUAUUAUGUUGCUGGACUGAGUUUUUGUUCCCCCGUUCUGAUUAUGGCUAUUCUUUCUGGUGAUGGGAACAGGUGUAUAUUUAAUGGAAAUGGGAAGCUGUUGGAGGAUUUGGUUCUGGCUGCUGAAGCAGGUGUCUUUGUUAAUGUGGAUAGUGAAUUUGAUUUAGAAAAUAUUGUGGCAGCUUCUAGGGUUGCUGGCAAGAAGGUUAAUGUUUUGCUUCGGAUCAAUCCUGAUGUGGAUCCUCAGGUAUACAAUACGAAAUCAGAUAUAACAUGUUAUUUUGUCGUGCAAGUGUUUGAUAGGAGAGGUUAGAGAAGUUGUGAGGUUCUUUGGAGCCCAAAGCCAGUAGCUUUAGCUGAAAUUUUAUGUUUUCUUUCAGUUUUUAAGUUCUGCCGUAUGCUUUGAACAUAUUCUACUGCACAUAAUCCUUUCCCCGAUUGAAGCCCGGUAGCUAGUUGUAUUGGUUUUCGUGAUGUUUUUCCGAGCUGAAUACCAGUAGUGCCAACUGAAAGUGUUAUACUUUUUAAUCUGUGUUUGAUGAAUUUCUUUGAGUUUUUAAGCUAUUUUGUAUAAUGGGAUUUUAUUCGUAACCUCCUUAGACCGUGUCCAAAACAGUUGGACUAUUUAUGCCUUGAACCUAUUCUACUGCACAUAACCCUUUCUGUGAAUUUCUUCUACAUUUGAGAUCCGUAAGGUGUUCUGUAUUUGAAGUCGCUGAGUUUCUCUGGCUUACUAUUACUAUGUUUAUUUCAUGGAUUGCUUAGGUCCACCCUUAUGUAGCUACCGGGAACAAGAACUCAAAGUUUGGUAUUAGAAAUGAGAAGCUGCAAUGGUUUCUGGAUGCUGUAAGGGCACAUCCGAAUGAGCUGAAGCUUGUUGGUGCCCACUGCCAUCUCGGAUCAACGAUUACCAAGGUGUGUAGCACUGCAAGAUGCUUUUUUUUUCCAGUUUGUGAGAUGUUCUGUAUUUAAUAUGAUGAAUUUAUUAGCUCCCUUUUCACACUACGAACGGUGCCUCUUUGCAUUUAAUAUGAUGAAUCCUGUUCUGUAGAAACUGCCAUUGACUUAUCAUUAGCCCUUCAGUGAUUUAGUUCUUCCCAUUUUUUCCGUUUAGGUGGACAUAUUUAGGGAUGCUGCUGGUCUUAUGGUACACUAUAUCGACGAAAUACGUGCGCAAGGCUUUGAAGUUGAUUACUUAAACAUUGGAGGUGGUUUGGGGAUAGAUUACCAUCACUCCGGUGCUGUUCUGCCCAAGCCAAGGGAUCUCAUUGACACUGUAAGUAUCUUACACUUAAGAAAUCAUGUUCUAUUUGACAUCAAACGAUUCCCAUAAAGACUGGUUAUGCUCAGUGGUCAUGAUUUGUCACUGUAGGUUCGUGAAGUGGUGCUCUCUCGGAAUCUCAAUCUCAUUAUCGAACCAGGGAGAUCCCUCAUCGCCAACACCUGCUGCUUCGUAAAUAGGGUUACUGGCGUAAAGACAAAUGGCACGAAAAAUUUCGUCGUGAUUGAUGGUAGCAUGGCUGAGCUCAUCCGUCCUAGUCUAUAUGAUGCUUAUCAAGUAAGAAACCAAGUAGAGACUAGUUUGUUGAGCUGUUUAUUAUCGAUGUAUCUGUUCCUGCCAUUGAGACUUCUUCCUGCCAUUGAGACCAAGAACUUUGUUGUCCCUGUUCUUGCAGCACAUAGAGCUAGUUUCUCCUACGCCACCAGAUGCUGAGGUGUCAACCUUCGACAUUGUUGGUCCUGUGUGCGAGUCGGCUGACUUUCUGGGAAAGGAGAGGGAACUUCCUACUCCACCCAAGGUAACUUACAUUUUGCUUUCAUGGAUUUUUCAGUAGCUGCAAAUAUUAUUGAUUUGCACUUCUUACAGAAACAUGCAUUUGCAGGGAACCGGUCUGGUGGUUCAUGAUGCUGGAGCUUACUGCAUGAGCAUGGCAUCAACUUACAACCUCAAGAUGCGCCCUCCCGAGUAUUGGGUACGUAGAAUCCCAUACCACCACUCUCUUAUUUCGAGUGCUCGUGUUCUCCUCUUGCAUGAAACUGAUGAGAAUUUGUUAUGUGACUGUUCAGGUUGAGGAUGAUGGGUCAAUAGCCAAGAUUCGACAUGCAGAGACAUUCGAAGACCAUAUCCGGUUCUUCAAUGGGCUGUAAUUUGUGAGCUUUAGGUUCAAUCUACCAAGCAAUAAAGCCUCUGAGCUUGUUUAAUUUUGUACUGAAAUCGGGUUAUUUUGUAAGGCAGAAGUGUUGUUCCUUGUUCUAUAAGUUAUCGAGUUACCAUUUUGUUGAAAAUUAUCUCACUGGAUUUGUAUCUGCCUAAAAGUUAAGUGACCCUGAGCCUUUUUUCUUACAGUAUUGACCCGUGUUGUUGAAUCGGACUGGAUGGUGUACUAGACUCGUAACUCAUAAGAUCAUAAAUCGGUUGUCAAUCGGUUCUAACUGAUAAAAAACCAUACAUCCUUCAAAGAUGAAGAUAACGGUCAUUAGACAUUAUAUACUAAUCUUAAUGAUCUAAUGAAAUCGAGCUAUAAUGAAAUUGAGCUGAUUUUUUCACUAAUUUUUUAACCGAUUUAACUUCUUCCGUCAGAACCCCCCUCCCUUGCAACUUACAACUCACGAGUUGAUGCUCCGAUCCGGAUCUAGGAAUCUGAAUACCAAGUUAAGUAUAACUAUUUCCCAUAAUUUCCAUGAUAGGAUAGUUAAUUAAUAAUUACCAUCUUUUUUAGGUACCAAUUUAAGUAAUUUACUAUCUUCUUAGGUACCGUAUCUGCGAUUUUUUUAUACUGUAUUUCGGUAUUUUUAUUUUUUACAAUCUGGUGCAGCCGCCAUAUAGUCGUUUUGGCGGCACUUCCUUUUUCCACAAAUUUCCGCGGCAUUACCACUUCCUCGUUACUGCUCAAGAAACUCGAAACCCUAACUUGAAGUUGUGGCGCGAAGAUUCCAUUUCUCCCUCUCGCGAUUCUGCAUCGAAUCGGUCAGUAACAUUCCCCUCUCCUUCUCUGUUUCCGGAUUGCAUUUCGUAUUCUUUUUCCGUUCAUCUGAGCGACUUCGAUUCGGUUCAAUUGCAUGCAAAAUUCAAAGUUCUGAGUAGUAAAAUGUGUUUGGCGGUGGUCGAGGAUUCGAGAUUGCAUUGUCAAUUUUUCAGCUGCUGUAGUUUUCUUUCUUGAAAUUGUCCGUUGAUAUCGUCUUUUUUGUGCCGCUGAUUUCAGUUACCACAACAACUGUUCUGCAAGACUCAGCCUGCUAGGUCUCUCAGUUUCUGGAGAACUCUCUCUUCGAUGGCGAGUUCUGUAGCCAGCCUUUCCAAUGGCGGUGUUGGUGGACAGCCAGAUCCACAGAGGACUUACCAGGUUGUCGUGGCUGCAACUAAAGAUUGGGGUAUCGGGAAAGAUGGGAAGUUGUCUUGGAAGCUGCCUUCUGAUCUCAAGUUCUUUAAAGAUGUUUCCUUGACGACUUCCGAUUCCGGGAAGAAGAAUGCAGUGGUCAUGGGUAGGAAAACAUGGGAGAGCAUCCCACUUCAGCACCGUCCUCUCCCUGGACGUCUGAACUUGUUCUCACUCGAUCGGGGAGCUUCAAUAUCGCUACUGCGGAGAAUGUUGUGAUUCGUGGGAGCAUGCAUUCUGCUUUAAUUGGCUGCUUCUCCUUAUUGUCUAUCUAUUGAGAAAGUCUUUGUGAUUGGAGGUGGCCAGAUAUUGAGGAUUUUAAAGUUUUUUGGGUUUCCGUAACUUUUACAUUUUGUUUGUAAUGCUGGUAGUGUUUGUUUGUUUGUUUGUCGAUUGAAACGUGUGUUCUUUGCAGGGAAUCUCUUAAUGCAGCUAAGUGUGAUGCACACUUGACGGAGAUUUGACGAGCUUUGAAUGUGAUACCUUCAUUCCUGCGAUUGAUUACUCAGUAUUUCAGCCUCGGCAUUCGUCUCCUCAUGUUGUGGAGAAUGGCAUACGGUUUUGUUUUACUACGUAUGCUCGAAUAAGGAGUUUGGUUGUUGAGUCCGAGAGCGGACAUGAUGACAAGAUAUCAAGUAACAGCUGCGAAAACAGUAAGUUUGAGAUAAAAAGUUCUCGUUCCUUCCCAAGACGGUUUUUGAGAAACACGAGGAGUUCUUGUACUUGAGAAUGGUACAGGAGAUCUUGUCAAGUGGCAACUCUAAGGAUGACAGGACGCAAACUGGUACUUUGUUUAAAUUUGGUUGCCAGGUAAUGCACUCGGCUGUUUAGUACUUGUGGGAUAUGGUACUCUUUAAUAACUGGUUAUGUCAAGAUAACACUUACAAUUCCUGUUUACUUACAGAUGCGGUUCAAUCUUCGGAAAUCCUUUCCUCUUCUGACGACUAAGGUUUGUUACUUAUAAUGCCUUGUCCAUAUUUGGUUAAACAAUAACGUUACCAUCAUCGUUCCCUCUCUCUCUUUUUUUGCUAAUUAAUUAAUGAUCAUUUGCAGUUUUACGCGGCGAACGGGGAGCUGUCGUGCCAAAUGUAUCAGCGGUCCGCUGAUAUGGGCCUUGGUGUGCCUUUCAACAUUGCUUCUUAUGCACUCCUGACUUGCAUGAUUGCUCAUGUUUGUGGUAUACAUUUCAUCUCUCUUCAUUGCUCCAUUUAUCGGAGUAAUAGUUGUUUUGUAUCAUCAAUGUCAAUGCUGGGAGGUUAACUCUAUUCAUGUUCAUAUUGUUGCAGAUUUUGUCCCUGGAGAUUUCGCUCACGUAUAUCUUACUCAUGUUGGGCCUCUGGAGGAGCAGCGUAAGAAAUCACCGAAUACUUUCCCGGUAAUCGCAUAGUGGAAGCAGAACUAACUAGCUCAUCUUGUUUCUCUGUUACUUUGCUUCUAUUGUUGGUACUGGAGGCUUCACAUUUAAUCUCCUCUCAAAAAUUGGUUCUCAGAUUUUAAAGAUUAAUCCAGAGAAGAAAGACAUAGAUUCCUUUUCAGCAGCAGAUUUCAAGCUCAUAGGCUAUGACCCCGAACAGAAGAUCGAAAUGAAGAUGGCAGUUUAAAAGGCCUUUUACUAUAGUUCCAGUCAACUUUCAAGUUUAUCUAUGUUUCUUAAUACUUUUGAGGUACUUCUUUACUCAUCUUCCGGUUCUUGUUCGUUCACCUGUAACUUACUUCUUAGGGUUUGACAACUGUUCUUCCUUGUUUCCAGGUUUCGGUAUGGGAAGAACGAUCGAAGUUUUGUACAAGUGUCGAAUAUGAACAUGGUAAUCUGAUGGUCUUAAAGAGUUUUCUUUUUUGCUGGUUUAGUAAUGUGGAAUAGUUCGCCCACCCGGUGAUCUGUGGUGAUUUAGAUCAUGGUAGAACUUGGUAUGAACUCUGUAAUGAUAAAUGAAUUCCGGCUCAGUUAGAAUGAGGACGAGAGUACUGAAUUCAAUUUGUCUACAAUAAGAUCACUCGAAACAAACCAUUUACAGAAUGGAAUUGGGUAGAAGGUGUUACACAACUGGCUUACAUUUUCCUGCAGAUUUUAGGUUAAGAAUAUGCUGCAAGAGGGGGGCACAGAAAAAAAGGAGAUGAAAUAAGUACCUCCCAUUUCAUGCUAAUUUUGCACGAGCAAGCUCCAUUGCUUAUCCAAAGUUUGCAUGUGACUGAUGGAUCCAACUUGACUGAUGAGUGAACCACAGCUCAUCUCCAAGUACAUCCAUAGCUUUAUACCAAAGAACCUGCUCCCCCAACAUUUCCCUUUUCCACUUCUUGCCUGGUUUGCAAUGUCUUGCGUUGGUUUGGAUUGUUGAGGAAAAGAAAAGAGCUUUCAUAUAGCUUGACCAAACCGAAAAACAAAAUGUUAUACGAGUGAUGUGCUUUUCUUUUACGGUUUCGCUAUUUUAUCGUGAACGGUUAGGCUACAAAACAGGAGGUUGAGUGUCCCGCUUCGUUAAAUGGAACUAUUGAUCACAUCAUCAUCAUACUAGUCCCGCAUCAUUUCGUCUCGCGAAAUCUAACCUGAGUUAGGAAAGGUUCGAGCUAUCAUGAUGGGUCAAUCUGAGCCAACAUAGUGAGUCAGGAAUGAAUCAGCUCUAUCAUGUUGCUGCAUGGGUUGAUUCCAAAUUAUCACAAAUUUUAGACUUUCUGUCUUUUCUUUUUUAUUCCUUUUUUCCCCUGUUUGUCUGUCAAGUUUACCCAAUGAAGAACAGUUCUCAUAAUCUCACAAUCAUCUGGGUUUUCCUCUUACUGUUCUUUUCUUUCACUUUAUGGAAACAGAACGUGAGUUCAAAUUCUUACCACCACAUCUGUUUUUGAUCCCAUCAAGGAGCAUAUGGUGUCAAGUUCUGUCCUUUUACCCUUUGGAAUCACAGCAUAUAUUUCAAUUCCAUUCUCCAGUAAAGCUGUGGAACUUUUCACAGUUAAUCUAAACAAGCUCUCAGCUGGAGUCUGGGUUUAUCUGGAGAAGUUCGUAGCUGUAAUUAGGGAUUAUCUACAAAUCCAGACAGUAAAAAGUGGAAGCUCACGAUGGUAAAAAAACACAACUUUAUAGCUGGUUUGUUUGUUUUUACAUAGGGGGUAUCUGAUUUUUCUCAUUACAAUGUACAAAACCAUUCAAACAGGCUCAUCUGUAUAGAAACUAGAAAAGAAAAAGAUCCAAACUACCCAAAAAAGGUAACUUCAUCGCAAACUUAUGCUUAAGCUAAACUGUCACACAAUUACAGAGUUCUCCUCGUCUCGUCGGAACCUCUUCUGCCUCUCGAUGAACGCCUCGAUCGUACUCUUGAACUCCUCACUGGUCAAAUUAUCCUCAGGAAACUUAUCACCACCCUUGUUCUUCUGCUUCUUCUUUGUCAAAUUCUCAGUUGCAGAUCGCCUCAAUUCCUUCUCGGGCUUGUGAUAACUCGUCAGAUUCUCGGACCGACUCCUCUCGUAGCUCUUGACGAUCAUCGCCGAACCAGAAACAGAGCUUUCUUCCUUGACAGUGGCUUCCAGUUUAUCACUCGGUUUUACUCUGUUUUCUGAAACUCUAACAACGGCUUCCAAUUUCUCACUCUGUUUUCCUCUGUUUUCCUGAGCAGUACUACUGCUUUUCCCACUCAUUUCGACGAACUGUUCAUAAAGAUCGGAUUUUUUCCCGGUGCUCCCCCGAAGGUGGCCGGACUUGACGAAGAGGACGACGACGAUCACGUUCCCGACGAUGAACACGAACCGGGGGCUGAUGAGGACGAGCAGAAAGUCCUUGAUGUAGUCGCCAGAACCCUUGAGGGAGACCGGGAGCUGGACCGAAACCCGGGAUAGAACCGCCAGGACUACCAGGAUUUCCACCAGUCUCAGCAUGUUUGUGACGUUCUGGAUCUUCCUCUGCUUCUUCAUCGCCUUCACUGCCCUGACCGUGAACGAAUCCAUUUCCGUCUUGAAAGAGUAUCGAACCGGUGAAUAAUCAGGAUUCCUGUAUUAAAGUUUCUCAGGGGCUCUUUCAGUUCAAAUUGGCCUUGGAAGUAGCUGUAUACCCGAGAUGAGAUGCGACGAGAGGACGCCUUGAUUCGAUUACCGGUGUCGGAUUAGGGACGGAGGAUUUAAAAACAGAGGAUGCUCUGUGUUUUUGUGGAGAGCUUGUUGUGUUGCUCCUUGUAAGGUUUAAGUUGUGGGGAGUGGGGAUAUAUAUAGCUGAGUGGGCUUUGUCUGUACAACAUGAUUAAUAUCUUUUCUUUACUUUUUGUAACUAAUAUAAGAUUCUAAGCAUAUAGGCAAGCCUCUAUGCUCAUAACUGAAAUUCGGGACGAAAUUGAGUACCCAAACCCGUACUUCAUGGAUACCCAUCCCAUAAGAUUCUAACUUUGUUUUCCAAAUCCUAAACCUGUUCAGGAUUACGGGUAUCCUUAACCCGGGAGAGUAGCUCAGAUACAAGGUCGGGUACCCAUUCAUCCCAAACGAUAUGCAACAAACAAUUUAUGUUUCCUAACAAGUUCACAGUCAUGUAAGUUAAUAAUGCGUUUCUACAGAAGAUGCAAUUAGUUUUACUAAUUUCCAAUCAACAUUAGGAUUAGGAAGUUGUUAUACUGUAGUGCUACUGUUGUUUGGCACUGGGUAGCCAUACCUCCACUGCAUCUUUCUCUCUUCAUUCCAUCGUACCUUUCUCUUCAAUGCAUCUUUAAUACCCUACUAAACUCCCGAUACAAUAAUGGCUACGAGAAGCAUGGAGCCUCUGCUCAUGGCUAGCUUGAAAUUAUGUUAGUAGGAACAAGAACUGGUAAAUAUCAAAUAAGUUAUUGGGUGGAUCAGCGGGUUUUUGAUUAGGUGGGUUGCGGAGUAGAUUAGGAAUACGGGUAAAACUGGAUUAUGGAUUAACCUGCACGGGUAAAUGCGUACCAACGGGUACUAAAUUACACAAAUAUGCAUCCCAUGUCCCGAAAUCAUUGAUAAAGCAACCUCCAUACAUUUUAAAUUAUUGUGAUGUUUAUAUAAAUUAAUUAUAUGAAGGGUAUAACACUCGCAAUUGAGUUAGAUAAGUCAUGUCCCAACAAGUGUGAGCUAAAUAGGUUACAAUCAAUCAAAUAAUAAGAUAUGUAUGUUUUCAUUCUCCGAAUAAUGAUAUAGACAGAGGCUCAAUGAUUAGCUUCCAUACAUAUCAUGGGCUGCUUGAUUUAGUCAUGUUUGGUAAGAAACUUUAUAAAAAGGUUUGAAUCAAAGGUGACAAAUAGGGUUAAUUGGGUUAGGUUGAGCGGGUUUAUCCAAUCAUAUCGUAGUAUAUAACAUGUAUAUAGAAAAUAGUUAAUUUUAUGCAUUUUCAAUGAGCCUUAAAAUUGAAGAAAUAUAUACAUAGUGGAAUAUUAUUUUAAUUGGUCUGUUGAACGGACGGACAAAAACUAGUACAAAAAAGAGUUAUUCUCAUGUAAAGCAAGUGCAUCUAAAAAACCUACUACUUAUUUGUUUCCCUCUCUCAUAAUACAUAUAUGACGCUUCCUAGCCCUUGUUCGUUAAGUAGCUUCCAUGAUUGUUUAUAAUAUCUAGUAAGACUAGAGUAUUCAAAUUCUUUUAACUCGAAUCACUUAUUUCAGCUUCCGAAUCAAUGGAGCGAAAACACUAAAAUUGAAACAUUUUUACCCCUAGACACCUUAAGGUAAAGGAAUUGCAUUCCCCACCAUGCCAUUAUUUUUCUAGCUUUGUUGAAAUGGUUGUGGGAGGCAUUUCUUCUUCAUUUCUUUUUAUUGGCCCCCUUUUUAGGCAACUUUUUCCCAUUGAAUUAUUGCUCUUUUUUUUGUGAAAUUGAAAUGGGUUUGCCUUGAUAUAUUCCCACCACAUUUGGAGCUGAAUCAGCAAAAGCAUCAGAUUUUAUUUUCUUGAAGCAUAAUGGCAUGCAAGCAGAAUGAAUUCACAAAUCUAUCCAUAUUCUUAUUUGUGAGAAUAUCCCCUUACCUUAGUCCUAAGAACCCUAGAAUUGUGUCAUCUUAUUCUUUCUGGAUAACAUUAUUGUUACUAGUUGACACUCACUCAGUGUUGUUUGCGCGGAAGGAUAUGGACAAAGAAUGUCGAACCGGUUUCGUGAGUGAAUUCCGAGUUGAAUAGUGUGGUCUUUGUUCCAAAAUUAUUUAUAUGUUCUAUGUUGGUUUAUUUAUAUUGGUUAGGAUUUUCGUCUAUGGCAUGAUUAGCUCUUAAAAACUGACCGAGAGAUCUCCUCUUAAAAAUUAGAACAUACUAUUGAAAUCCAUUAUGUCAAUUAUUACUCUAACCACCAUUCNNNNNNNNNNNNNNNNNNNNNNNNNNNNNNNNNNNNNNNNUUAAAAAUAAUACAUAGGCUUCCACAUAUAGCCUAUAUUUUCAGACUAUUCGUCAAUUAGAUAUUAAAGCCGCUCAUCUAAUAACACAUUUAAUUCUUAGAUAUCUUCCAGGAUUAUUAUAAAUAGUUCUCACUCUAUCAAAUCAUAAUUAAAAUUAUUUAUAUUUGAUAUUUUUUUAUCUCCAAAAAAAGCUAUAUAAACCAGAAAAAAUAAUACAUAAAUAAGAAUACAAGAAAUGUGAUGGAAAAAAAAGUAGUUACCAUGGGAAAAGAAAGCAGAUAAGAAAUGGGCAGUUACAAAAUGGGGCCCACAAAAAAGCCCAAAUGGAAGAGUAACCAUAAACAUUAUCAAUUUCCUUCAACACUAAGAAACUAACUGCCCACAUAACAACCACACUAAGUAUUUGUAUGAUGUGAUUUAUGUCUCCGGUAAUUAAUUAGUGGGUUUUCUAUUUAUGAAGUGUGGAAUAAUAAAAUUAUUGAGUUAUAUAGUUUGCUAAUAGUUUACUAUAGAGUUAAUAGUUUAAUUUUUUAAAGUAUUUUGGUUAUAGUUACAUCAAAAUUCAUUAAAAGAUAAACGAAAUAUGAAUGUGGUAUGAAUUUUACUAUUUUUUUUACAUAGUUGAUAGUGUUAGGAUUGGUAGCGAUUAUCUUACCCUAUAUGCAUGCUUUUUGAGUGAAUACUAGUUUGUUUGUGCUGCAAUCCUGUGUGAUUUUGUGUUUUGGCAUUGCAUGCCUAUACCCGUUCACUUGGACCGUUUCGGUCCAUUUGAUGUGUUUCUUUGUAGUAUUUAUUAUCCACGGAUACUUUAGAGACAUGUGGUUUGGCUAUGAGGCUAUGAACGCGGAAUAGAGCAAGGCUGGAGCUCAAACGGAAGGACGGUGCAAGAAUUGAUAAAGAAGCAGGGCUGCAUGCCGUGCAUCUGUGCACCCCGUGCAGGCCCUCAGGCUGCAAUUACCCUCGUAGAAAAAAGGGGUGCACGCCGUGCACCUCCCGGAUCCAGCAAUUUCCAUAUAAAAGGAGCAAUUUGAGAAAAGAGAGAUCAUCUUCUCCAACGAAAUUCCUUCGAUUUCCCCGACUUUCCUCUGCAAAAACACCAUAUUUUCAUCCCUAAAAGUUUGAUUGAAGAUCCGAAGAAGUCCCCAUUGAAGAUUGAAGUUAGGAUUGAAGCUAGAAGAUCAAAAGUGAAGAUUGAUCCAAGUCUGAUUCAUUGUACCUUCAUCAAGAUGGUGGUUAGGUCUUUUAAUAUGUCCUCUUCUUCUAGAGUUAUGAGUAGCUAAAUUCUUAGAGUUUUUGGUUGGGAUGUAGGAUUUAAGUCAUGAUACUCUCCCUAAAAGUAUAGGGUCGACGAUUGUUGGAUAUUUGGAAUUGAAUGAAAGAUUGCUUUGAUUGUUGAGGUUUCAACCUUGUUCUUGUUACGACUUGAAUUAGGUCAAANNNNNNNNNNNNNNNNNNNNNNNNNNNNNNNNNNNNNNNNNNNNNNNNNNNNNNNNNNNNNNNNNNNNNNNNNNNNNNNNNNNNNNNNNNNNNNNNNNNNNNNNNNNNNUUUUCGUGCUUCUUUUGGUUUUAAAGGUUGUUAAUCGAGUAAUUAGCGGGUCUCUGAUUUGCACAUAAUGAACCAAGUUGGAUGUAGUUAUCAGUAGUGUAGAUGUUGAUGGACCAAGUUAACAUUAAUUUCAAUUAAAUGUGAUUUCCUUUUAAUUCCUAAAGAGCACCUUAUCACUUUGUAGAACUUCUCGGUGUUCAUCACUGGUUAGUCUAGUUGAGGUUAUUCCAACCUUGAUUGGAAAACUAGUAGUGGUAAUCCGCGUACAUGAUCAUACUAUAGAUUCAUACGAUUGAUAAUAGUUUUGAUUCCACUUAGCACUUAGAUUAUAUGAAUAAUUAUUGAUUGGAGAAUUAACAAAAGAAAAGCACCAAUUUAGAGAUAAUUUCAAUUAUAGUAGGGAUAAUUUCACAUAUUUCAAUCAAAAUUACCAAAUAUUGCGAGGUACUCGUAACUAAAAAUAGGAGAUAUAGCCGGUAAUCGAUCAUUGUCAAAUGUAAGAGAGAUAAAGAAGUAUGCGAAUGUCUCCUAGUGGAUCACCUUCAUUGGUAUUGGAUUUGAAAUUCUAUGUUGUAUAGUGUACUCUCAAUUUGCCUCAUAUGAAAAAAUGCCAGGUCUUUGUACCAACUUUUUUUAUCGUUCCAUGGGUCGAAUAAGUAAAAUGCACGGGGCGAACACCCGACAUCCGUCAUUGUGUGGCCGGUCGGGAUGACUUUGUGAACUGGCGGAGGAUGAACCUAUCAUAAUUUUCUCCAAGUUUGAUCGGCCAUGUGGCUAUCGGGACCAUAUCUCGCUGAGCCCUCAAAAUCAUAAUGGCUACAAUUUGACCUUUCAACAAACUUUUAAGUAAAAAUCUCAAGCUGGUAUGAACAAACUUUAUCAUUUAUUCCUAAACAUAUAUUCAAACAUGGUAUUUUCGAUCGCAAAAAUCUUAUAUUAUUUAGUAUUUAGUCACAAAAGCAAAAAAGAAAACACAAGAACUACACGCUCAAACGUCAUUAAAUCAAUUUCAUCAAAAGUGUGGAAUUAGAUUCUGUAGCAACGAACUCGAAUUGAAAUUUCGUUUUGAUAAUGGCAUUAGUGGUUCAUUUCAGUUGCUCAUAUAUUUUUAUUUAUUUAUCAUUUCAUAACAAAACCAACGACAAUAAAAUAAUAACAUAAUUAAACAAGGCAGCCAGCAGGGAAUAUUAUUUAUGAUUUUCUUUUAAUUAUCAAAUCCCCGUGCCCUUUUGAAAUAAUUAAAUAAUUGAUUAAGCAUAUUUCUUGUUAUUCAAGUUUGAUAUUCAAGGAAUAUAGUAGAAAACUAUAUAUCAAGUUUGAUCUCUAAAUUAUGUCUCAACCAAACUUUACUAGAUUCCAAUUCACUAAACACUUGUUAAAAUGAGACAAGAUAUUAUAUCGAACAGGUAACGUUAUUAAAAUUAUUGACUUUUGAAUCUCUCCCUACUUUCUAUUGACUUUUUUAUUGAAUAAUAUGCACAUUGGUGUAAGUGUCUUGUACCUUUAUAUGAGUGGGUCUACACCUAGAGCCAUCCUCACCAAAGUACAAAACUACUUAUACCAAGACGUCCAUAUUUUCCAACAAUCAUAUAUGGCAAAUAUAUAUGUCGCCUCUUUUGGGUUGCGAUCAAGACACCCGUGUAAAUUUUGAUCGACUGACAGUUUCAAUGUAUUAAGUCGAGGACGAAUAAACAUCGUUCUUAAUAACGUAACUGACCACAUCGUCAUACAAUUUCGAUCAAAUUCACACAUUGCAAUUUUGGUCCGUUACGUGAUUUCCUUAAUCAUUUGUUUUGUGGUCUAUGCCCUUGUUUUAAUAAUAACACAUUACCAUCUUUUUGUUUUGUGGGUCGUCUAACUUCAACUCUAAUCGACUACAUGACUAGUUGUGGUAAGGCCCACCAAUAUACGGGCCUCUACUGGGGCUAAGGCCCACGGAAAAGGCGCGGAAUCCCUGAACCAUCGUCGUUCAGAUAUAUAUUUGAAGAAAACCCUAGAAAUCCUCAAAAUCCUUUUGAUUUUCCCAGGCGCCGAACGAACAACCUUCUGCUUUUCACUGGCGAUCUCUCCUCAUCAUCACAAUGGUGUGAUUCAGCUUCGUAGAUUUGUGUUGUUGUUUCCAUAGUCAUCUACACUUUAUACUUAGUCUGUGUUCUGAUCGUCGAUUUUGAUUGGUUUCUUGUUGCAGGCUCCCAAGAAGGAUAAGGUUCCGCCGCCGUCGUCGAAGCCAGCCAAAUCCGGGGGAGGGAAGCAGAAGAAGAAGAAAUGGAGCAAAGGAAAGCAAAAGGAGAAGGUCAACAACAUGGUCCUCUUCGACCAAGCUACCUACGACAAGCUUCUCUCUGAAGCUCCCAAGUACAGGCACAUCACUCCGUCAAUCCUCUCCGAUCGUCUGAGGGUAAUUUAGUUUUGCCUUGAUUCUCUCUUUUGACUUUUAGUUCUGUUGAAUGGUUUGCAGGCUGAGCUGGUUUAGUUGUUAUAUUGUUAUGUUAGACUGACUAUGGAUUAGUCGGAUCUAGGCUAUCUUUGUAAAGCUGUGAAUCUGUUCUUGCUCUGGAAUUUCCGGCCAUGGUCAUCGAUUUGUGGACAUAAACUGAUGAGUAUUGUGGCUAUAGUUCGUUAGGUUUUGAAUUGCAUUCAUGGUUUUGCCUGGCCAAGAAUUUGAGCCAGCUGCUUGGUAGUCUAAUGUGUUUCUGCAUUUGUAAUCUAAGUAUGAUUAGAAAGCCAUUGCCUUUAGCUUUUUGUAUCGCAUGGUUCUAUCAACGAUAAACUCUCUAUCAUGCAUGCAAAAGAUGAUGAUUUCACUACGCAGUAAACCCAUGGUAGCUCAACAACUGGUUGUGUGCUUUAUAGCAUUUGGUUAAGUUAAUCCUCUCAUAUCAGUUUCAUGCAUGCUAGAACCUCUGUAGUUUCAUCGAUCUUGCUUCUUAUGAAUUCGUUGCAACUUCUUAACUCGAUUUGUGAAUUGGGGAUGUACCUGUGGUUCUUGAAUCCAGAGCUAUCGGACUAAUGGUUUGUAGUAUGAAUUGGCUGUUUCGGUUAACUUGAUUGUGCAAAUUGGUUUACAUACAGAUCAAUGGAUCGCUUGCAAGGAGGGCAAUCAGGGAACUCAUGGCAAAAGGAUUGAUCAGGAUGGUGUCUGCACAUUCAAGCCAGCAGAUUUACACUAGGGCUACAAACGCCUAGGUUUUCAACGUCUUAGCACCUUGAAUGUUCCCCCAGAGAUGGAAUCAGUCGGUAGUUUCUCAGAGUUGCUGAGUUAUUGCUUUACAUGUAUGGAGUGAUAUGCGGGGAAUUUUGGUCUUAAUGUACACCUUGAAUGUUUGGAAUUUACCAUUUUUGUUCGAUGAGGUUAGUACAUCUUUGGGUUGGGAAUGGCAAAUCCUAUGAAUUAGGAAUGACAAUGGGUUGAGUUUUGAAUAUGGGAGGUCGUUCCCAUGUUCAUUACUGGGUUGUUGGUCAAGCAAGUUUGAUCCAAAUUGGUUAAUGACCUACUAGGUGUUCGAUUGCGAAUCGAGUUAUCUUGUAUGAAUUGUUUUCCUUAUCGAACAUGCCAAGUUGCCAACUUGUCAUCCUUAGAUGAUUCAAAUGCUACGGUUAAAUUCACAUCAAAAUAACCUAAACGAACAAACGAUUCUAAUCUAACAAAGGGGUUGCGGGCAGAUGACUCGAAUUACACUUCUAGAUUUCUGUUCCGCAAAUAACCAAACCGAAUGAUGAAGCAUGUUGACUCAGGGCCGGCCCAGCCCAGCCCAUCUCCGGCCAAAAACUCGCUUCUCCCGUAAACCCCCAAAUUUUAUUAUUUUGAGAAAGUAAACCCCAAUUUCGUAUUACCUAAAGAUAGCCUUUCACCUUCUUCUCCGAGGCGAUUUUGUUCACUUGCAGUUCUUCGAUUCACUACCUCCACCACCAGAUGGCCCGUAUCGCCGUCGCUAGGUCUUGUCGACUGAAGCCAAGGCUGUAUCCAACUCUUCUCACCACACCCGCUGAACUAGCCUCCGUGGAUCCUCCACCUCACGUGCCUAAACCUCCGCCGAAUCAUGAAUCUUCUGAGAAAAUAACGCUGCUGUUGAUGUCCUCAAGGGAAUGAUUGGGCUGAGCAUACCAACAGAGGCAGGGCAUUUUGGUGUUUUGAUAAAGAACUUGUGCAAGGCAGGAGAGUUUGAUAGGGCGGUCAAGUUGUUGGAGAAGCUUAUUGAGAAGGAAAUAAUUUUGAGGCCUCGGAGUUCUUUAGAAAUGGAAGACAGUGCGUAUAAUCCGAUCAUUCAGCAUCUAUGUGGCAAUGGACAUACAAAAAAGGCAGAAACUUUUUCAGACAGUUGAUGAAGAAGGGCGUGCAGGAUCCAGUUGCAUUCAAUAAUUUAGUAUGCAGGCAUGCAAAAGAAGGAUUUCCUGAUUCUGCUUUUGUAAUACUAGAAAUAAUGGGUCGGAGAGGUGUCCCCCGAAAUUCAGAAGCGUACGGUUUGGUGAUAGAGAGUUAUUUGACUAAAGGCGAGCCUUCUGAUGCCAAGACAGCACUGGACAGUGUGAUUGAAGAAGGGCAUGUUCCAGAUUCUGUGUGAGAAAGGCAAGACUACUAUUGCUGCUAAAAAGGUGCUGGAUUUCGCACUGGAGAGGGAUGUUCAACUCGACUUCAAAAGCUACGACAAGGUGUUGGAUGCACUCCUUGAAGCAGGGAACUCGAACUGGUUAGAUCCAAUUUUCCAUUCGGAAAUGAUGAAUGACCUACUAAGUAAGUGUCUUGUCUGCAAAGAAUCGUUUUCUUCAUUCAAUAUCGCAAAUCGUCAUCUUGAUUCUGCCCAAAUGAAUGUGGAAUGUUUUUGAGUAAUGACCAGGUGACGCGGCUAGGAAUCUGAGGGUCGCUCUUGAUUGAAUCUGAAUCGAACCCAUUUCAUAUUUCGAAAACAUCAAAGAUCACAUCUUGGUUAUUUCCCUUAUGGGAACUCGAACUAUUGUUGUUGGCAUUAUGCUUUUUGGCGUUGAAACCCCAAUGGCAACAAACCCAUGUGAAGAAAAAUGGUUACCUUUCCAAUACUUGUACGGAUAGUCAUCAUCUUCUCCUUAAUGUCGUCUUCUUCUUCUCCCCCUAUUUGAUUCUUCUCCGACAAGACCCAUCUGCCUCCAUUCUUCUUUCCGACUCCCUUGUCUUCUUCCUGUCGUCGGGGAAGGAAAUGGUGUUCUUUAAGGAGUUUUAGCCACACCACUAUCAACGCCAAUUUCACGGGACAUUCAAAUUCCGAUAUAUCUCGACCGCAAUGACGCUACAUAUAUAUUGAAUUAUUUUGUUUAUUGGUCGUGAACUCGCCUUCGAUAUCCACGCAAAUCCACCACACCAAAUCGAAGAUAAUCCAUUAAAGUUCAGAGUAACACCGUAAAUUUGUACCGACAUAUUUUAAGUGGUGCCCACUAAUAAUACCAACACAAAUAUCUACAACAUACAUCAUAAAUUACAAUUGUUCAAUCUUUAUCAAACUAUGCUGUUGGGACACGUGUGCGGCGGAGAAAGAUGUCACCAGACAUGAGUGAAUGACCAAUCACCAAAUCAGCAACUUUAGGGCUUGGAGGGAUGUCCCAAAAAAACAGCACCAGCUUCACUCUUCCCGCAUUAUCGGAUUAGUACAUCAAUUCCCUAAUAGCAAGCCAACAAGCUCGUGUGUCCUUGUCACUCACUCAUUGCACCACCCACCAUUCCAACUAUAGCUUCAUACAUACCCUUCUUAGUGUCACGGAGUCGGAUAAAUCCGAUUAAUUUGGGGGAUUCCAGGUAUCAGUCUGAUGGAGUUUAUCGUUGGUUUUGCUAAUACAUUAUUGUGUAAAUAACUGGAAUGGAGGACGUAUAGAUGAUAUUACUAGUGGAAUUUGUACCAUCCAACCUAAAGAAAUUUAGGCGAUCCAUAGGAAUAAGUUGAAGUCUUGUGGGGAAUAGAACUAACCAUUUGAAUCAAAAUUUUGUCUUUCAAGAAACAAAAUAUGCAACAUUAUUCUUAUCAAAGUAGAAUGAUUAGGGUUUGUGAGAUUUGGUAGAGGCAGAGAGGUCAUGUGGGCCUAGUGAGAAGAAGGCACAUGAUGGUGGGCUUUCUCUAUGACAGUUUUGAAUGAGAGCCGUCCGUUUUGAGUUUAGGCAACAUGUGUGUCCAAACUCUUAAAUUUACAAUCGAUAAUAGUUUGUUUUUAUUUGUACGGAAAUAAAAAGAUAACAAGUACACAUAAUAAUUAUUUAUAUUGAUAAUAAUACUUAUAAGAGAUAUCUAAGAGUAGUAAGACGUGUCACUGAAUGGACGGUUUUGUUAAUUACAUGAUUGACGAGUAGUGUGAAGACAGAUGUUCGGCAUGAUUGUCAGGUGGUCCCGGAUCUCUUUGAUGAUAUCAGACGUGUCACUAAAUGGACGGCUCUCUUACGUGACCGACGAACAGUCUGAAAACGAGUCUCGGACGCGGGGGCGAGGAGUUGGAUCUCUCACUAGGUUGUUGAUGAAUCCGUAAAAACAUAAGUGGUGCGUAGCACCUCCGACAAAAGUGCGAGCAAUUUGAAGUUGAAGCAUCAUAUAUGAUAUCGGUACCCGCUUCCUGAAGUCGUAAGAUCUUCAACAUCAAUAUAGUUGGUUCUUCAUCUUAUUACUUCAUAUAUCUUGUACGAUCAUUUAUAGCGAAGGGCUUUGUUCUCUAAUGUUGGAUCAUGGAUGUAUAGUAACCCUAUUUUUGUAUCCAUGAAUAUUAAUCAUGAGUUGAAUUCGUUUAUAUAACUCAUAAGCAAGUUAUGAACAAUGAAAUGCAUAUUAAGAUGGUGAUUUUUUUUUCAAUUACAGAGAACAAUCCAAUAGUUGAAACGAUUCAACUAAUAAGCUCAACUCCAAUCUUUACUCUAAAUAAAAAGUUUAAUUGUAGUAACUAACAGUCCAACUCAUAUUCUGGAAUUGUUUACGGUGGAGAUGAGCUAUGGUGUCGUUUUCAAUUGCCCCUUUCUCUCUGCAAAAUCCAUGCAACAGUCUCACAGCUAUAUAGUCAAUCAAUUUCCUUUACUACUUCUCCAAUGCUUGUCAAUUUAAAGAAAGAAAUACCAAUAACUCCAAAUUGCAGGAUUUCUCGUGAUUUGCAGCAGCUCACAUGGCUUUCCUCCUAUAAAGGAAAGGAAAAGGAAGAGCCAUUGAACCCUUCACAAACCCUCUCAGAGAAUUCACGCAUUUCCAUCUCUUGUUCACAUUCAAUAAAAGAGUUCGAUUCUUCUUCCAUUCCGUUUCAGUAAAAGAAUUGAGGUAAGUUUUUUAAAGUUGUAGUGUCCUUAUGAACUUCUGUAUUCUGGGUAUGGAUCAAAUGAAACGUACCUAGAAAAGGUUGUUUCACCAUUUCUUGUUUCUAUCGAUCCAUUCUGCCUAGUGUUCAGUCAGUUUCUCCAUUUUCAUGCCAUUUAACAAUUUUGAGCUUGUGGACUCUCUGUGUAAGUUAAAGUUGUAACCUUUAUGAACUUCUGCAAUCUGGGUACGGAUGGAGGAGCAAUGCAGAACCAAGAGCAGUUUCACCAUUUUUGUGUUUAAAUUUAUUUCGUUUUGUUUUCUCACUCACUUUAUGUAAUCUGCACUUUAACUCAAGUUUCUUCGUUUUUAGAGCUGAUUUUUUUUUUCUAUCUGGGGAUUCGUUCCCUUUGCCUUAAAUCUUCGGACCCGUGAUCCAAUUUUCCACUUCUGGGUUUUUAGGCUCAGAGCUCUUCUUCCUCUGCAGAUGGGUUCCUGCUGCGUGGCGUUGGAAGCCAGUAACCUUCUGGUGAACAGAGAGCUGAGGAUUUCACACUCGCCGAAUGAUCCUUUCACUCGGUUGAAGUUUGAGAAGAAGCAGAAGAAGAGCAUCAAUAAGUCGAAAUCUCGUUUAGUCUCUUCAGUCUUGACUUCCAGUAAUGGCAGAGGAACUGUGGUAAGUUAUGAUCCAAGCUGUUUCUCUUAGUGGUCCUUUCAGUUUCUUUUUGUAAUGGAUGGUCAUUUAUUGUUGAUUGAUGGAGUCUGACGGAUUGAACAUUCAUGAGCAACUAAACUAAGUUCAAACCUUAUACGGGGUCACGGGGUCAGUAGUUUGGCCGAACUAAUCAGUUUUGUCCGUGUCGGUAGAUGGUUUGGGUUAAUCUGGUAGCUUGUUUCUGAUCACCGUAAUUGGUAUCAUCACACAACAUAGUAGUUGAUAUCUCUUAGCUUGGCAUCGCCUCAGACAUACUCUUCUCGCAAAGGGGAGCUGGGUUAACAAAUCCAUGUGUUCCUGCGUUCGUAUUUUUGUUCGUGAUUGCGUUUUAUUCCAUACAAUGUAGACCUUACAACCAGAGCCAAGGCCAGAUAGGAACAGAGUGGAUCCAAAAGAUGUGGCUUCCAUAAUACUGGGAGGAGGUUCUGGUGCUCAGCUGUUUCCUCUAACCAAAAGGACUGCAACUCCAGCUGUAUGUCUGUGUUUUAAUUUUCUCCAUAACAAUGAGAUUUGGUUAUGGUUUUUUACUUGGGCUUUUGUUUCUGUAUGGUUUUGAUCUUACUAGGUACCAAUAGGAGGAUGCUACAGGCUGAUUGAUGUGCCUAUGAGCAACUGCAUCAACAGUGGGAUCAACAAGAUCUUCGUCCUUACCCAGUUCAACUCGACAUCCCUCAAUAGACACAUAGCUCGCGCCUACUUUGGCAACGGCAUCAACUUCGGAGACGGAUUUGUUGAGGUUCUGGCCGCCACUCAAACCGCCGGACAAGCAGGAAUGAAGUGGUUCCAAGGAACUGCAGAUGCUGUCAGGCAAUUUACAUGGGUGUUUGAGGUGAAAUAAUUUCGUCGAAAAAUAAACCGCAAAGAUCCUCUCUUUCUAUACCGAAGACUGAUUAUUUUUCCUUAUCCUUGGUCGUAGGAUGCCAAGACCAGGAACGUAGAGAACAUCAUAAUCUUGUGCGGCGAUCACCUUUACCGUAUGGAUUACAUGGACUUCGUUCAGGUAAAAAUCGAUCUUAACAUUCUUCAUGCUCUAAUGUUUUACGGCAAGACCGGUUUUUUCACAAUGUGCAUGAAAACAGCACCAUGUUGAUAGCAAUGCGGAUAUCACCAUUUCGUGUGCUGCUGUGGGCGAAAGGUACGGACUUCAUCUUCGUUCUUCUUUGCUUUGAUAUGUUCUUUACGUUCCGGUCUAAAUGUUCUUUUGGUGGAUUGGUUCUGCAGCCGUGCAUCAGAUUACGGAUUGGUCAAGUUAGACAGCAAAGGUAGAAUUAUCCAGUUUGCUGAGAAACCAAAGGGUGCUGACCUAAAAUCAAUGGUGAGUUCUGAUUUCUAAAUCAGGAUACUAACUUCGUUGCGGGAAAGUGAUUUGUGUUAUAUUUGGCAGCAAGUGGAUACGACUCGGAUAGGUUUGACUCCGCAGAAAGCGAAGCAGUCGCCAUUUAUCGCUUCGAUGGGAGUUUACGUGUUUAAAACCGACAUGCUGUUGAAGCUCCUGAAGUGGAGGUUUCCUACAGCAAAUGACUUUGGCUCUGAGAUCAUCCCUGCAGCAGUUAUGGAGCAUGAUGUCAAUGCAUACAUCUUUCGAGACUACUGGGACGAUAUUGGAACGAUCGAUUCGUUCUACCAAGCUAACUUAGCUCUCACCGAAGAGGUAAGGAUUUCCAACAAAUCGAUUGAUUUGUUCGUGGGGUUGAAGAAAUUAUAACCUGUUAACUGUGUGUGCAGCCUCCAAUGUUUGAGUUUUACGACCCUCAAAAACCGAUUUACACAUCUCCAACGUUCUUGCCGCCAACCAAGAUCGAUCAAUCUCGGGUAUGCAACUUGGAUCGGAGCUUGAUAUAGUGUUGUUGCUUUCUCGUUGAUGUAUUCAUCUGUCGGUUCUUUGUUGCAGAUUGUAGAUGCAAUAAUCUCCCACGGUUGUUUCUUGAGAGAUUGUUCUGUCCAGCAUUCGGUUAUUGGUGAGCGAUCUUGUCUGGAUUCUGGUGUUGAGCUAGCGGUGAGUUUGCCUGAAAUAUGUUCUUAAGAGCAUUUUUUCCCGAUUUCACAACGAGAUGCAUGAAUGGCUCUCAACAUCUUUGAUCUCCAUUUUUUUACAGGAUACUGUGAUGUUAGGAGCAGAUUACUAUCAAACCGAAGCUGAAAUAGCAUCUCUUCUGGCAGAUGGAGGAGUCCCAAUUGGCAUAGGGAAGAACACCAAAAUCAGGUAAAGAAAUCAACUUUAACUUUUGCAACUUAGACAAAUGAUCGUCCCGAAUCUGAAAUGAAUCCGACUCUUGCAGGAAGUGCAUUAUCGAUAAGAACGCGAAGAUAGGGAAAGACGUGAUGAUCGUCAACAAAGAUGUAAGUUCUCAGCCAAAAAUUGUCUUUCUCUGUCAUGCCGCCUGUUAUCUGAACGAAAGCUGUUGCCUUGCAGGGUGUAGAAGAAGCUGACAGGCCAGAACUAGGGUUCUACAUUCGAAAAGGGAUCACCAUUGUAGCAGAGAAGGCGACAAUCGAAGAUAGAACUGUCAUAUAAAACAUAAAUCCACACUUCGACAGUUAGAAAAAUGGUUCCAAUUCAGAUAUAUCGCUGCAGAUGGUUGAAACCCAGAAACAGAAGACACAAACUGCAACAUCAUCUACAUGUAACGUAAAAGAAACGAAGCUUCUUCCUUCUCACAUAAAAGUUGGGAUCUUUUCGGUCCUACAAGUCAAGUUAGAAGAGCAGAACUAUAGUAAAGGCAGCUUUUCAUAGUUUAUGUCGAUAAAAAGUUGUUUAAGAUUAGCCUUUCUGGAAAAGUUGGUAUCUUCGUGUAUGGGAUAUGAACAAUAAGUUACAUAACAAGACUGCAGAAUCUUGUACUGUUACCUCUUUUUUCAGAUGGAUAAUGUAAUAUUAUUAAUACUAACCAAACCAGUUAAACUUGAAUCAGCCAACGGGCUGAUAAUCACACUUACAAACAGAUCCUACGAAACAAAGAGAUUCAGUGGGCAUGGAAUGGCAAUUUAUUGCACAAAGAUUGUCCAUUUCCAUUGCUAACUCCAUAAUAGAACUAGCAUUUUGGUUGAACUGCAAGCCGACUUGAAAUCUCCAAAGCAUUGCUCUCGUAGAUGAACAAUUCACAAAGGCAACUGUGAGAUUAUGGUUCAGGUACAUACUUGUUGGAGCUGUACACUUAAUGUGAUCCUUUCUCGAACAGAGCAAUUCCUGAUCUUGAUGAUGACGAAUCACAUUGCGAAGUUUCGAACACGUAAGCUGCAUUGUUGAGUUCUUAAUGCACUUAGCUUGCUUUGUUAAUUCCACAGACUUAAGUUUUUGGGAUAGAUCUCUUCUCAAUAGCCCUUGGUACUCCAAACUAUAAGACAUCCCCUUUUCCUGAACUCACAAGGUUGAAAACCAGUCAUGGCCUUUCCCAUGAGUGCCAUAGCAGCUAUACUCGGAAACUGCUUCUCCGGUACUUCACCUGAUGUUCCCUUUCCGACUCGAGAUUCGCUAGCCAUCACACAAUCAGCUUUCCUUCUCAGGGAAGAAGCAACUGGGUUACGAGACCAUCGUCGAAUCCAAGGAUGCGAGUGGGCUUCGACGACGUCAUGAGCUUUCUCCUCAGAAUCGGUGGAAGUAGAUUCAGCAUUCCUUUCUGACAAUACUGUAGUAGGGCAAUCAAAUCCCGGAAGAUCAUUUCCAAUGGGAUCACUUAUCAUUUUGGUGAAGACUCCAUUCACUUUUCCAUGAGAGGCUUCCCCUAAGUCUGAACCUUUAGAACCGUAGGUGUAGGGCAAGAGUGCUGGAGCACUUGGCUUGAGACGUCUUACCCAUCUACUACAUGGAUCGAGCCUGACAGGGUCGGGACAAGCCCUUGACUUCAGAUUUCUGGAGUUUCCAGGAUGAGUGAGCAAGCAUUCCACAUCCAGACUUUGUGUUAUUGACGUGCUCGUCUCCUUAUCAUCUGCUGUCCCAGAUACAUCAGGAUGUAGACAAACCUCUUUGUUUAUAUCGGGUAACAGCUUUUUCACCAUUCUACCCGUAACUUCUUGGCCGACUGAAGCGAUUAGAUCUUGAGAUAUAGGUGAUGGUAAAUUUACCUUACUUGAUGGACGUGAAGCCAAACCUGAAAACAAAACAUCCACAAAGCUUCCUCAGUAUUUGAACAUAGAACAUCCUUGUAGUCUUCAGUGAUAGAUAUCAUACUUCAUAUCCAUACUAAUGGGAGUCGAUAAUAUAAUAUUCGCAAUAAUGGACGUACCAAGAAGUUGGUUAUGUCUGGCAGCAUCGAUGUCCAUAGUGUUGGUCUCGGAGGAUGAUCCGUUCUUUGAAUCAUGUAGGAAACUCUUGAUAGUUUCAGUGUCUUCUUUGCCCUCGCAUUCUGCGGAACUGUCAAGUUGUUGCAGCUUCACUCCUUGGUUAUUACGAGAGUGAUCAUCAGGUUUUAAACCGAACAAUUCACAUAACGAUUUUCCUUUGAACUUUGUGGAUACUGACGACUGUUGGAACAUCUGACCUUCAUCCAUAUCAGUCUUCUUUGUGAUGAAAAAGUGGUGAGUUGUAUGUGAAACCUUUGCACAACCGGCAGGAAAUUCUGUGAUGGAAUCGACAGUUGUACGUAUUCUCAUAGCCUGCACACCGUGUGCAGAAGAAGAGGGCAUUCCUGUUAUACUGUGAGAGCUACGAAAUGCCUCUUCGGUAGGGCCACUCUGGAAGGGAAAAUGAUCCGGAAGAGGCAUCAUCUCAGCAGCAAAGCCUCUUGAUUCAUUCUUGCUGGUUGAAGAGUCAUGCACCGAAAGAGCUCCACCGAAACUGAUCUUGUUCGAGCGAUCCCAAGAUGAAUUUCCCGCUUGAUUCGAAUUGUCUUCUACACGGGAAGCACAUUGCACUCUAUUCCUCCUGCUGUCAAAUUCAUAUGGAACAACCUGAGGACUGGCACCCGAAAGGUAGCCUCGUGAAGGAAAAACACCGACCCCAUUCCUCUGAGGUAGAAGUGGAGUUCCCAUUUCGCUGUUACCAACCAAUGCAGCAGAACCAGGCAAGUGGCUCUCAACUCUACUCGAAGAAGCAUCCAACCGAGAAAUAUCAACUCUCUUUUUCACUGGAGGCAAAGCAAUCUCCUCGUCCAGCGAAACACCUAGCAUGAGAUAAGGCUGACCUUCAGACGGCUCGUUCCUUAACCUCUCCAACCCGUCCCUCGUACUCGUACUACUCCCACACACAAAAUCUGCCAUCUUCCGCUUCCCCACAUCUCGAUACCGGUCUCCACCCUCGGAUCCUUUCCCAGAAAGAUCAAAUAGACGGUGAUACUUCACUCCAUGAUGAAUCUCUUCACUCACCUCAUUAGUCACUGAAGUUGCUGCUGCUUCAUUUCCCACCCUACAAUUCCUACCCAACCAAUGACCAAUCCAUGAAGACUGAGACCCACCACUUCCAGACAUCUCAUCCUUCCCGUUCGACAUUACAACACUGAAAAUUCAAGUCAACACAGUAACAAAAGGAAAAAUUCAUCAUCUGUCACCUGAAAGAUGCAAAAUUUAACCAACCCAAAAUUCUGAAAGCUCAAACAAUGACAGAAAAACAAAACAAAUCCAUGCAGAGAAAAUGAAAACCCAGAUUCUAAAUUCUCUCUCCAUCUACUGAUAGAGCUAACGAAGUCAAAUCCCAGUCCCACAAACAUUUAAAUGAAGCUACCGCUUACCUGAAUGGAUCGAAGAGAAGAUGGAAUUAUUCUUCCCUACAACUUUCGGGAGGAUAUGAAUUCCUAAUUCAGCUUCUGAAUCGGAUGAGAAAGAAGAGGAAAUGAAUCCAUGGCUGAACCAGGCGUGAGAGCUUGAGCUGCUCCCUGGUACCCUUUUUUGUUCUGGUGUCUUUUUGCUUUCUCUUCAGUUUCUUUUUGGAUUAUGACUAAAAUGGCCCCUAUACUAUUACAAAUUAACAAUUGAGCCCUUAUAUUAUUUUCUUUCUAAUCAAACUCCUACAUUUUUCUCAAACCAUCAAAUAAGCCCCUUCUUGUUUUUUUGGCAAUUGUGAUGAUUUAACACGUCCAGUUGAACGUUUUGCUAAUGUGACAUUUAUUGAUUUUUAUUAAUUAUUAAUUAGUUAGGUUUUAAAUUUAACAAAAAAAAUAUUAUAAAGAAAAAAUAGAGUGGGAGAAAAAAGAGUUGUAGGCCGAUUAGAAUUAAACAAUCCAUCUCCUAAACAAAAUAAAAUUAUAUUUUUUAUACUUCUCCAAAUAAAAUCAAAUAAUUCUCUACAAUAAAAGAUCAAACUUUUUGAAAAAAAUUUUCUUAAACGUGUAAACAAGAAAUAUGAAUUUUUUUUUAUAAUCUGCUUCAAUUGACAAACACAUAUCAUGGUGCCAAUUGAAGCAAAUUAUAAAAAAUAAAUUCAUAUUUUUUAUUGAAACGUUCAAGAGAAAUUCUUUCAGAAAGUUUAAUUUUUUAAUCGUAGAGGAUUAUCUAAUUUUAUUUGGAGGAGUAUAAGAAAAAAUAUGAUUUUAUUCCUUUUCAGGAGAUGAAUUGUUUAAUUCUAAUCGGCUUAUAACUCUUUUUUCUCUCAUCCUAUUUUUUCUCCAUAAUAUCUUUUUUUUGUUAAUUUUAAAACCUACUUAAUUAAUAAUUAAUAAAAAAUCUCAAUCAACAAGUGUCAUGACAGCAAAACGUUCAACUGAACGUGUUAAUUCAUCACAACUGCUCGAAAAAAAAGAAGGGACUUACUUGAUGGUUUGAAAAAAGUGUAAGGAUUUGAUUAGAAGGAGAAAUAACAAAAAAGUUCAAUUGUUAACUUGUAAUAAUAUAGGAGCCAUUUUGAUUAUAAUCCCUUUUUUCUUUGACCUCUCCUUUAUUGUGAAUUUUUAAUUUUAUUGUUAUAAGUAAUAAUUGAUGGGCUCUCAGACAGCCACAGAUGCGGAGGGCCCACCAAUUAGAAGAAUGGGCCCCCAUUUCCCACUUGCAAUUAUGGGGUCAUUUCCGAUUUUUUUUCCCCGUGAAGAGAUAUUUUCUCGUACUAAAAAAUAUGCUUUUAUUGGAUUUCAAAAAGAAAAUUGCUUUUAUUUUUCUUCAUACGUUGUACCUCGACGGUAUGGGCAUGAGGGACACCGGAUCACUUUUCUUUUUGGGAUAUUUGUGGAUAUUUAUCAAUAUGGAUCGGUAGAUUUACGAUCGGAAGUAAUGUUAGAUUGAUAUUACAAUUUGUUUUUAUUUGAAUUCGAAAUAGAUUAUGAUUAAAAAAAAUAUUCAUAGUGAUGUAUGUAAUUCCUAGUUUCAUUGGUAUAAUGGCAAGUACCAAGCUAUAAAAGGAUCAUCUCAGGGAUAUUUUUUCGAAAUAAAUUGUUUGAUAUUAAUUGUGAGGUAUUUUUUCUUUUUAGUGAUUAAAAAUCCACAAACAAAAAAAUAAUUGAUAAUAUUUUUUUUUUGGGAGGAGACAAAACUUUAAUUCAUUAAAAUUCGAGGUAUUGAAUUUGGUUAGAGCGAUCAGAUAUAAAUUGUGAUAGUGUGAUAAAUCUAUAUAAAUCUACUUAAUUAAGAUGGAAAAUGAGUAACGGUAAUUAUUCACUAAACUACACCAAAAAUGGAUAGUUUAUAUAAUCUUUAGAUGGUAAUGUUUGAAUUAAACUUAAAUUUAGAUGGAUAUUUGUUAUUUUGAAACUCGUUAACAAGCUCAUUAUCACUUUAACCAGAAAGUCAUGAGUUUCAAUAUUAUUAUUUUUUUUUUGGGAGGAGACAAAACUUUAAUUCAUUAAAAUUCGAGGUAUUGAAUUUGGUUAGAGCGAUCAGAUAUAAAUUGUGAUAGUGUGAUAAAUCUAUAUAAAUCUACUUAAUUAAGAUGGAAAAUGAGUAACGGUCAUUAUUUGGCCACAAUAAAAAAUUGUCAUCUCAAAAGAAUUUGUACUUGAAGUAGGAAUAAAGUUAAGAUGAAUUAAACCGUUUGAAAAGUGGCAUAAGUAAUCGAGUCUCAAAUGAUAUCAAAAUAGUUUAAAAAUUUAUGAAUGUUAAAUAUACAUACCAUUUUGUCAAUAUGAAAACUGAAGAGUGACCUACAUAGUAAUUCUAGAUCGAUGACUGAACACCUCUCAUGUUUGUAAUUUUUCCUCGUUCGAUAUAAAAGACAUCAACCGAAAUAUAAUCUUCAGAAAAACCCUAAACCCUUUACUCCCAACUGCGCCACGGCAAAUCUCCAGCCAUGGGUAAGGUGAAAGGUAAGCAUCGUUUGGACAAGUACUACCACCUCGCCAAGGAGCACGGCUACCGUUCCCGUGCCUCGUGGAAGCUCGUCCAGCUCGAUUCCAAGUUCAAGUUCCUCCACUCUUCCCGCGCCGUCCUCGAUCUCUGCGCCGCCCCCGGAGGAUGGAUGCAGGUCGCCGUCGAGAAGGUCCCCGUUGGGAGUCUGGUGCUAGGUAUCGAUUUGGUGAGGAUCGCUCCUCUCCGUGGCGCGUUAUCGAUCGAGCAGGAUAUUACCAAGUCCGAGUGCAGGUCGAAGAUUAAAAAGAUUAUGGGGGAUAAUGGGGUGAAGGCGUUUGAUUUGGUUCUUCACGAUGGUUCUCCCAAUGUCGGCGGUGCUUGGACGCAGGAGGCCAUGUCGCAGAAUGCUUUGGUUAUCGAUGCACUGAAGUUGGCUACACAAGUGUUGGCUCCCAAGGGGAAUUUCAUCACUAAAGUGAGCUUGCGUUUUUUGUUACUGUUUGAAAAUUUUGGAAUGCGAGAUCAAGGAUUAGGAUGGUUUUUAUCCGCUUAGUUGCUAAUUUGCUAUUGAUGCUAUUAUAUGAGUCAUUGGUUGGUUGGAACUUACAAGUUAGUGAUGAUUCGUUGGAAGUGUUAACCUUGAUGCCCAUGUGGUUUUCGUUGUUGUAGGUGUUCAGGUCACAAGAUUACAGUGCGGUUAUCUACUGUUUAAAUCAGGUGAAUGACAAAAUUAAAGAUGGGGGUAGAGCGUAGAUCGUUUGCUUAUCAUGUGGUUCUGAUUAUCUUACUUGUGCUUUCAGUUCUUUGAGAAGGUUGAGGUUGAUAAACCAUUAGCCAGUCGUUCAGCGUCUGCAGAAAUAUUUGUGCUGGGGCUUAAGUACAAAGCACCUGCAAAGAUUGACAAUGACCUGCUCGAUAUUAGGAAGCUGUUUGCGCAUGUUGAUACACAAAGAAAGGUAGCUGUGAAUUAGAGAUGUUCAGUAUUUUCAUUUUAAUCGUCCUUGAAACCGUCUUUUUAGUUUGAAGUAUAUUCGCAUUCUUGUCUGAAUAAAAUUCUUAAUUGCAGCCUCUAGAUCCCCUCAGAGGAACAAAGCAAAAACGUCAUCGUGACGGGUAAGGAAAUCUCAAUUUAUCUGGCUGUUUAAUUUGUGCAAGGAACAUUCAGAAUGUAGUUCAAAUGUGUAGUUGCUGGGUGCCCAUAUAAAAUCUCACUGACUUCAAUUUUUGUUUGGAAAAUUUCAGUUAUGAAGACGGACAGUCUAUGAUCCGGAAAGUCUCAUCAGCUGCAGAUUUUAUCUGGUCCAACACCCCUCUUGAUGUCCUUGGCUCAGUUACUUCAAUCACCUUUGAGGACCCUGUAUCCUUGCCGAUAAAGGAUCAUGAGUUGACAACGGAAGAGGUGUCAUAGCUAUGCUUCCUUUGGUAGUCCACUUUGUGGGUGCUUUUCCUGAGUGAUCUUCAUUUGAAUAAUUUCUUCUAUGGCCAGGUCAAAGCCCUUUGUGAGGAUCUUCCUGUGUUGGGGAAGCAAGAUUUCAAGCAUCUUCUCAAGUAAGAUUUCAUGUUUAUUGAAAAAAAAUUAUCACAUCAGAAGGAACAUCUUUGUACAAUGAAGCAAAAUAGAGGAAUUUUUGAAUUAAAUCUAAGUUUCUUCCGAACUACCAUGCUGUGCUUCAAACUUAUCCUUUUCAAUUUAUGUAUCAUGCAGAUGGCGGAUGAAUUUAAGGAAGGCGCUGUCCCCUUCUGAAAAAGCUAGCUCUGCUGCUGCUGCUGACAGUGAGGAAAAGAAAGAAUUAGAUGAAGACGAUAAGAUGCUUAAUGAAAUGGAGGAGUUAACAAAGGCUAUGGAGCGGAAGAAGAAAAGAGAGAAGAAAAUAUCUGCUAAAAGACGGGAAAAGGUUAGUAAACUCUCGAAUCUACGAAAAGACGGGAAAAGGUUAGUAAAUAUCUGCUAAAAGACGGGAAAAGGUUAACAAAGCCUGUUCAUGAAGGCUUGCAAACUCUCGAAUCUACUAGCCAUCAGAUUAUGUGAAUAGGCCUGCUUCUUGCAGUAGUUCUUUAGUUAAUAAGGUCUCCAAUAUGAGGUUUUUUUCGCUGACAUUGAUGUUGUUAAUUUAAUUCCUGUUGUAUUCUCAGGACAAGGCCCGGAAAGCAUCUGGAGGAAUGCCAAUGGAUGUACAUGAAGAUGGUGGCUACACUGAUAUCGAGUUAUUUUCUCUUGCAUCAAUUAAGGUUAGUUAAAUACUUAACACAUUUCUCGUACGCUUUCCCUGCGUGUAAACUUUUUUCGAAUGAGGUCUCAAUGCAUGCCUCUUCUCAGCCAACUGCUGAAGGCACGACUAACCCUGAUUUUGAUUUGUAACCACUCAGGGAAAGAACGAUUUGGUUGCUAUAGAUAAUGAUGAGAAUGGUGACGCGAGGGAUAGUGACGAGGAGGAAAACCCUGACAAUGAUGCUCGGGAGUCAUCUGCCGAUUCAGAUUCGGAUGCAGAGCGUCAAAAGUAACUUUCAAUCCUUAUGUAUCUUCAAUCAAUCGAUAAGCAACUGUUUAUUAUAAUUACUCGUGUGGCUUUUUGUGUGUAGAUAUGAUGCUACAAUGGAGGACUUCCUCGACAAUCUCUAUGAACGGUUUGUAACCAAAAAGGAAGGAAGUACAAAGCAGAGGAAACGUGCAAGGCAAGCCUACUCCGAGCAGCUCUUGGAUGGGGAGAACGACAAUAUGGAGCACUCAGAUUAUGAUUCGGACAGGGAGCCGGCCGAUCGCGAAGCAAAUCCUCUCAUGAUUCCACUCAACGACGGCGAAGAACCGACAAAAGAAGAAAUUGCAAACAAAUGGUUCGCUCAGGAAAUAUUCACCAAAGCUGCCGAGGAAGAGGAUCUGGUCAUGUCUGACAGCGAGCAAGAGGAUGCCCCCGCGACGGAGGCCGCUGUGAUGGAGGUAGAUAAGAAGCAGCAAGAGAAACGGGUUGCUCCCAAGAAGGCUGCGGUAAAAACUAGUGAACCCGAUUUUGAGAUUGUUCCUGCCCCUGAAACUGAUUCUUCUGAUUCGUCCUCGGACGAAUCAGAAGACGACAGCAUCGAGAAGAAGGCCGAGAUACUGGCGUGUGCGAAGAAGAUGCUGAGAAAGAAACAAAGAGAGCAAAUGCUCGACGACGGGUACAACAAGUACAUGUUUGACGACGAGGGCUUGCCUGGGUGGUUCCUCGAGGAAGAGAGGAGGCAUCGCCAGCCUGUCAAACCGGUCACCAAGGAGGAGAUGAACGCAAUGCGGGCCCAGUUCAAAGAGAUCAACGCACGGCCCGCUAAGAAGGUGGCCCAGGCCAAGGCUCGAAAGAAGCGUGCCGCCAUGAGGAAGCUGGAGAAAGUCAAGAAGAAGGCCAACGCGAUCUCAGACCAGACCGAGAUUUCCGAGCCCUCGAAGAGCAAGAUGAUCGAUAAGCUGUACAAGAACGCUGCUCCAAAGAGGCCGAAGAAGGAGUAUGUAGUUGCGAAGAAGGGGGUCGCUGUGAAGGGUGGCAAGGGGAAAGUUGUAGUGGAUCGGAGGAUGAAGAAGGACGUCCGUGGAGUUAGCAAGAAAGGCAAAGGUGGCUCGAAGAAGAACGGUGGUAAGGGCCAGAAAGGCGGUAAUGGCGGUAAAGGAUCUGCAAGCAAAGGCGGUAAACCGAGACCCGCUGAUAAGGAAACAAAGAGAGGAUCUGCUCGACCGAGGUCGUUUUGACAAAUCUUUUUCUUAAACCUUCACUAGAAGGAUGAGUUGUUGCUAAUCCAGUUUUGUGCUUUUUUUUUGUUUUCAUUUCCCUUCUGAAAAACUUUGCAGUAACGUUAUAUCUUUGAACACACUUUCAGUAAUGAAGUUCAAUUGAUCUAUCUUAUACCUUGCUUUCUUAGGAUUUCCAAACCGAAUGGAACCCUGUAGGCAGUUGGUCUGAGCCGUGCAUCGAUCUUCUGUACACCUUGUCCCGGUGCUCCAGACUAAACUAUUCAGCCGAGCGAACCUAUUGUUGAUAUUGAACUAUCUGCCCGGACCUGGAUCCGUUUGCCCUUCUUCCUCCGACCUGGCUACCUAACCAACCAACUACCAGUAGUACAUCUGAAUUCAUUUGUCCUUCCUACCUGACAACUACCAGUACUAGUACUUACAUAAUAAAUUAUGGUUGAUUACAAGUACAUUGGUACAAAAGAUAAAGAAAGUUUGGAAAAGUUCAGUAUGUUUAUGUAGAGGACACGAAACCAUAAGAGUUUAAGAAGGCAGAUGGGAUUUGUCUAUGGAACAUAUCUGGGGAAGCAAACUAGUGUACUAGAAAACACAUGACAUAUUGGGUGCCUGCUGUAUCAUUUCUGCGGUAGCUGUGAAACUAAAACUGAAUCUUCAACUGUAAACUGAAUGUUAAACUCGUUGAUGUACUUCUACGAUGAGAAGCUCCGGUUCAGGGACGUCAUGGAUAUGGACAAGUUGAGGUACCGGUACGAGGAUGUGGAUGAAUGUCAUACCGAAACCUUCGAUCGCGCUUAGGUUAACCAAACGCGAACUCAGGAGGGAGAAGGAACAAGAUAGUAAUAUGUUGGAAAUGCCGUCCCAGGCCCAGCAUCUCCAACACAUUGGUCAUGUCCUCGACUCUCGAGUAACAAUUCGCGUGGUUCGGCCGAGGGCGGUCAGGACCCGAAAGGAGAAAGACCAAUUUGAAGAGAUAUUGGUGGUGGAAGGGAUUGUCGUGAAGGCCGAAGAGUUUGUGAACUUUGACGUGUACAUCAACGUGGUGAACAGGACGAUAAUGAGCGCCAAGUACCGGGAGUUUGCAGGGACGUUCACCGAUAUCCCGAUGGGGGUAUAGUUCGGUAAGAAGAAGACGUUGGAGCUCGGGAUUUCAGAGGUGUUGGAGGAUUUGGAGGCGGAUCGAGACAUAUCUAUAUGGGUGACAUUGAUGCCAAGGACACAGUAGUAACAAGGUUACAUUUGAUCGGCUAAGCAUCAAGCACAACAAGAAAUGAGUCUGAGAAAAAAACCAGAGGAUAAACUGUUUGAUGUCUUUAAUUGCAAGGAAUAAUUGAAUAUCUUUAGAAUGAAAUAUUAAUAUGCUCUAGGAGCUGAUGAAAUUAUCUAUCGUUCUCAAAUUGAUCCUAUGCUUUGUGCUCAUAUGGUUUCGAAACAGUCAAAGAAACCAAAAUGGAGUCGAUUGAUAAUCACGGUUUUGAAACAGUCAAAGAAACCGUUUUCUGUUAAGAGAUCAAAGCUUUGAUUUAGAGACCUUCAAGGAUCAGAAAGGGCGAUUCAGAACUGACAUCAUCAAAUCUGCAGAGCAUGCAAAAGGGCAGGAUUAUUCAAUUUACUGUGUCAUUUUGGUUUGUCAAAGGGAUGGUUUAUAGCUUUUAAGUUAUGGAUGCUUCAUCUUUCUUUGGUGUUCUGGAUUCCUUGAUUGUUUAUUAUAACAUUUCAACAGAAUCUGGAAUAACAACAUGAGAAAAAAAGCAAACACGUAGGAUCAAGGAGAUGACAAAGUUAGAGAUGGAGAAGGAGAAGAAGAAGAAGAUACAACUAAUCAGAAGAAGAGAACGAAGUCCUGAAGCUAGUAGUAUCUACCCAUCUUCAUUUUCUGUCCAUGGUCUCGCAGUUUACUCCUCCACCAUCACAUCAACUGAGGUUGUAGAUGGUGUUGGCUUAGACUUGCUUUUCUUUUUACCUGUCGAUUAGCAAGUAAAUGUCAGUCUUGAGUUUUGUAUUAGCGAUGGCUUCAGCCUGCAUUAUUACACCUCUAUUACAGCCGGACUAAGAAAUAAAUUGGAAUCUGACCUUUUAUACGGUCUAACUGCUUCAACUUGAGUCCCCUUUUUACGUUAAACAACUUGGUGGAAAUUUUACUGCUAUCUUUAGAUGAGCCUUCACCUGCAAAAGACCAUGUACCAAACUGCAUAUUAAAUCAAGCAAGCGAUAUCAAAGCCAGACUCCUAGGACAAUCCAUUUGAGUUUAUUGGGAAACACCUACGAUCAUGAUUCUUGUUGCCAAACCUAACCUAACCAUAGUCAAAAUCUCAACCUAACUAAGCAGCGUUCUUAAUGUCAUCAACAAACAGAUUAUGGAAGAGAAAAGAGGGCUAAGCAUCAAAAACUAACAAAACCAGCAGCACUCUCACUCUCCCAGUCGUGGACAAAUCAAGUCUUUAUCACAAACCAACAACUAUGGCAGUUUGGACAGAAGUUGAUCCAAGUUAGUAUGACUUGUUCUAAACAUGUCACGAGAAUCCAAAAUCCUAUCCAAAGCGGAUGCUUAGUCCAAUUGGCUGGAUUUCUGAAUGGGGGCAGUCACUCAAAGGCUGUAACACCAAGUAAAGCACUUGAAAAGAAGUGAUUCAAGAGAAGACAACAAUAAAUACCAUCUGCAACCGCCAUCUCUACAUCUUCCAUGGUGACAAGUCCUUUUUCUACAGCUUCUUUCUGGUCCUGUAUUGUAUGUAGUAAUUAACCGCAGCCAAAAUGAAUAUUCACCUAUAAAAACCCUUUGCUUCUGCAUUAGGGAAGGACAAAAGGAACAACAUACUUACUCUGCGCCAUUUGUUCAACAGCUUGCGCUUGCGUUUACCAGAGACGGAUUGAUUCUGCUGUUUAGCCUUCAAUUUAGCGGUGAGGGGAUCUCCGUGAGCGAUUCUCUUUUUAUCUGCUAUCGCUGCCCUCUUCCUGAUUGAACUUCGCCAUUGUUCUCUAUCUUUCUUUCUCCGUUUCUCUCAGAUAAUCAUAAAACCCUAAGCGAACACAUUUUUUGGGCUUACGUAUGUAUUAUAUGUAUGUGACCAAUCCCAAUUUGGGCCUGGUUUUCAAAAAUAUUUGGGCCUCUCCAAUCAAGAAUGUUUCGUCCAAAAUAAAUAAAUUUUGAGAAUCCAACCAUAGGUUUAACCCUUACUUUCCCGAAUUGCUAUUCGCCUUUCUAAAUUAUCGACGAUGAAUGUUGGGAUCGACGGAUGAUCGUUGGGAACUCGAAUAACAAUGCUGAUAGACGGAUGAUAGUGAAUGAUAUAUUCAGAUAAUAGAAUUUAGAAUUUGUGUGCUCGAUAAAAAAAUAAUUCUGUCAUUUAUAAUAAUUAGCGUGUUUUAAAAAAAAUGGUAAGACGGUGAAUGACACGCCCCUUACCAAUAAUUUUGAAAAUGUACCAUGCUCUAGGAGCUCAUGAUUUGUGCUCAUGUGGUUUUGAAAACAGUAAAAGAAACCGAAAUGCAGUUGAUCCAUAUAUAAUCAUACUUCAGUUCUGCGUGUGAAAAUUUAUUAACCUUCUGGCCAGUGUUAACAGAUGGCAUUAGUUUCUCUACAAAAUACCAGUAACAGAAACAACUACACAUACUGGUUCAGAUACUCAUCAACACUAGUAUACUUAACAUCAGGGUAAAUUUCCGAUGCCUCCACACCGAACGAAUCCUCUAUCUCGAAGCUUGUCUGGCAUCCCUUCACCAGAAUAGAAUGGUUCAGCGCCAGCAUCACAUCUCCUGCAAACCCACAACACACACAUUUAGGACCUCCAACAACAAAAAUUGAUCUAGCUGUCUUUAUAUAUUAAAGCUACCUCUAGUGUGCUUCAGAAUCUCUUCUUCAGGAACAUACACCCUUUCCAGUUUCUUCCCGAUCUUCCUCUCCCACAGAGACGCCAGAUCGUUGAACGAGUAUAUGUUGUUCGGAGGCCUAAUGUACACAAGCUUGUUUAACGUCCGUGGAUCGUCCACUGCUCGAAUCGUAUACGUCCCGAUAUCAUCCUCCCUGUUGAAAACCGCUGUUUUUUCGUAUCGAAGAAAAAACAUCAUCAGCACAAUUGUUCUUCAGCUUAAUGAUAAACUGAAUGAAAUAGUUUCAAACAUUCCAUCUAACCUUUGGCAUUGCCGUCUCCCAAGAUGAUAACUUUAUCCCUGGGAGGGACAUCACCAGAAGGCUGAGCCAAAUUGCUGAGGAAGUAACCAGCAAAGCAGUUGCAGGAGACAUAUGUGAAUGGGAUCCCUUCAGCUUCGACAGCUCGACGAAUCUGAACCUUGACAUUGUAUGCCGAUUGCGCUGGCUCCACUGCCACCACUCGAUCCACGUCGUUCCCAAACUCCGACGGGAAGAACCUCUGGUCAGUAAGAAACAUGGAAUCAAUCAGACAACGAACUAUUUCUACAUUCAAAUGAACCAAACCCUAGUAGCAAUUCUAGAUUCGGGGAGUUUGUGUUUACCUUGACGUUUCCAGCUUCCUUAAUAGCGGCUAUGAUUUUCACCUGCUCAGUCAGCAUCCCAUGCCCGACUGUUGAAAUCACCACAUCAACUUUCUUCAUUGCGUCCACCAAGCUUCCAUGAUCAUUCAAAUCCCCCUGUACAAGUUCCGUUCAGAUUAGAAAUGGAGCGGAAAUUUUAAAUCUGAAAAAACAAAACACCUACGAUUAGGAAAUUGACGCCCAAGUUCUUCAAGCUGCUGACGAGCUUGGAUCUUCUGGGAGCUGAGAGAGUCGAUUUCCUGACAAGGGCGUAAGUCGGGUGGCCGGCUUUGGCGCUGGCUUCCACGAUGAAUUUGCCGAUGUAACCAGUUCCUCCGAUGAACAGGAUCUUGCUCUUGGUGGCGGAAGCCAUUGGUGAAAGGAAUCGAUGAAUCUUCUUCUUUGUGGAGAAUUGGGGCUGGGAGGUGAUGAUGGAUUUAUUCCUAAGGUUGACUGAUGAGCUUAUAUAGUUGAAAUGUGGGAAAGAAUAUAGUAAAGGUGGUGAUUUUGGACGACGACGACGAACGAGAAAAGAAGAUUCCGGCGGCUGUUGGCAAUGGAGGGAAAUGAGAUUGGUUGCCAUUGUUGACCAUCGUAAGCAAACAACCCCACUGGUUCCGAACCCGCGGUUUGUUGUUAAAGCCGGUUUGGUUUGAUUUGGCUUGACACUUUGGGUCAUGAGCGGUUAGGAGAUUCGAACUCGAAAUUUUCCGUUCGUGAAAACUAGGGAUAAGACUAGUUUUCAAAACUCAUCUCCGUGCACAUAAUGUCUCGAAUACCCAAGCACAAUCGGUUAAUGCAUCCCUAGCCGAAAUGAACGGCUAUAAUCAGGUAAUGCCCCUCGAGAGUCGGGUAAUAUGAAAGAGAAUGUCCAACCAAAACCCUAAAUCAAAAUCGGUUUCUUUCCUUAACCACAAAAGUCCAAUUUCACUAACCACAAACACAUCGAAGCACAACGCAAUUCACCAUUAUGACCAUAUAUGGAACCCAACACAUCCCUGUAAAUCUUUCGAACUUGGAAAUUUUCAUUUCGAAAAGUUACCACUAACCACUGGAAUUCCGCGUCAUGAAAAUCGGUGAAUCAAACCAAGGAGGACAAGUACUCAGCAAUGGUAGUAUACUCAACAUCUGGAUACAGCUUCGAGCCUUCGACUCCAGUAGCAGGAUCAAUCUCAUAGUAGGUAUGAUCUCCUCUCACAAACACCGAGUAUAUGAACACCAGCCCCAUAUUCCCAGGAUACGAAAUCUCUGCACCAGUCCAAAAAACAAACCAAAUUCAACAAAACAAGCAGAUAAACCAGCAAAGGAAUCAAAAUCAACUACCCAGUAAGUAAACCACCAUUGAUUCUCUUCAACAUCUGUUCCUCCGAAACGUAGCAUCUCUCCACAUUCAUCCCAAUCAGCCCUUCCCAUAGCGUCACAAUCUCGUUCAUCGAACACACGUUCCCCGGAGGUCUCAAGUACAGAAUCUUGUUCAGCGUGGAAGGAUCGUCCACUGCUCUCAUCGUGAAGGCAGCUACAUCUCGUUCCUUCACAAACACACCUGGAAACCAAGGCAGACUCGUUGUUCGAUAUCGUUCGUCGAAUUGUUUGAAACUAGGUACAUGUACCUUUGACAUUGCCGUUUCCGAAGAUUAUGACCUUGUCUCGAGGUGGAGAUUUGAGUCCCGGCUGGACAAGGGAAGGAAGGUAGUAGCUCAUUAAGAGAUUGCAGCAGACGUAUGUGUAUGGGAUUGAUUCGGCUUCUAACAACCGUCUGAUCUCAGAUUUCCUGGAGUAGAAACCAUGAUCCAUUCCUGAUAUCUGUGAUCUGUCUGCAUCUGCUCCGAACUCAGACGGGAUGAACCUCUGGAAAAUGAUGAUCAUCAUGAAUGAAACCUAUGUUAACAUUGACAGUAGAUUGAACACAAAUGAUACACAAUCGGCAAUGGAAUGUGGCAUUUUAAAAAAUUCCAUCAAAGCAAUCACUUCAAUUUCACUAAAAUCAGUUAGCAAGGAAGAAAGCAUUUUUGAUAAUCACAAUCAAUAGUUACCUUUAUCCGGCUUCCUGCUUGUUUGAUGACUUUGAUAAGCAGCUUCUGAUCGUGAGCUUGUUUCGACGGAAUCGAACAGAUUACAACGUCAACUCGAUUCACUGCCUCCACAAGGCUACUCUCGUCUUGCAAUGAACCCUAAAAAGAAGAGCAGCAGCAGAAGAAGAAGAAGAAUCAAGAACAACGAAAAAUUCCCCUAGCAGGAAAAGCAUUAUCCCAAUUGAAUAAUACCUUAAUGACGGAGGCGCCGGCAUUGGUGAGGGAUUGGAGCUUGUGAGCUUUGAUUGGGUCGUGGAAAGCCGAUUCUCUGACGAGGAGGAGAGUUGGGUGAGAGGAUUUGAGGCUGGAUUCUGCUAAGUGGUAACCCAAAUUGCCUGUUGAGCCGAUUACCAACACUCUGCUCUUCUCCUUCUCCAUUGCAGUCAGCUGGUUUGAUCAAUUGGGUUACAGUCUAAAUUGCUGCCAGUGCCAUGCACAAUCCAGUUGAAGGUUUUGCCUUUCCAGUGUUCUGUGAUGGUUUUCGUACAGUUAAUUUCAUUCCGUAGCACCAACUUUGGCCAAAAUGCAAAAAGUUACCAUGAAGUUUCAAAAGUAACAAAAUAAUAUUGUGUGUACAAAUUCAAACUUAAUAAUGUGGAAAAUGUUAUAUAUGGUGAGGACAUUAUUUUUGUAUUCGUAAGGAAGGAGAACACUAAUAUCAUCAAAAAAAAUAUACAAAUUCGUACUUAUUUAUUAUUCUAUACGAGAUAAAAAUAGAAUAUUAAGGAAAGUUAAUGGAGAUGAAGAUCUACAGUUUCAAUGCCUAACUAUAGGAAUGCCAAUCUAAACUCAACACUCUUAAGAUAAUAAAUACAUUCGAAUAUGGUUAAUGGCUAUAUAUGAGCCGAUAGGUAUAACCACUCUUUGUGCUUCAUACUUAAGAUAUUGAACUACCCGCUCUUAUCAGGGUCCAUCUGUUAUUCCUACUUAAUUAAAAAUAAAAACUAAAUAAAUAUUAUUUUUUAAUUAAAAUAUAUCAAAAUUUUCGAUCAAUAUAAAAUAGGUUUAUUAAAACCUUAAAACUCCGAUAUUUGAUUGGGAAUUCAUUUUACAAUGAAAAACAUGAUUCGUAUGGUUAUAGUAUUAUAGGAUAUUGGGUUCCCAUUGAAAGGAGGCGGAUUCUCGAGUUUUACUUGGAAUGACACUCGCCACCCUCAUCUUUGCAUAUUAUUACAAAAUUGCUACAAUAAAAUCCAAACCUACCCAACAAAGUAAGUAUCACCAACGCGGCCAUUGAUCCAAAAGGUGCCUUUGAGAGAUGUAACCAAUAGAUUUUAGUCAUUACAUCUGGUUAUUUUUUUGACCAAGUUUCAUCUACCGAUUAAAAUAAAUCAAACGAAUUAAUUUGAAUAAAUAUAAUUUUUUAAUAAAAAAUUACAUAAGCGGAAAUCAAUUUUUCGGGAAAUAAUUUUCUCUCUUUCUUUUAGUCAUUUUUUAACUUUGAUANNNNUUAACUUUGAUAUCACCGUUAUGUUUAUCGUACAAGCAUGUUUAGUAAGUAAUACGAUCAUUUUAUAGGCUUGUUACGCCGUUGCUACGUUAACCUUACGAGUAGUUGAAUUCAUUAUCGUUAUGUCCAGUUUACCACUCUUUUAUGUCGGUGAUAUAUACACUUUAUGAGUCUGUUAUGUGUUUUUAUUAUGGCUUUUAAAUAAGUUCAUUAUAUAGAAUUUAUAAGUAAAUUAUUAUAUUCACGUUAUCGUUAUUAAAUCAUUAUUAUAUCAUUGUCACACCCAUUUUACGAGUAAUUAUGUUAUCCAUGUCGACUUUAAUAAGUUUUUCCUAUCUAUUUUCUCUUUUAAAGAAAAGUUGAAAAAAAAACUUNNNNNNNNNNNNNNNNNNNNNNNNNNNNNNNNNNNNNNNNNNNNNNNNNNNNNNNNNNNNNNNNNNNNNNNNNNNNNNNNNNNNNNNNNNNNNNNNNNNNNNNNNNNNNNNNNNNNNNNNNNNNNNNNNNNNNNNNNNNNNNNNNNNNNNNNNNNNNNNNNNNNNNNNNNNNNNNNNNNNNNNNNNNNNNNNNNNNNNNNNNNNNNNNNNNNNNNNNNNNNNNNNNNNNNNNNNNNNNNNNNNNNNNNNNCUCAGCCAGUCAUCCUACCAACCGCACGGCACAAUCUUUUGUCUAACAACCACAUGCCAACCGUCCAUCCCUUCUCUAUUGUGAAUGUUUAAAUCAAAUUUUUUUUUUAAAGUGACGUGUGGACUCAGAAACUUUCAUUCAAGUUUCUACUGAAUUUAAUUGUUUAUAUUUAAUGGACUAUUUAUUUUUAGAAACAUGUUUUUAUCGUACUAAUAUAUUAAUUAUAAAUAUUGAAAUAAAUAUUCUUUAAAGAACUUUGAAAAUAUAAGCAAAUUUGUUACAAUCUCCUCGCACAAAACGAAUCCUAAUGUUUCGAAACUAAAAUCUUCCGACAUCGUCCAAUAAUAUCUCCAAACUUCAACCUAUCCUACACCACACUCGCAUUAAACGGCACCACCUGCAAAUCUAACUCCAAAAUGACGUUGUCUAAGUUGAGUUUAACACACCACCAAAAACCAUUCAUCCAACAACGUUAGGGCCUCAGUCUCCUUACUACUAUAACCUCGUUCCCGUUUCAUUUGGUAAUGUAUCGCCGUACCCAUCUCAUCACGCAAGCACGUUCCUGGAUUCCUGCGCCCAUUUCUCCCUGCUCUGGAAACAGUUGUGAAUGAAACCUUUACCUAUAUAGUUGGGGGGUUUCUUGGUUGUAUUAAAUUAUAAUUUAUUCCAUCUUAAAAUGGGUUGGUUCAUGUAAAUACUAAUGAUAAAUUUAUAUUGGUAUAACCUCAAAUAAAUUUAUCAAUUAAUACCAAGUUCUUUUCGAAAAAAAAGCUAAUACAAACCUCAACGAUCAUUUCAUAUUCCAAAUUUGAAGAUUGUAAUUAAAUUCUCACUUCCUUUAUUAUUCCACCAUCCAAAUAGUCGAUUCAUAUGUCUAGUACCGAUGCUCAAAGGUGACAAGUCUACAUUUACGACCACCGGUACCUCCAUUUUCAGUAUUGUCAACAUAUGUGUAUAACAUUCUCGACCAUAACCACAAAAUAAUUACGCAACUCUAUAGAUUGUCGAUACCGUACUAAACUUCGAAUCGGCCAACACCGGUCAAACCAUUUUGGCAUGUUACGGUCCACAACUAUUUCGCACCAUCUCUGGCCACCUUAUCUCUGUCUUCUUACUCACCACACACACGACUCUUCCAGCUCCUUCCUCCUCCGAAGAAAAAACCCAAUAUAGUAAUAUAUAUACACCAAAGCUCUUUGAAGAACAGAGCUUCACCCAGAUCUAAAAAUCCCCUGCUCCAAUGGAUCCUGGAAAAUGGAUCCUCCCACUCACCAUCUCCACCAUUCUCGCCGUCACCCUCUUCAUCUUCUCCUCCCCUCAACUCGCCACUGAACUCGUCGGGUAACUCAAAAUACUCUUCAUAUCCCACACUCUGUUUUCUUAUUCAGAUCUGUGUUUAGUUUCUGCUCUAAUUUGUACUAACUUCUCUCUUUCUCUGUCCACAGGAAGCUAAACGGCGUCGUACCAGACGUUUUCUUAGGGUGGUCAACGCCGGUGAACAAUCUGCAGAAGGGCAAACUCCUCCCAGUCCAAGUCAACUUAUCAGCCUGCCUCCCGACAUUCGGCCGACCGGGGAAGCCAGUCUACUGCUGCCCGCCGCGAAACAUCCUCGACGACCCAAUCAUUGACUUCCAGUUCCCCGACCCGGCGACCAACCCGGUCCGGGUCCGCCGCUCGGCGAACCGGCUGGAUGAGGAGUCCAUUGCCAAAUACGAGAAGGCGGUCGCGAUGAUGAGAUCUCUACCUUACUCCGACCCGAGGAGCUACACGCGCCAGGCGAACUUACACUGUCAGUACUGCACCGGAUCUUUCCUCCAGCAGCACUCCACGCUUCCGGUUCGGGUACACAAGACGUGGAUCUUCUUCCCCUGGCAUCGAAUGCUCUUGUAUUUCCACGAGCGGAUCUUGGGGAGCUUGAUCGGAGACGAUACAUUCGCGAUUCCGUUCUGGCCAUGGGAUCUGCCGGAAGGGAUGAUGCUGCCGGAGUUUUACCUCAACGGGUCGUUCAAGAACGAGCAGCGUGACCCGACCCAUUACCCCCCGGCGGUGGCGGAUCUGGAUUUCCAGCUGGCGGAAGGCGGGUCGACGCCGGAGGAACAGGUGGAGUUGAAUCUGGCUCUGAUGUAUAACCAGAUGGUCUCUGGCGCUAAGACAGCGGAGCUAUUCAUGGGGUGUGCUUACAAGACUGGCGAAGGUGGUGACUGUUUCGGACCCGGGACAAUGGAGCGGGCCCCGCAUAACACGAUUCAUAAGUGGGUCGGGUCGGCUUUCCAUACUGGGAGGGAGGACAUGGGGGUCUUUUACUCGGCAGCUCGCGACCCGAGUUUCUACGCUCACCACUCGAAUAUCGACCGGUUGUGGGAGGUUUGGAGGGCGACUCACCCUGAGAUGAACGACCCGGAGUUCCUCGACUCGUCGAUGUACUUCUACGACGAGAAGCUCCAGUUGAACCGGAUCCGGUUCAGGGAUGUCAUGGACAUGGACAAAUUGAGGUACCGGUAUGAUGACGUGGUCAAUACGUGGAUGAAUGCGAGGCCGAAGCCCUCGGUCGAGCCUAGGUUAGCCAAGCGCGAGCUAAGGAGGAGGGAGAUGGAACAAGAGAACGUGUUGGAGAUGCCGUCAGAGCAUUUCCAACCAACCGGUCGGUCACUCGACUCCCAAGUCACGAUCCGGGUGGUUCGGCCUAGAGCAGUCAGGACUCGAAAGGAUAAAGUUGAAUUUGAGGAGAUAUUGGUGGUGGAAGGGAUUGACGUGAAGGCGGAGGAGUUUGUUAAGUUCGACGUCUACAUCAACGUUGUCAACGCGACGAUAAUGAGCCCCAAGUAUCGGGAGUUUGCGGGGACGUUUACCGAUAUUCCGAUGGGUGUAUCGUUCGGAAAGAAGACGACGUUGGAGCUUGGGAUUUCGGAAGUAUUAGAGGAUUUGGAGGCGGAUCGAGACCGAUUUAUAUGGGCGACAUUGAUGCCGAGGACGGAAAGUUGUGACAAAGUUACGGUUGAUGGGUUAAGCAUCAAGCACAAGAAGAAAUGAAGGAGAGUACUAGUAUAGGUAAAAAUAAUUUUGAAGAAAUUUUAUUGUAUGAUGAUGUUGCAUUAAUUCUGUGUGUAUGGCAUUGAACAUUGUUAGAAUUAAAAAUAUGAAUGUACCAUGCUCUAAUAAAAAUAUUAGUGUUGCUGGCAACUAUAAUGGAGCCUUGCAAGUGGUACGGUCCAUCACCAUGUUUAUACACCAUUAUUUCGACUUGUCGGUGGCUGGCAACUCUUUGAAAACUACAUUUUGAUACCCUUUUAUACCCUUUUCAGUGAAAACUAAAAAUCAUCGUCCAAUUGCUCCUCGCCUCUACUCGUCGAAACAAAGAGUCUACAAUCUUCAUUUUAGUUGCACCUCAUAAAUACUACAUUACGUGAAAUAUUUUAUAUACUUGUACCCUUCCUAUGAAAUAUGAGCAUUAGAUUAAUAUUAUAAAUAGAAUAUUUGAGCUAAUCAGGAUGAGUCAUGGCUGUCUUGAUGGGACAUGAAAACACAUGGUGACAUGAUUUACAAUAAAUAUAUUAUGCAUAAAAUCAAGACAUAUUGGAAAGUGUAAAUCAUGUCACAUGUGGCAAGUGGUUUUUUUCUUAGAGAGGACCAAAAUAUGACGGGGAGGCCGAAACAACUCAAAACGUUCGACUUGGGAAGAAAUCGUCACUGUUUAGUAUUUUGAGUAUAACUCAUCGCUCGGAAGUCCGAUUGAUGCAUGGUCAGCGGUUCAAUACAUUGCUAGCUUUAGAGGAUUCAAAUUUGAACAACCUUCAUUCCAUAUUUGAAACUAAAUCUCUUUCAAUUAUUUUCUUUUGAUUUACAUUCUUAAUUUAUAAUCGGAUACUUCAACAAUCAAUAAAAUAAUCACUUAAUGUUACUUAGUUUAGUUAACUUAACCAAUUUGAAUAAUAAUGUUAAAAAACAUCUUAUGAAAAUACGAUUCCAUUAAAAUUUAUUCUAAUAAAUAUUUGAUUAGCGGGAUAAAAUCCGCACAACCACAAUUUCUCCGAACCAAAUAAAACCCAACUUGAUUGUUAAUGCAAGUUGGUGAUGCAUGCGUCGAUUUGAAUAAUAAAUUCUCUUAAAAGAAGAAAAACGAAUAUUCACGUGGUACUGCCCGGUUUGAUCAAGUGGUUGGAUUUAUUUAUGUGUGAUUCUUCGUCCCCAAUACUAUAUAUAAUAAAAUCCGAUACAUUGAUAUAUAUUCUAGCUCUAGCUGUCGUGAAAAUGACUACUUUGAUUGGGUGUACAUUUUUGUUUGUUUACGGUGAUAAUAAAUCUCUAAUACUUUAUAAUAAAGAGGACAUCCAGCUUGAGGAGCAUGCCCGAACGAGCCAACCUAACAAGUAACAACCCAGUCGGCUCAAGCGACACGAUCCGUCCAAGGAUGCCGAAACAGGACCAAGGUCGAUCCUUCGUCGGCCUCUUAAGUGCCGAGGCGAUGGGCAAGACAGACCGGAAGGGUUUUGAUUGAACCUUCAAUGGAGGACAAAACAAACCUAGAGGAUAGCGUAUGUGAGCUUCGGCAACAAUGGUGGAGGAUAGCGUGUACAUUCAUCAUUAUACUCUCUUUCAAUCACUCGAAUUAUUUCGAAACUUUUUUUACUUAACAGUCGUCCAGAGGCCCGGGAUGCUUUUCCUUGAGCCCUUCCUCAAAGCCAAGGCCCAAGGCAACCUCGCUGCCUAGUAAGCCCUUUAUUCUUUGUUUUCACAUUAACAUUAUUGGGCCAGGGCCCAGGCUUCUAAUUAACAUGUUUGGGUGAAGAGGAGUAAUGGGUCAGGUGAUCAGCUUGUUGUAAAUUCAUGUCAUUCACAAACAAAUAACAAGUAAUAUCACUUUGGUUUAAUUUUUAUUUUCUUUCAGGUCAUUGAGGGAGUUCCAUGAGUCCCAGCUUUGAAAACUUUGGACCCAAUUCUGAAGAACUUAGGCUUGGCCCUAAUCCAACUCUUCCCGCCAAUCAUUUCUUUACUCAGAAAAGGCGAAACCUCAUCGAUUGCGAGCUUCUUCGACCAAGCUACCCUCUUCGAUCUAUUAGCUCCAGGUCCGUAAUUCUUGUGCUCUCCGUAGAACACAGUCCUACAUAUUAAUGCACACACCGACAACAUAAUCAAAAGAAAAUAUUGAUUGAAAUAGAUAGAAUAAUUAAAUACGCGGGAUUUUAUACCUUUGUUUCGAUUUGUCUCCCCAAUCACUCCAACCGAUUGGCAAGACAGCAGAGGUUAAGUAAGAGUAGGCAUAAACCACCCUGGAAUAAGAACCCCAUGCCCUUCCUAGAAGUGUUGCUCCAACCCCGGUUACCUUGCAUCGCAAGAAAACAUACCCGGUUCGAUCCGACUCCGAGCCCCUAUCUUGGGCGGUUAUCGAGCCGUUGCCUUUCGAAAGUGAAUGGAUAUGACACUUCUGCAAAUCAUACAAUUAUGGACCAUGCACAUAAUUAGUAAUAGGUGUUCAAACUUAUUGAUCGGAAUUUCUCAUUCUCUACUGUGAAACAGAGAUGUAACAAGCAAAGAGAUAUCGCUCGCCUCGAAGAGGGAGGAAGCGUCUCCGCAGAUGAAAUCGGUGGCUCCUUCGAUGUAACAGUUUCGAUAGUAAUGCGAUCCAGUGUCGUCGAGAAGCGUAUCCUGGUACGACAACAUCUUGCAAUCGAAGAAUGCAGCUCUGUCUCCCGAUACCCUCAACGCCACAGCUUUGCCUCCUCUCCCGAACGUGUUCUACACCAUGCAUAUGCACUAACAAACAUUGAACAAAUUCGAACUUUGGGAUCAACAUACGUUCGUAAUUACGUUACCUGGAUAGUAAGGUAUCGAGCUACAAAGUACGGAGCCAGAACAGACAGAGUGGCAGACUCGAAUAUAUCCCCCUUCUCGUGCCACGUAACGACAGUGUCGUUCGCAGCUGGCUUGGUACCACCUAGGGUGAUGAAAGGCUUGUCCUUCGGCACUAUGACUUUCUCGACGUAGACUCCUGGCUUGACCCAGAUGAAGACCAGCUCGGAGUUGUUAGAAGGAACCGAGUCGAUUGCUUCCUGGAUCGUCUCGAAAUCUCCUCUCCCAGCGGCGGAAUUGUCCACCCUUAUCAGAUUGGCCACUGACCAGUCCUUUGGAGGAGUAGGUGAAGCAUCAGAAGCUAGGGUAGUUUGGAAUUGGAGUAAUAGUAGUGCUAGGAUAAUGGUUGUUGCUAGACGGUGGAUCAUCAUCAUGUGGAGCUUUGGAUAAUGGUGGACUGGAGUACAAUUGCAGCUAUAGAAUCAGACAUUCUUAUUGUUCAGUAUUUCCGAAAAGGCUUGGGACUCACGCCAACGCGUCCAAGAAAUCUGCAGAAAUGAAGGGAUCAAUUGUUUUCCUCUUUGUCUGCACAAAUUCAACGUAUGAUCAUACGCCUCAUUUCUGGGAUUAGACUUUAGGCCAAAAAUUAAUCUUAUACUACAUUGGAAGUAUUGGCUUUUAUCAAGUGGAUUAACUAACUUGAUCAGUUUAAAAUUUUGCCCGUUUUUUGGGCGUAUUGAAAUGGAGCCGACCGCCAUCCACUUGACGGCCCCCUAUCGACGAACAUUAUCAUCCUAUCGACAACCUCGAUCAUUGUCAUCAUGCCACUGUUAUCUUGUUCCAAUCUCGUCAACCACCGCCAUACCGUCCAUCAAAAUACACCGCUUUUGAGACUCUAGCAUGAUGAUUUCCGUGUUUGAAGAGAAAAUGCAGUCAACACCAUGAUCACAAUCACCAAUGAUUACAGAAUGUGCGUGGUAACUCCCAUGACAGUUGCCUCCUCUAGUAGCAAUCAUCCAUGACAGUCGCCUCCGGCCUCCUAUAAAUACAAAAGAACCGACCAAUGGAACAAUAUGAUGAACAUAAAAAAUUAUACAAAGCAUACACUCUUGCUCAACUUACCUUUCUCUUCAAUUUCAUUUUUCAGUAGCCAUAGACAUAGUUUAUUUUUUAAUUUGGAGCCUUUUCAGAAUUUCUACAGGAGUAAUGGUAGAUAGAAUAAAUACUUAUCAUAUACAUCAAACCAACGGUGUAAACAAUGUAAUUAAUCUAUUUUCACAAAAUCAAAACUAAUUUAUUGUGUUCAAAGACAAAGAGUUUUUUUAUUUUUGCGACCAAAAGCAAUUUCAAAUUUUAAUAAUUUUCAAUUUAUAUACAUAAUUUAUCGAAAUUGUACAUAUAAAAACUAUCAUUUGAAGGUGCAAAUGAUAUCUGACCUUAUAGCUGUUUGAAAACAAAGAUCAAAUUUGGGUCUGCCACGUUGUCUUCCAUGUUCUUUUCAACGACAAGAAAAAGUUAAUAUAGUAAUAAUGAAAUUAAAGAAAGAGGAGUUGAGGACUUAAAAUCAAGGAGAAAAAAGUUUCAGGAAUUCCAAAAAAAAUUUAUUGAUAAUUUUGGUAUUUUAUAAAUAUAUAUAUGUUAUUUUUCCAAAUUUCUAAAACUCAAAACUGAAAAUCUAAUAUUUUAGACUCUAAAUUUAAAAAUCCAAAUUCAAAAUUUAAAAUUUAAAAAAUUAUAAUACUUUCUACAGAUUAUUAGAUCGGUAAAGUGGUCAAAUCCUUAAAAUUUAAUUAUUCAAAACCAUCCUAAACAUCAAAAGCACUGUCCUGAGGCCCCACCAGAGCAAUCAAAGAGCGCAAUUAGCGGAGCAUGAAGCUCCUAAUCGAACUUUGUCGUUUAGCGACGGAAACACUUAUAGCAAAAGGCCACGAACUCUCUGCCUUCUCCGGCGCCCUUUCAAAUUAAAAUCCACUCCCCCCAGUCAGUCACCACCACCGCCACUCAUUUUCUUCACCGUGACGCCGCAGAUGGAGUGGGAUUCCACCGCCGUUGGUUCUAAUCACAAACGCCACCACGAAAGCUGCAACAACAAUAAUAAUGGAGACCCGAAUACCGCCAACAGCAGUAGUAGCCCGAAUGAUCUGCUGUACGUGAAGGUAAUGACAGAUGAGCAGCUUGAGACUCUCCGGAAGCAGAUCGCCGUCUACUCCACCAUCUGCGAACAGCUCGUCGAGAUGCACAAAACCCUGUCCUCCUCCCACCAAGAUUUUGCCGCCGCAGGUGUGUACUGUUCCCCUGUUUUUCCACUGCUCUGAAUUCGAAUUAGAGAUCUAGUCGACAUUAAUUUCGUCGGGGGCAGUUACUGAUCUAGGUAGAAUUGUCCAAUGAGUGGGUUAAACCGGUUAUGGGAUGGGUAACUCGAGUUACGGGUUCAAUUGAUUGGAUUAUAGAUUAAUUUGGUACAGUACACUUAGUUUGAAGAUUUUAUAGACUUUUGGGUCAUGUAACUUUUGAAUUGUUAGCAUUUGAUCAUUUGAUCGAUAUAAGUUAUUGAUCGUAUUCGACCAGGUUGGAACUGGAUCGAGUCGGGUUAAUUUUUGCCAGCUCUAAAUCUAGAGGAGGUUCUCCUUGUCACAAUACGGUCCAUCGUCGAGUCUAAUGCGUACAUUUAACUAAAAUAAUCAAAUUUUUCAUAUAGUAAUGAGGUUAUAAGUUUAUUGUGCCGUGAAUUGAUUGGAUUAUGUGAUUAAUUUAGUGAUAGUAUACUUAAUUUGAUGGUUUUGUGCCAGUUUUGAAUUGUUUACGAAUUUAUAUUAUUGAUUGGAAUUGGAUCGAAUCGGGAUAAUUUUUGCUAGCUCCAGAUCUACAAAAGCCUCUUUUAAAUCAGAUCGGGCGGGCUGGUUGGGAAGGGGUUAUUGACCAAUUGAACUACAAUCCCAGGAAAAUGAAAUAAAGUGGACACCAACAUACACAGAUUCAUAUGAUUUCAUUCAAAUCUCCCUUAUUUAGUAUUUAGCUAUUUCGAUUUUAGCUUCGAAUCGACGCGCUGUAACAGAGAGGGGGUAUCUAUAUGAUACCCAUAUCCGAUCAAUUUAUGAAUUUAAUACCGCAAUAAUACAUUUUACAGUCCAUUUUUCAUGUAUGUAGUUUACUAACACAAUGAAUAUAAAUAUUUUUAGUAAGUGUAUAUAAAAAUAUAGACUGUGCGCUAGUAAUAUAUAAUAUAGCAUAGCACCGUGUACUGUAUUUCAACAUGAUCGUCACCGAUGCAUUAAAUCAUUCUGCAUCCAGGGAGGUUGGGAAAUAUGUACUUGGACACGCUGAUGGGCGGAGGAGGAGGCCAGAAGCUGAGCGGCGGGCGACAGCGGUGGACGCCGACGCCCGUGCAGCUUCAAAUCCUUGAGCAGAUCUUCGAGCAAGGGAACGGGACACCGACGAAGCAGAAGAUCAAGGAGAUCACGACCCAGCUCAGCCAGCACGGCCAGAUCUCGGAGACCAACGUCUACAAUUGGUUCCAGAACCGGCGCGCCCGGUCCAAGCGUAAACAGCACCUUACGAAUCUCCCGACUUCCGCUGCCGCGGGCACGAACAAUAAUGAUAAUGCUGGUGCUACUAGUGGGGAUUUGUCGUCAGAAGUGGAGACUACUACUGCUACUGAAGUUGAUUCGCUUAACGAUCAAGACAUCAUCAUCCAGUUGUUGGCUCAGUCUCAGUAUCAGGAAAAACAAUGCUGGAAUUAGCUGCGUACAUGUAUAUGUUGUAUAGAGGGAUGUAUUUGUCAUGGUUGAUUCACUACACUCUUUUUCUCCAUUUUAAUCUUGGUUUGGUUGUGGUAUGGGAUAUCUCGAGAUAGCUUGGUAUUUUUCGAGGAUGUUGAUAUUGAGUGGGGGAGGUGGUGAGGUGGAGUUUCUUGUUUGGUAUGAGACAUUGAGUUGAUGAAAUUUGUUUGCCUAUUGAUUGUCACAUAGGGUUCUCUAAGCAAUCGUCGUGCUUUUGGUGGUGCUGUAAUCGUAAAAGUAGUGGUUUAUUUGACGGCUUGCCCUAGGUUCCGAUUGCAAGUGGUCAGGCAUCUAUAAGUAGCGUUGAGGCCGAUUUCAUGACUCGAAUAGAUAUUUAGAUUGUUUGUUCUUUUGCAACGUGUUGUUUACUAUCACAAUGUAUCCCUUCGAAGCUCCUAUCUUGCUAGAACCAAAUAGACAGGAGCUAGAAUUCUAGUGGAUUCAGUAUCUUCAUCCAAAUUUGCAGCAACCAGUUGCUGAAGAUCUUAACUGCAGAAUCAGUUUUGGGCCAAGGUUAAUGGGUUUUUAUAGGCCCAUUUCAGAAUCUAUUUUCGGCAACGGCUGAUUGGGUAUGGGAGAGGCCCAUUUCAAAUCAUGUCGCUUAGGUAAUAGCCGAAAAAGCCCAUCUCUGCUGCUAUAAAAUCCUAGGCGUCGAUCACUUUCAGAAAACUAACCCUAAUUGCAAAAUCUCCAUUGUUGUCGCAGCUUCUCUUUUCCAAUAGCAAAUCUCAGCUGUAAUAGCUGUUGUGUAUAGUUCAAUUUCCGUCUCAAUUCGUUUUCUGUUUGUUUUGUCACUGUUGUGGAGGAAGGAGGGUUGCGAUGAUGAUGAUUAUGUUAUAAUCUCGUUAAUCCGAACCAAAUCUGUGAGGAUAACAAACUAUCCAUUACCUUACUGAGCACUCUCCUUGUCCUACAGCUCCACCUCAUUUACUCUGGUUUCGUUCUUAUGUUUUAAUGGUGUUCAUUUUUUAAUCAAUCUGAUCUUGUCCCCUGGAUGGUACAAAAAAGAUUUCAACUGUCUCCAGUAAAUGCUGAAUCUUUCUGUUUCUUUGACUGGUUUCAUAGAUUGUUGAUACAUUCUAAGUUUGGCAGAUCAACUUUGAUGAUUAGUUCAUGGAUUGAUGGACUGAGAAUCAUAGAAUUGUGGUUUCACUGUGGAAAACUGGAAAAAACCACACCAUAGUUUAAGCAGGGACAUUAAAGAAGAAGCAAAACUGUAAUUAACUUCCACUGAAAUCUGAUGAACAACAUGAACAUUAUAUCUGAGGCAAAAGUAUCUACAAAAGGAAAAGGCCCCUCUGGUUUGUACGGGUAACGUAUAAUAAUUGUAUCAGAUGACAUUUGGUCCGUAUAGAGUGCUGGAUCAAGAAAAACAAGAGAUUGCAACAGUGUGAAAGAUUCCAUGUGUCUGGUCAUAAAAGGGUGGUUUAGAACAGCAGCCCACGGGGAGCACAGCUCUCAGCCAAAAACUAAAGUUAGUAGUCUUUUUUCUCUGAUCUCUACUGUUUGUAAACAGUGUUACCCACCAUUGACGAAGAGGAAGGAAGAACAAACAAAUCUGAAGCGAACGAAAGUUACAGAAUGAAGCAAUGGGUUACGCAUUGAUUCAGAUUCAGAAUGCAGAGGGACCUUUAGCAAUUUGUUUCUAUUUAUUUGCAAGGUUUCUUGGCUCCUUGAACAAUUGAAGCUCUGGGAUCUAUUUGUUGAGUUUGAAUGUUAAUAUUUUUCGAAAAUCUCGAUCAAUAAAAGAGUUUAAGAAAUAGUACAUUGAUGUUUGUUGGGGUGGUUUGAUUUGAAUUUUGUACUUUCGAGUCACCAACCCACAAUCUUUUAUACUUAUGGGUUUAAUUGUUUCAUGUGACUUUUUUGUCAUGAAUAAAAAAUAACUAUGACCAAGUGAUUAUUUUGUGAUAAAUAAUAUAUUGAUUAUGAAAAUAAUUUGCGACCAACUCAUUAAUGUAUUAAAUCUCUAAAAAUAUAUAUGGNNNNNNNNNNNNNNNNNNNNNNNNNNNNNNNNNNNNNNNNNNNNNNNNNNNNNNNNNNNNNNNNNNNNNNNNNNNNNNNNNNNNNNNNNNNNNNNNNNNNNNNNNNNNNNNNNNNNNNNNNNNNNNNNNNNNNNNNNNNNNNNNNNNNNNNNNNNNNNNNNNNNNNNNNNNNNNNNNNNNNNNNNNNNCAAAUUAAGAUUUUGUUUUCGUAAGUUAAUCGAAUUACGCAUCAUUAACUCUUGAGCAAAUCAGCACUGAGCCGAUUUGAAUUGGGAAAAUCCUUAAAACCUAAGCAUAGUUCAUUUGAUAUGAUAAUUCGUUCAAGAUUAUUUUAACGGGCCGAUUGAAUUUUCAUUUUUUGUAAGCUAAUAAGGUUACGAUCAUUAUGUCUUGACCAAUUCAAAACACUGAUUGGGUUGAUUCGGUUUGAAUUGGACAUACUCAUCAAACAUAAGUGCAUAUAACAUAAUCUUACAUUCAAAGUUCUUUUAAUGGGGUCAAUUGAGGCCAAUGGCCAAUGAUUAAUCUUGAAUUAUAUUUUCUCUCCAAAUGGGCUCGGAUCAACAUAUAUACAUGAAUAUUCAUAUCCAUCAUAUAUGAGUGACUGAGUGAGAGUUUGAGUGAACAUAUAUAGAUGUGCAACCCUCUUUUAUAACUAUAUUUUUAUAUAUGAUUCAUCAUUCCAAUGUCGAUUUAACAAUCAAAAUUAUCACAAUUAUAUCAUCAUAUGUACAUGCUUAUAUAUAAUAAUAGAAUUACUGUAACAAAAUUUUAACUUACACAUAUUAGUUAACAUACUUUUACUUUUAAUCACGGGUCUAAGCUCCGCUAACAGGCUAUGGCUAAUGGUACAAAGACACGUAUUGGUAAAAGUAUACUAUUGGGCGAAAGUAUAUGAAAAUUUUUUUUGGAUCNNNNNNNNNNNNNNNNNNNNNNNNNNNNNNNNNNNNNNNNNNNNNNNNNNNNNNNNNNNNNNNNNNNNNNNNNNNNNNNNNNNNNNNNNNNNNNNNNNNNNNNNNNNNNNNNNNNNNNNNNNNNNNNNNNNNNNNNAAAACAUAUUAAAUAGGAUAGUAUACUGCUUAUUACCUAACUAUGUCUUUCUUUUAAAAUUUUUCAAAUAAACAGUGUUUUAGUUCAUUAGACUUUCGGCCAACCGGCCGGACACGAUCUAAUAUACUUUAUAUGCUUAUGACCAAUGAAGCUUAAAUCAAACAAAACAGAUCAUUAAAACGCAAGCCGUUAUAUAAAUCAGCCAACCAACACUAAAAAUUUCCGAAUAUGUUUUUGAGAUAGUUGAUCCCUUGGAACCUAGGACUUAGACCAUCCAACCAAGGUACCAAAAAAGGUGCUAUAAGCCCAACACCACUUAAACAAUUUGGGGGGGGGGGAGGAUACUACCAAUCUAGAUGAUCCAUCCAAGACCAAACAUGUCAAGUAUGAUGUUUGCUUCUUACUUGCAUCUCCAUACUCUGUAUAGUCACUUUUCAAGGAUUCCAUUUGCAAGUGAGUAAAGACACAACACAACUAGCUAAGCUUAACCCACAACUCCAAAAUUGACAAAAGAACACUGAAAGGGAGAAUCUUUCAAUACUUUGGGGCUGUUCUGUUGUGCUUUUAUUAUAUUCCCACCCUUGGAAUUGCACUGAAAGGAAAAUUGAACCAAGGAAGAAGAAGGGUGACUGAGAAAUGGGGGCCAAGUGGGGCUAGAACAGAAAUGGCUAUAACACAAGAGAGAAUCAAAGAUGAGAUCUUUUGGGGAGGUUUUGGGUGAGGUUUUUAGGUCCACAAAGAGUCCACUCUCUAUCCCUCAACUGUUCUGCUAUGUUGUUAGUAAAUGAACAAAAACUAUAACCAAAAUACUCCUGGCCUAGUUGGUAAAACUACCGGCUAGUAUUAGCUAGAACCUGUAUCAUAGAUCUUUCGUUUCGUUUAAAUAUUAGCUUCGAAUUAUUCCUUUUUAGCGCAUUUUUUACUAUCGUUUCCCCUCAAUAGACUCGUUACGGUUUGUUGAGAAUGUUAAUACAAAGUUAAAAAGUAAUUAACGCAAGCUGGGGUUUUUUCGUCUUUGGUGUUGGUUUUGACCCGAGAUUGGAUUGACAGGUACAUCUUAUUAUUCUCUUGCUGAUAUUUUGUUCUGGAGCUUCUUUCUUCCAGUGAUGAAUGGGUAUUUUCUUUUCAAUAGUGAUUGCGCUUAUGCACGACUCAUUGUGCUGGUGGUGACGCUGUUGCAGCAAUUAUUCUACAAUUGUGUUGCUGGCGGGCCUAUUAUGGCAAGGAUCCCAUCAUUGUAAGGUGUACAACUCAGUUACGAGUUUGUACCGUCUGAAGUACACUGAAUAAAGUCGCCCAUUCCGUAGAAAAACAAUAACAAUUGCUCAAACCCAAGAUAUUCAAUUGAGGGGAAAAAAACUGGGGUAUUUGAAAAGUCAUGGCAAUGAAGAUCCAAAAGCAACAACACUUUCAUUCCUUGGAACAAUAAUAUAAGAUAUGAAGAUCAGGUUUGAUAAGGAGAGCCUUGUGGGGGGUAAAGAGUCUUAAUAAAAAAAAUGGUCCACUUUGGGUCUGGUCUAUGUCUUCCAUGGAUAUGAGUUGGCCCCCUCUUUUUACAAGAAAAAUACAAACAAAUAAAAAGCAGCAACACAAAAGAAUGCACAAGUUGUGUCUCGCUUUCGGCGACCCCGGCUUGACGAGCCUCGCUAUUAAUUACUAAUCGACCUAUCAUGGUCCUUUUACGAUAUGCUUUUGAGGGAAGUCUGUCUACGUUACUCAAAUUCUUGACCUAAUAAUUACUAAUUGACUAUCAUCAUCGUUAAGAUUACACGAAUCUUCGACCUCGAUGUUAAUGCAAAACUUUUAAAGGAUGUACUUAAAUCAUGUUCGAGUAAUCGCUCAACAAUAUGCCCAAGUGGGUAAUGGUGGGUGAUUAUGGUGUUUUCCUUCCACUUUAAUUCUCUAAAAUUCUUCAUUGUUUUUCUUUCUGUUCUGUCCUUUGGAAUUGCUGAGGAGAGAUGAAGCUUUCUGUGACUGUCAACACCAAACCCCCCAAUUAAUUCACUCCAUCAGGUCCCCCAUGGCCUCUCCUCCAUCUCCAUCAAUCACCACCAUAUAUAUCGUAACUCAAACCGUCACUCGAAAUACACUCAUAUCACAUAAUUAACCAGAUUCGGACUCCAAACAACUCGGUUUUUGGAAGGUCAAGAUAACAGAAUGUAAAAGCCUCACCAACCAUUAGUUGAUUUUCCCGAUUCAUUCUUCCUUGAGACAUAACUAGUUGUAUCUAAUAAGUUCGAGAAGUUAUUCAGUUAUUAAGAGGCUACAUGUCAGAUACUAAAGGAAAUACGACUCCAAAUUGAGGUUAAUUCUUUUCUUCUUAUUGAUAGUAACAUAUAUGAUACAUAGCUACAAAAAUAUACAUAUGGCAUGUGCUUGAACAAGCCAAAGAAUCAUCGGAAUAGAGAUCUUCAAUUGGCAGAAAAUUUCUCAGUUAAAAACAUGUAAAAAUCUCUUCUUUUUUUUUCCAAGUAGAGAAAAUUCCACACUCUUCACAUCUCCAUCUUCAGAUUAGAUCCUCCAACUGAACCUGCAAAAAAGUGUCUGAUUAGGUUUAAAGCUAAAGGGUCACCAAAAAAAACCAGUGACUGUUGUUAUCUGAAACCAGAAGACUGAUAGACACAUCUUAACUAACUUCAUUCACUUCUGUCUCAAAAGUGGGACAAAGCAACCUCAUAAUUCGCAAAGUCUUAAAAGAUAUCCCAAGCUUGAACAAGCCAAAGAAUCAUCGGAAUAGAGAUCUUCAAUUGGCAGAAAAUUUCUCAGUUAAAAACAUGUAAAAAUCUCUUCUUUUUUUUUCCAAGUAGAGAAAAUUCCACACUCUUCACAUCUCCAUCUUCAGAUUAGAUCCUCCAACUGAACCUGCAAAAAAGUGUCUGAUUAGGUUUAAAGCUAAAGGGUCACCAAAAAAAACCAGUGACUGUUGUUAUCUGAAACCAGAAGACUGAUAGACACAUCUUAACUAACUUCAUUCACUUCUGUCUCAAAAGUGGGACAAAGCAACCUCAUAAUUCGCAAAGUCUUAAAAGAUAUCCCAAAGACUCAUCCUUUUUACUUUACCUGGUGGAAAUGGUUGAGAUGAAAAUGCUACGUUGUAUAGGCUUGGAAGGUCAGCAUCCCAAAUUGAUGCUUGCUGCUACGAGACACAUAACAUAAAGUGAAUGUUAAUACAUAACAGCUCGAGUAAUUGGGAUGCAACAGUGCCCUUAUGUAAACACUUACAGGGAAAUCGAUGAAGGGUUCGGGUUCAGGGCUGGUAAGACUGAUUGUUCUUCUGAUCCCCAAAUCGGUAGCAGAAGCAGUAGUAGUAGUAGCAGUAGUAGCAGAGUUGAUCAUCCCGAUAUCGAAACCAUUGCAGCAUCCCAUUAUCUGUUGCUGGAGUGAGUUCAGCUGCAGGUAUGCUGCUGCCAUUUGAUCUGAUGAUCCCAUUCCUGCAAAGUUGCUUCCACCACCUCCCUGAAACGCCUGUUUCGCCAAUCUCAGUCAGUAAUGCCACAAACAAAGACUAAUGUCGGUUUCGAAAACUCAGGAUGUGGUGGAUGGUUUUUCCGUUCGGUACCUCUUUCGUGAACAAGCUUUCAAAGUUGAACUCUGCCCCUGGGUUCACAGCCGCUAGCUUCAUUGACAAGAACUGUUUACAAAUAGUAUAUAAGUGUCGUUGUAUAAACUAAUUAUGAACAUUUCUCUGUGUGGCAGAUCGAGUUAAGUAAUAAGUAGUGUACCUCGACUUGGCGUUGAAGGGAUUGGACAUAGUUAAUGAUCUCAUCAAGCAUCCCAGCUUUGCCAGUGAUCUUGUUACAACCUGGAACCAAAUCUUGCAGAUACUUCAUCCUUUCACUGAUCUUUUCCCUCCUUACCUAAACAAAAAUUCACAAAAAUCCAAUCUUAAUUACACUCUACUGAUUGAAAGUAACCAAUUCCACAUAUAUAUAGCUAAAAACUCACUCUUUCUGCUAAGCUGUGACUAUCAGUAGCCUGGCCACGCCGAGCUCGGACAUGAAUGUAAUCCUUCUUCUGAUCAUCAGUCACCUUCGAGUUCUCCUUGGAACUCGAUCCUGAAUUGCUAUGGCUUUGAUUCUCUUUGAUUCUCUUCCCUUCCUCCACCUAAUUCAAAACAACCAAAUUUCAAUUCAAUUUCACUCCACAAGUAAAAUUUCAAUUAAUUUGAACGAAUUUUGUUUCCUUACCUGCGAUUUCACCGAUUUCCGUUUCUUGGACGGCGGCGACGGCGGUGGAGGAGUGCCGGAAGCGCUGAAAUCGGGCCAGCCGUUGUCGUCGAUGACAAGACCCGGGUCGGGUUUCAGCUCCGACCGCAUCAAGCCGUUGUUGUAGACGCAGCUUAUCAAAUCGUCGCCGCCAAAGAAGCCCUGAUCCAUCUCGGCGUUAUGUGCUCUAUUCAUCGGAGAAUAACAGGGUUUGAUCAAAGAAGGAAUCUUUUUUACUGGUUUUUAUUUUUUGUGGGUUUUGGUGAGGGGAGAAUAUGGAUGGACAUGAAGUUGGGUGGGUUAUAUGUAAAGGUGGAAAUGGUGGUGAGGGUGAAGAGAUUGGGCGUCCAUAACCGGAGCCGGGUCGGGGGUGUGGGGCCCAGAUGACAUGACGGCCACGUGGGAUUGUCCCCGGAGGUUUGCGAGGGGGAAAGAAAUAACGGCGUUUGGGUAAUAGAGGGAUAGUGAUGGCGGNNNNNNNNNNNNNNNNNNNNNNNNNNNNNNNNNNNNNNNNNNNNNNNCAUCUCACCGAACCACAGCCGUUCUUAACGGGUUUUUUAAAGAAGAUGAUGUGGGAUUAGCGACGUUGAUAAGCGCGGGAAUGAGGUUUGAGUAGAAUUUGAAUAUUAUUUAUUGGUUAUAAUAGGGUGGUUUACUUGUCUUGGGAUUUUCUUCGUUCUUUGAUGGAGGUAAUAAGAAAGUUGAGUGGAUUUUUUAGAGAAGAAAUGUGUCCAUUUAGUAAAUUUUAAUAGAAAUUUUAUCAUCAUAUUAAUAAUUUUAAUAAUUUAUUUAUUUAACAAUUCUUAAACACCUUAAUUCAAUAAUUCAUCAAGUCGCUUUUUUAUUUUAUUUGCUAAAUAUUAAACAUUUCUUCAAUAAACAUCUAUUUAGACUCUAGUAAAAAAUUAUUAUUAUGUAUUUCUUAGUUCGUGUGGCGAUCAAUGUCAUAUUUAUUUAAAUUUCUAAUAUUAUACAGUUUUAUUUGCUAUCUUGAUUCUUUAAGCCCAAAGCUAUUUAAGAAAAAAAAUAAAAAAGUUAAUUUAUACGAUGUUCAUGGGCAUGGACGUGAAGGAAAGAAUGAUAUUUUUUUUGUUCAUCGAUUAGUAGUGCUUAUUGCAUCACAUUCAUUGUCAUUCUCAAUAACCGGAAGCUUUCAUGGCCAUAGAACUGCUAUAUUGGUCUAGAAUUGAUAUUCAAUCUCAACGAAGACGUAUCAAGAUGAAGUUUGUUUUUACUUUUUACCUCGAAAAAUUGAAACAAGAUUACUAAUUAGUUGGCAAUGGCAACGAGAGCACACAUAAUUCAUCUUAACUGGUUGUUGGUUCUAGCCUAUAAUAAUAAAUGAAGUUUAAUGUUUAACAAAAAAAAAGUAAAAUAUUUAUCAUUAUUCAUGAAAUCUAUGCAUUGGGCUCUCCCGUAAAAUUCCGUUUAGUAAAAUUAUGGGUUUGCUGGUUUGUUUAUUAUUAAACUCUUGGCGUGGUGACGGGAACUCAGUGGGGGCGGGCCCAUGUCACGUCUGGCAUCCACAUCCACGCCUCCACGUGUUGGUCACGUCAGUUCGAUCUCAGUGAUAUAGCACGUAUGCUUUACGUGCAUAAUUGAAUAUCAUAUUAUUAAGUAUGAGAUUUAUAAUUUUUUGGGCACGUUGCAACAUAUACUCACGGGAGUUUUGACUCUUAAUUAAAUAAUUUUGCUGGAAGCAAAGUGUAAUGAAUAAUUAAUAAUCGAGCGACAUAGAAAUUAAUUGUACUAAUUAUAAUUAAGAAAGUGAUUGACGCGUUAAUUAAUCAUGGGAUAUAAUCAAAUCUGUCAACCAUCAUAAUCCUAGGUUGACAAAAACAACGUAGGAUAUUAGGAAUCUUUUCUGGAAUUUUCUAAUUAAAGAAUUAAUUAAAAAAGGGCUAAUCAUGGGUUGCACCACAAAAUCUAACGAAACAAAUCAUUUUAGCUCGUUGUUCAAAGUCCUAUUAUUUUCAGUUAAUCAAUCAUUAUCAUCCACACAACAGAAAAUGUGAGUGAUUACUGAUUAGCUAAGCUGAAAACAACAAUAUUAAUCAUUGAUUUUCCUACAAAUAGGAACGAAACAAAAUGGACCAUAAUUAAUUCCCAUGUUGACAAAAUUAAAUUGGGCUUUUCUCAUUAAAUCAAAAAAUAAUUUGGCCAAGGAAAUAUCUUUCGUUAUAUGAAAAAAAAUCAACUAUAUAACAAAAAAUAAAUUAUUAGCGGAACAUAAANNNNNNNNNNNNNNNNNNNNNNNNNNNNNNNNNNNNNNNNNNNNNNNNNNNNNNNNNNNNNNNNNNNNNNNNNNNNNNNNNNNNNNNNNNNNNNNNNNNNNNNNNNNNNNNNNNNNNNNNNNNNNNNNNNNNNNNNNNNNNNNNNNNNNNNNNNNNNNNNNNNNNNAAUAAUCGGUGAAAGAAAAUAACAAAUUAAUAAUUUUUAUAGAAAAUAAAAUCAUAAAAUAUAUAAAAAAUUAUUGAUUUCACAACAUUUUAAGAUUUAAAUCAAGAUUUUGACAUCCACUAAAUACCAAUUUUAAGUAGAAUUAAAAUCAUUAAACAUCACUAAAAUCAUAAAACCGUAAAAUUUUAAGAUUUAAACACUAUUCUAGUCAAAUAUAAGCAAAUAAAUUGUUUCCCAAUAAUCACAAAAACACACACACACAAUAUAAUGGGCUUCCUUCCUUCCUUCUAAUUUCUUUCUCUUCUCUUCUUCUUCUUCUUCUUCUUCAUCAAUCAUCUUCCCACUGCACCACUUCUGUCAGAGUUUGUCAGACUCAAUUCUCACCAUCUUUAUUUUAUACAAUUUUUUUGUCAUUUUAUUGGGGGGGUUUUGUCAUUUUAAUUUCUUGGAUAUGGAGCCAUGAAAUUAUUGAGAUCAUGAGAGGAUGUCAAUGUCAUGCUCCAAAUGCAUGGGCAUGCACUACACAUUCAUACGUAAGUUGCCAUCCGUGUAACAACAACAUUACUUACUUACUUAGUUCCCAACUUCCAACACACACAUACCUCAUAUCUACUUUAAAGACAUCCAUGCUUCUUUCUCAAAAAUUGAAGUUUUACAUAGCGGAUGGUCUCAUGAUUAACGGUACUUUAAAGUCGUCCUACUUAAAAAGUAUAGUCAACUCUAACUGUAUUCACAUAAGAACCCCACAUCCAAUCCCAAACAUUAAAUUCAAAAACAAAUUUAGGGUUCUUCCGAGUCCGACUAAGUACAUAUUUUUCAAAUUUGACUCAAUGCUAUAUUAGUACUUACUCAGCUUAAUCAUCGGUAUAAUAUAUAGUAAUAUUUAGUCAUAAAUAAUUUGAAUCAUACAAAAAUUAUCGUGACACAUUUCAAUUUCCAUUUGGUUUGAGUAUUGCUAACUCUUCUAGGAACAAAUAUCAUGUCCAUCACAAAUGUAUUACAUAUUUAAAGCAAGUAAUAUAUAUAUGAAAACUUUUAAAUGGAGUUCUUUGUCAUAUUUUAUAAUAGGAAUCUCGAGUUUAAAAUUAUAAUAAAUUAAAAAAAAACACACGUAUAUACGAUUAACAGGGUCAAUUUGGUCCCUAGCUAGCUAGAAGGUUUUGGAACCCACUUGACCCAUCGUAGCUCUCUCAGUGCUUGUGUACAAAAUAACACGACGCACUAAACCAAACUAAACGAUACUUAAAAAAUACAAUUAACAGAACUAAUUACUUAUUCUAAAGUAUAUAGUUUUUAGACCCGUCCAUGAAACCCACCUUACGCAAUGACCUGAGAUUGCCCACCCCAAUUCCGCCAUCGAAUUAAGCAUUGCGUCAUCAACUAGACAACGUAACCAACUAAGCAACAUAACAAAACGUGACAUAAUAAUAUGAAUUUGAUGAUGAUGAUCCAUGGAAACAGCCUUCUCGAGUCUUUUUUUUUUCUGUGGGUAUGAACCGGUGUGCGUUAAUCUUUGAAGAACGAGAUGACGCAAUUAAUUUAAAUUCCUUUUUUUUUAAAAAAAGUAAUUAAUUAUUUAACCAUAUAUUCAUAAAAAUAAUGAUUCGAAUAUCGUGUCACACUUGUAAUACAUUAUGCAUAUGGAGAAUAUGCAUAAAUCCUAACUCCAGACUUUGUACGUACAUACAUGUAUAAAUUUCCCCUUCAAAGAUUGCAGCUUUCUACGUACGUAUACGCAUAAAUACAUGUCGUAUAUAUGUACGUAUACAAAACGUAGAGGUGUGACCGUAUUAUCCUGCUGAAUAUACUGUCCUCGAUCGGGAUCAAUCCAGAUGUACAAACCGAUGCAUGCAAAAAUAUAUUUAAUUUGUAUAAUUUGUUGGGUGUUAUUGUGUAUUCUCUUUCAAGAUAUUAUCUCGAAUGGUAUUCUCGAUCGUCACUACUAAUUUUUCUCCGAGGCGUCCUACGGAAUCUAUCUAAAGCAAAAACAUUCAACAUGGUUUCAAAAGAAGGCAGAAUAUCCAUAUAUAAUUAAUUUCAUAUACCUUAAUUAUUUGACCAUAUAUUAUAAACAUUUAAUAUAAUUGGAAUUAUUUUUCAAAUAAUUCCUACCUCAAAAUCUUGCUGAAGUUGAUGGAAUUGUACUUAUCAUCAAUUUGUUAAUAAUAAAUGAAUAAAAAUAAAAAUAUCAAGUUGAUUUGAUCUUAUCGGUUUUGCCAGCCCAAGGUUGAACAGUGUUAGUGGGCCUCCACCACCGAGGAAAAGCAUUGGGCCGAAAACUGACCAACUGGACUGCACUUCAUAUUCAGACAACCAGUUUUAAUUAAUAGUGCUGUCAUAUUGUUCCUCUCUUGACAGACAUUUCUUUAUUUAAUAUUUUAUAAGUAAGCAAAUUCCUAUGCCUAUUGAAUUUUUAAUUGUAUCUGAAAAAUAAAAUUUAAUAAAUAAUAAUAACUUGUAACUUUUUUAAUUUUUAUUAUAUUUACUGUUUACUGUUUAGUCGGCAAUAUAAUAUAUAUGUUGAGAUAUGUUUGCUUUGGUAAAUUCACGGCCGGAAUUUGUAGGAGUAUGUGUUCAAUCUGUCCAUUACCAAAUUUCAGAUUCCAUUGUUUGGAAUCUUUGGAUAGUGCAGUUUUCAAACGAUUGGGUUAUGCGGGUAGAAUAUAGGCCGCGUCAAACGGGUUACAAACAUUAAUGUUAAAUGUGAUUAUAAGUUUUUUGGGUUCCGUAUAUUAUACCGGAUUGCGAUAAAAGUAGCUCAAGAAUCACUCAAGAUCGGUCCUUAAUUAGCACUCAAUAAUUUAAGUUGUUGGAAGAUGAGGAUAUAAAAUUAAGUUCAAACAGUCCAGUCUGACCAAUAUAACUGGAAACUCUAUGCAGUCUAGACUUGACAUUAUAUAAUAUUGUUUGUUCAAUAGAUGACAAGAUGGAAUCAAUGGGAAAAGAAGAUCAUUGGUGGGUGUGGGACUGGUGAACUUAUAAGCUACAGAGAGGGUGCAUGCAUGGGAAAACUGUACAAGUAUUAGUAAUAUAAUGGUCAAAAGGACAAGAAGACCAAAUACACGGGAGUUGCCGGCCUGCACCAUCAAACACAUCGAUCUCCAUUAUAUUAUAUAUAACAAACAAUGUUAUAACAAAGGACAAAACACUUCUGCCCCAACUAAAUACGCUACACACUUAUCCAGCUACACCCAUCGAGCUAACUAACAAGUUUUAAUCGAGUCAACUCUCAAGUCCUAGUCGAGUUGGUAACAAACCUCAAAACUCAAACAAACUGGCUCGCGAGCCAAACUCAUCGAAUUCAGGAGCCAGCCGAGCUGAAUCAGAAUUGGGUUGAGCUCGUUUAAAAUCAGAAUCAAGCUUCAAUAAAUUUUUUUCCUCGAAACGAACAUCGAAGUGUUCGUGAGCAGUCUCAUUCAUCAACAACCCUAUGCAUAUUGUGACGAUAUGGAAGUAAAGGACAAGAUAGCAUGUUUGUAGAACAGCCAACCAAAAACUGUGGGCUUGUUCAUCAGGUGUUGUUAAUGGAUCUUCAGUUCCUUAAAUGAAAAAGGACAACUCUAGUCUCUAGCUUUGCUGUUGAGUUAAAUGCUCAUGUUCCCUAGCUAGCUGCUGCUUGUAGGCCAUCAAGUUUUUGCAUAUUAUGUGGUGGUGGUGGGUCGUUGGAACAAUAAUCUUAAACAAAGAUGUGCUGGAUCUAUGAUAGAAACAGAAGGCUAUCUAUUCUUCUAAAUGACUGGAAUUUCAGGGUUGUUUGAAUAGGUGAUUUCGUUGUGCUAUUUGAAGGGAUUUGGAAUCAAAAUGACAUUCCGAUGACAUCUAAAUCGGAAAUCUAUUCAUGGGUGAUUUUGUUUGACGAGUUUGAGAUUUUGGACACUAUGUAUGGAAUUAUUCCGGCGAGGUAUAUACCAGAUAGAAGCCAUAGGCAUGGUGGAGAGAGCAUAACGACAUUCCGUGAAUACUUGCGCGACGCAGAAUGUUAGACUGGAGUAGACGGGCAGCUUCCGCAAAAUCAGUGCAUAUGGUGAUUAGAUGUAGGCGUGGUAUCCGCCUAAAAUCGCUUGCUGGAUUGCCAACUGCCAAGGUUAGUGGAUCUAUGGUGUGGCUAAUGACUUAACCUGUGGCAGAUACAACCGAGCUAAGAUUGUCGAUUAUUACCAAUCCGAUUCUGCCAAAACACCAAGAGCCAACGAUUGGCCAGCACACUGCCGCAUCGACGAAGAAAAUACAAGACACGUAUGCUUCGGUGUACCUGAUAUAUUUGUUCGAAACCGUCUCAGAACUCGUGUCUCCUUGAGCCAGAAUCGCACCCACCAAAAUGAGUUCCCAAAUGUAUUUAUUUUUCUUUUAACAACUUAAUACACACAACUUACACAGAAAAACCAUUAAUAAGAGGCAUCUCGUAGUCCAAUCGCCAAAGAAAAAGAACUCGCAAAAAUACCACAAAAUCUUUCCCUAUCUACAUUAAUGCCAUUUACUAUGAACACACACAAAACUGAUAAAAACAUAACAUUACUACAUGGACGGUUUAUAUGUUGAUGGUUGCUUCCCACAACCUCAGCACCCCGUUCCGGCCACCGCUGCAGAUCCUCUUCC
RNAcentral lists this long non-coding RNA (136904 nucleotides) under Linum usitatissimum (flax). RNAcentral describes it as "long non-coding RNA (LUSI_LNC002837)". The stretch from base 123484 to 123566 matches the Rfam family "Small nucleolar RNA U30". Lineage: Eukaryota; Viridiplantae; Streptophyta; Magnoliopsida; Malpighiales; Linaceae. The record is from RNAcentral.